UAAUAGAUUAACAGGUGAAAUUCCCAGAGAGAUUGGAAAUUUGAGUGAAAUCCGAUCACUAAACUUGUCGCACAACAAUUUGACUGGAUAUAUACCGUCAACGUUCUCAAAGCUCAAGCAAAUUGAGAGUUUGGACCUGUCUCACAACAACUUAAUUGGAAGAAUACCUGUUCAAUUGACGGAGUUGUACGCCUUAGCAAUCUUCAAUGUGUCAUACAACAACUUGUCAGGGAGUAUUCCGUCUCCGAAAUUUCAAUUUGGAACCUUCGACGAAAGCAGUUACGUGGCGAAUCCUUUCCUCUGCGGGUCUCCCCUGCAUAAAAAUUGUAGCAACCUUGAUUCACUCCCGACAGCAGCACCAAAGAGCUCAAACGAGGAAGAAGAAAGUGGUUUGAUGGACAAGUAUGUUUUCUGGGUGACCUUUUUUGUUUCUUACGUAAUUGUGUUACUGGUUAUUGUUCUCAUCCUGUACAUAAAUCCUUAUUGGCGACAAGCAUGGUUCUCUUUUGUUGAACACUGCAUCAAGACCUGCCAGUAUUUUAUUGAGGACAAUCUUCUAUGAUUUUCCAUCUUCAAAAGAAGCGGGUAGCCUUGUGCUUUGGUGGUUUACAUCUGUAUGUAAAUUUUUUCAUGUGUUUCUAUUUUUCAAAGUUUGAUUGGGUUAUCUGCUUUUAAGUUUUUAGAGGUAGAAUACAAUAGCUCUGUGAUGUAAUAAUUGCCAGUUUAGUAUAAGAAAACAAUAUAUAAAACUAUGCAUUUUCAGUUAAAACAUUUAAUAUUGCUUUAUAAAUUUUAGUGUUGUGAUAGUAUAAUGUUAAAUUCAAUAUAUGUUUCCUUUUCCAUGAUUACGUAAAAGCGAAAUAUACAAAUCAUAUUAUAUUAAUAUAAUCCACAUUCUUUAAAUCAUAUGCUCAAUUGAAACUUAUAUAUAUAUAUUAUCAAACAUGAAUGAUAUAAACAGUCUUCGAAAAAAGUAUGAUUUUCAUGUUUAGUUAUUAUUAUUUAAUAUUUAAUUGUUUUACUAUUAUUUGAUAUCAAUAAUAUUUAUAUGUUUGUGAAUGUUGUUUGUUAUUGUCUCGUGAAAUAUUAUGUUAAAGAUAAAAGAAGUACUAAGUAAUAGUUCUUUUUAGGUGAAAUUUUGACUCAAGUUUGAAUGGUGAGUUAUUUUAUCUAAUUACUUACGUUUGGAUAGCAUAAAGUAAUUAAAUGGCACUUUUGUAAUUACAAAGAUUGUACUUGAUAGAUGAAAGAACUAGGUAAAGGAAGAAAAUAACUAUCCAAACAGAAAGAAGCAGAGAGUGAAAUAAUAGAAUAAACUUCUUGUUGUUUAUUCAAAUUUGCCUACCUCUUAAUUCUUAAUGUACAGUAUAUAAAGACUUUCUGAAUUAAGUAACAACCUCACUAACUGACUAACUACUUCUAUUCUCUAAUAUUCAUCCAUAUUCUCUAUAGGCAAGACCCGUAGAAAACUCCAAAAACGAGUAAAACUCGAUGACGAAAUUGGCUUAGUGAGAACAUCAGCGACCUGAUCACACGCUGGAACUUCUCCAACAGCAACCGUGCCAUCAGCAACCUUUUCACGAACAAAAAAUAAAUCUAACUCAACAUGCUUAAACUUUGAAUGAAGAACAGGAUUUGCAGCAACUGCAACCGCCCCAGGACUGUCACACCAAAUUUGAGGAACACUAUUAGACUGAACAUGUAAUUCUUUAAGUAGCAACAAAAGCCACGUAACCUCACUAGUAACUGCAGCAAGACUUCGGUAUUCUGCCUCAGCAGUAGACCGAGCAACAACCUGUUGUUUCUUCGUACACCAUGACACAGGUGUAUGUCCGAAAUAAACACAGUAUCCAGUAGUAGACCUCCGGUCAUCAAAAUCUAAUCCCCAGUUGCAUCAGCAUAUCCAACUAAGGACAAACUAGUGGAUGGACGAAACACAAUUCCAAAAUCAAUCGUACCACCUAAAUACCUCAAAAUGCGCUUCAGGGCAGUCAUAUGAAUGGAAGUAGGACAAUGCAUAAAUUGACAUAUUCGAUUAACAGCAUAGGCAACAUCAGGCCGCGUAAGAGUGACAUACUGUAAUGCUCCUGCAAGACUCCUGUAUUCAGUCGGAUCCUGUAGCCGCUCACCACCAUCGCGAGUCAUAACAGAGGAACUAACCAUCGGUGUAUGAACACUCUUCGUAUUCUCCAUCGAACAACGUAUAAGAAUAUCACGUAUAUACUUCUUCUGACAAAGAUGAAGGCAACCUGACGAAGAACGAUUAACCUCUAUCCCAAGAAAAUAAUGAAGAUCACCCAUGUCCUUAAGCGAGAACUCACUAUUCAGCAAAUUAACAAACCACUCUAUGACAGAAGGCAUAUCUCCAGUAAUAAUAAUAUUAUCAACGUACACAAGCACAUAUAAUGUUGACGCUGGUACAACUCGAACAAACAAGGAAGCAUCAGACUUUGAAACUACAAACCCCACGGAGACUAGAAAUCCUUUUAGCCUUUCAAACCAGGCACGAGGAGCCUGACGAAGACCAUACAACGCUUUCUUCAAGCGACACACCAAAGGUCUGCCAUCUGAGCCAUAUUGAACAUAACCGGGAGGUUGAUGCAUAAAAACUUCAGUGUCAAGGUCACCAUUUAGAAACGCAUUAUUCACAUCCACUUGUCGAAGCGACCACCCCCUAGACACAGCAAUAGACAAAAUAACUCUGAUAGUAGCCGGUUUGACCACUGGACUAAACAUUUCCUUAAAAUCACAACCCGGAACUUGAGAGCAACCUUUUGUAACUAAUCGAGCCUUAUAUCGAGCAAUAGUGCCAUCAGAAUUCUUCUUGAUUCGGAACAACCAUUUGCACCCAAUGACCUUACGAUUAUAUGGAGCAGGAACGAGCUCCCAUGUGGAAUUACGCAUAAGAGCAUUAUACUCAUCUUGCGUAGCAGUGCGCCACUCAACAGUAGCCAGAGCUUCUUCAAUUGUAGUCGGUUCAACAGCUUCAACACUUAAAACCUUAGGCUUGUAAACCCCUGCUUUAGCGUGAGUAACCAUUGGGUGAGUAUUGCCCACAGCUGUCCUAUUAAUCUGACUAGACAGUCCCAUAUUAGACGAAGAGAGAGCAUUGGUAUCACUGGAGAAUCCUGAGCCAUGCUCUGAUGGAAGAUCACUCAACUCAGUUCCAUCAUUAGCUGAAUAAUCAUGAGCUGGAAGACUACCCAACCCAGUCCUAACAUCAGUUGAAGGAUCAUGAAACUGGGGCUGCUCCACACUAACAUCUAAUACAGGAUCAGUAGGCUGAGACGACACCCCUUGUACCGACGGUGUCAUCAUGCAUGGCUCAAGAGUCGAGGAUGAAGGUGGCCACACAAGAGGAACAACUGUCGAACUAGUCUGACCGGUUGUUGAUACAGACUUGUCUGAACUAGUCUCGGUAAACAAAAACCUCUGCUCAUCAAAGACCACAUGCCUUGAAAUUAUAACCUUACCAUCUGGUAAAAGACAUUGAUACCCCUUGUGACGAGGACUGUAGCCCAAAAAAGUUGACGGCUGAGACCGAAAUUCCAACUUACGACCUACAAACGGACGUAAGUAAGGAUAACAACAGCAACCAAACACUCGAAGAUGAUCAUAGGUCGGAUCACUUCCAUACAGUUCUUUAAACGGAGAACUAUCCUGAAGUACAACCGUGGGAAGUCGAUUUAUGAGAUGAACCGCACAACAAAACGCAUACCCCCAGUAUUCCAUAGGCAAAUUUGCAUGAGCCAACAACGUAAUCCCCAUUUCAACAAUGUGACGAUGUUUUCGCUCGGCUACUCCAUUUUGUUCUGAAGUAUACGGACAGGUCAGUCGAUGAAUGAUCCCCUGAGAUUCUAAGACAGACGUAAACCCACGAUAUUCACCUCCCCAAUCGCUCUGAAACUGCUUAAUAGACUUGCCAAACUGUGUCUUAAUCAACUGUUGAAACUGAGUAAAACAUUCAAGUGCUUGAGCUUUUUGACGUAAAAGAUAAACCCAAGUAAACCUGGUACACAUAUCAAUAAACGAAACAUAAUAUCUCUUAUCACCACAUGCAACAGGUGCAGGACCCCAAAGAUCAGACACAACCAAUUCAAAAGGACGAUAGCUAGUAGUCGAAUGGGAGAAAGGCAACUUAUGUGACCUGCCUUUUUGACACGCAGUACAUAUACCAUCCAGACCAAUUUUAUUUGAAACAACAUUACAUUUAUUUAGAAUAUUUUUGACCACAGAAGUCGACGGGUGGCCUAAACGAUUAUGCCAUAAAGUAAAUACAGAAGUAGUUGAAACUGUAUGUGGAACUUGAGAAUGAGCAACAAACGGAGUAGUCGUAGGCAACGUAGAAACCGCUGGGACAGAAAACUGAUAUAGACCAUCAUGAAUGCGGCCCGUCAGCAAUAUCUCCUGAGUCAUCGUAUCCUUAAUAACACAAUAGGUAGGGUGAAACUCAAAAAACACAUCAUUAUCACGAGCAAACUAUGAGACAGAUAAGAGAUUUUUCCGUAUACGUGGCACACAUAAAACAUUUGAUAACCGUAACGAUUUAUCUUGAGUAGGUAAAAUGGCCGUACCAAUUGAUGAAAUUAUCGUAGGAGUACCAUCACCCAUUAAAAGAGAUGACUUACCUGAGUAUGGCGUGACAUUACGUAAAGCUGACAUAUCACGACAGACAUGAUGACUCGCUCCCGAGUCAGGAUACCAAGACGUGGUGCCACUGCACACUGGAAUGUACGAAUCAUCAUUACCAGUACUAGAUGCAAGCUGAGCCGUAUUAACAUGAGAAUCUGAUACUGAAGGAUCAGAAUAAUUAGACGCAUGUAAAUCCCCUAGCCGUGGAAGCCCAAUACAUGGAUUAGAUUCGGUAUAGACCCGAGCACGCGGUUUAGUAAAUUUCAGAACCGGACCACCAACACCUAGUCCAUCACCAAUCGGUUCAGGCGAGCCGGGAUCAUCUUGAUCAAGUUGAACAAAAUUAGAGGAUGGUACAAUAUUCGGCCCAGCAUUAAACUGAACAUUCAGUCCAUGAGAAGAGUGUUGAACAUUCGGUCCAUCAUUAAACUGGACAUUUUGUCCAUGGGAUUUGUUUCCACUAGAACCGCGCCACUGUCCAUUUCCAGUAGUGAACCCGUGUAAAGUGUCUCCACUAUACCCUUGCCCAGCAUCAUGACCGAAUUUAGACAAGCUGGGCUUGUAGGCAUCAUUUUGUGCAUUGGACACAUGUGGCCCACGUGGUAAUGGCCUAUUUUGCAUGCCAGCACACACAUUUUGACUAACAUAUCUAUUUUGACCAGCAUGACUCCCUUGACCAUAAAAAAUUCUUUGACUAUUCUGAUGAGGAGCAACCAUCUGUUCAUCACCAUUUUGCACAAAAGUUCCAGAAUCACAACCUUCAACACCAGACAUUUCAUUUGAGUCUCGGUGAUACCGAUAAUAGCACUUUUGAGCCACAUGACCAAACCGACUACAGAUCUGGCAUUGAACACAAGAUCUGAUAAACCGGCCACGACCACGAACAGACGCACGACCUCCACGACCGGCCCCUUCUACCGAUGGCUCAUUUUCAACAAGAUUCGCGUUCAAACUGACCUCCUGCAACACUCGAUCUUGACGACUCUCACAAUCGACUAGCGCAUCCACCAGACGUUGCAACGGUAGAACUACAGGCGACAAACGAGUAGAGGAGAUAACCGCCUCAAACUCCGACGGCAAACCCGCAAGCACCACUUCGAUCUUUUCUUCAUCGGAGAUACGAGAGCCAGAAGCAUCUAGCAUACCACAUAAAUCUUUAAUCCGAGCAACAUAAGCCUUAAUCGAAAGAUUACCUUUCUUCAACGAGUGAAGUUCAUGCCGAAUCCUCGACUGCUUGGCGCCCGUAUCAACUGCAAAAAGAUUACCGACCAUGCUCCAUAUGUCGCACGCCGUGCAAGCAUCAUCAAAGGAGGAUUGAUGAGAGGAAGUUACAGUAGACAGAAGCCAGGACAUUAGCAGUUGAUCUUGCUGCGUAAAGACUUGAGCCGCCGGAUUUGGAGCACGAGAUCCACCGGGUAGAGCGAUGAAUCGCAACGGCGGAGCAACAGUGCCAUCUAAAAAACCUGCGAGUCCAUAGCCAUUAACAAUCAGCUUUACCUGUUUACGCCAUUGAAGGUAAGUACCUUCAUCGAGUUUGACCACUUCAUGUCGAGGAAAAACUGUUGUGACUCGAUCGGCAGCAAAUACACCGGAGCUAGGUUCACCAGACGCUGAAUCAGCGGAAGCCAUGAGAAGCAAUGACCAGAAUCACUUGGCGAAUGAUACCAUGAAAGAACUAGGUAAAGGAAGAAAAUAACUAUCCAAACAGAAAGAAGCAGAAAGUGAAAUAAUAGAAUAAACUUCUUGUUGUUUAUUCAAAUUUGCCUACCUCUUAAUUCUUAAUGUACAGUAUAUAAAGACUAUCUGAAUUGAGUAACAACCUCACUAACUGACUAACUACUUCUAUUCUCUAAUAAUAGACGUGUUUGAGUGACACAAUUCCCUAUGUCAUGUUUGUUAAUAUAAAUUGUAAUUACAUAGUUACAUUAUAAAAUUUUUGGUGUUAAAUUUCGCAAAAUUCUGAUAAAAUAGUGAGGUUAACUGAGAAGCGAAUUUAUUAUUUUUGGAGCUUGUUAUUAUUUUUGAAAUUUUUAGUUAUUAAUGGGUAAUGAUGUCGACUAAGAAUCGAAUUGGCCCAAGGGACUAAAUUGAAAGAGGAGUGAAAAGGGAAAGUUUUUAAGUACUAAUAAGCCCAAGGGCUUAAUGGCCAAUUGGCCAUAGUCUUUUAAAGCACUAAAAAUCACGUCCUUUCUAGCCCUUAUUUUCAACUUCUCUCUUUGGCCGUCUGUCUACACUUGCACCGUUGAAAUCCCUUCAAAUCCUCGCCACUUUGUGUCUAAAUACCAUCAUCGAUUGCCACCACUGAUAUCAGCUGCAAUUGCUCUAAUUCACUGCGGACAAUUGCCUUAAUUUGUAGAUGCUCAUUAUUCACAUUAAAGUUUAUUUCUCUAAUGGAAUUGAUGCUAUGGUUAGUCUUAUUUUCAAAGAUGAUUAAGUUUCAUUUGAUUAGAAUUAGUUGGAAUAUGUGCGGUUAACUUCUAAUUAAAAUUAUUUAGUUUAAGAUUCAUUAAUAAAUUAUUUUUACCGUGGUUUCUUUGAUUUAUUGCUGUAAUUUUUUGUUUACUUUUAUUUGUUGUCAAAGGGUAAAUUAUCUGAUACUUUUACAAUGAACUUAGAAUUAUUUUUGAUGAAUUCGAAGCGAAAAACUAGAUAAUUCGAUGAAAGUGAAGCUGGUUGUGAAUUAAUUGCUCCUAAGCUACAAACACUAAGAAAUUCAGUUUGUUACCUUUACGUUUUAAAAUAUCUUAAUGUUGUUAAAUUAUUAGCUUUGUUGUGAUUCUUGCAUGUAAAAUUUUACUUGUGUAGUUGUUUAUUAAAUUGUUUUUAAUGAUGGCUCCUAUUGUUAAAUUGAUAUUCUUUAUUAAUUGAUUAUUUUCCGAAAAUUAUUGUUAAAAGUACGAAUUUAAUAAUUGACUAAAUACUUGAUAAAGUUAGUUGGAAAUUCUUCGGAUAUAAUUAGCAUGUUGUAGAGUGUAGAGGUCUCCAUCAUUGUUUGUUGUUCAUUGUGUGGAUUGCCUUAAGCAUAUGGGAGUAUUGUCAUUGUUGCCUCUUUGCGCAUAUAGUGUGAUGGUAGGUCAUUGAUUAAGUUGCAUUUAUUACGCAAUGCAGUACUGUCAUUGUUGACGCUUGUGCCAUUUUCAUUGACCGUUUGGUGUUUGGUUGGACACUCUUUUGUCCGAAUGUCUUUCCUUCUUGUGUUACUUAGGCAAAAUAAUUAAAUGAACUUAAACAUUAAAUUGAAACACUAUCAUUAUUUAUUGAAUGUAUUGCUAAUGUUUCAUUGUUAUUUUAAAUUGCUACCUUGUGACUGACUUGUGAUUGUAUUGUGUCUUUGAAAAUUAUUUUAAUUAUACACUUUGGUAGUUUAAAAUGUAUUGGAUUACUACUAAGCUGUAAAAAGGCAUAGCACUUGGGUUUUUAAUUUCUUGUGCAAGUAAUAUUUGGAUCGCAUAGUUUGUGAUAUCGUGAUCGAGCAACAUCACCAAAGAGUUUAGCAUGUACUUAGGUGUUGUUAAAUUGGUCAACUUGUUUACUUUAGUUUUAUUUUAGAGCUUAUUGAUUGAUUGAGCAUUGUUAAAUUAUUUUAUUAUUUGACUUUACACUAAUGUUUAAAUUUUAUGAUUUUAUGUGAAAAUGAUUGAAUGAUUGAUUAUUUGGGUCGCUCAGGUGACCGUUGUGACACUUUCGAUCCAAUUGAACUUUUGAGUCGGGUUUGAGGUGUUACAAACAUAAUUUAUAUUUUUUAAAAAAUAUUAAUUAGUAUAAAAAUUAUUAGUAUGAUCAAAAAUAAUUUCUAAACAAAUUGUCAAAACCAUUUUUUUGUAAAACGGGGGUCGACUUUUAUUUUGAAAACGAAAACGAACACAGGAGUCGCCACCAAUCCUUUUUGAUGAGGUGUGAUCGGGUCACCUCGAAAAGUUUUUAAUAAACGAUUUGCUUUUAUUAAAAUAACGAUUUUUGGUCCACGAAAUAAAAAAAAAACGGGUUCGGGAGUCGGUUACGUACGAGGAAGGAUUAACACCCUCGUAAUGCCCAUAAUUGGUACCUAGUUGAUUAAUUAGUGUCUUAGUGUCGAAGAUUGAAAACUUUGAAGAGUUUUUAAAAAUACGAUCCUUAAAAAAAUCGAAUAACAUGGGUUGGAAUUUAGGAUUCUCUUGUUCCGAAGGAAUAUCACAUCCAGCACGUUAGGAUACAACACUUUAAACCCUCGAAACCAAGAUUACCUUAUGGUGUCCAAAACCCAUACUUUGAAAUUUUAAGAGGAUAUUUGACUAUUUGGUCGAACGAGAAAUCGAAAUCCAGCACGUUAGGGCACGUUUUCUCGAAUUUCCAAACGCAAAAUAUUGCCUUAUUUUUAAAAUUUUCUUUUUUACAAAUUUGGGUAAAAUUAAUGUAAUAGUUAAUAAGAUGUACUUUUAAUAUAUGCGAACAUGGUGUGAAGGUGAAAAAUUUUUUUUACGCAAUAUAUAGUACAAUAAUAAUGAAAUAACAUAAAAUAACCAUAUUAGUAGAAUAUUUAAAAAGUAAAUAAUAAAUAAUGGAAUACAAUAAUAAUGACGUAAUUAUAAUAAUAACACCAAAUAAUAAUAACAAUAAUCAUAUUAGUUACUAUUCUAAUACUAAAAAAAUAUAAAAAUGAAAUAAACACUAAUAAUGAUGAUGAUAAUAAUAAUAGUGAUAAUGAUAAUGAAAUGUAUAAAUAAAGGAAUAAAUAACAAUAUAAAUACUAAAUCAAGAAUAGUAAGGAAAUGGAUAAAUGAAUAUGUAUAAAUAAAUAAAACUGAACGAAAAAGAAUAAAUAAAUAAAUAAAAGCUUGAAAUUAAGCGAAUAAAGGAAUAAAUUGAGGUUAAAAUAAAAUUUUAAGUCUAGAUUAUAAUAAAAUGGAUGGAUAAACGUAAAAGGGACUGGAUCAAAUUUUGAAUGGAAUUUAAAGGUAUAAAUCGGAAUAAAAAAAUGACGUAAAGGACCACAUUGAAAAGCGCGAAUAACAUAGAGGGGCCAAAUGGGAAAAUAUUCCCGCCCUUCAAAACGCAUCACUUUACACGGGGCUAAAAUGCAAUAAAAGCAAAAUUCUAGGGCAAGAUCAAAAAAAGAACACAAAAAAAUUCAAAUUGAAGCGGGCCGAGGAAGCGGAAAGACUGAACAAGUAAAUAUCCCUUCCACUUAAAAAAACACGCGGAUCCUUAUCCUGGAGCGGGUUGGGUCAACCCAUUUCGCAUCAAAACGACGCCGUUUUGAUAAGUUAUAUAAACCAAAUUUUUACCAAAAGUUUUAUUUUGCCCAUUAUUUUAAAAAAAACUUUAAAAAUCUUUCAAAAUUUCUCUCAAGCCUUCCCGCGUCUGGCCAUAACUCCGACCAGUCGUCACCGUACCGUAACCUUAUCCUUUCGACCCUCCUAAAUCCAAAUCUGGGUUCAAAAUUCCCAAAAUAUUAACAAAAAUACCUCAAAAGCUCAAGAAACCUUUCGAUUUUCGGUCACCUAUCCUCAGAGGUGACUUCCUCAGCCAUCCACGGUGUUGAAAAACUCGAAUACAGGUUAGUUUGUUACUCCCUUUUCAUUUUGUUUUACUUUCGUAUGUGUAAAUAUGAUAAAAAUAAAAUAACAGUAGACCAAAAAUGAAACGAAGAUUUAGAAAAUAGCAGUAGAUGUAAACCUUUCGGGAUUUUUCUAAUUAUUUUGAGUUUUUCGAGUAUUCGAUCCCUUUUUUUAUUACAUUGAUUGAUGGGGCCUUUUAUAGCCGAUUUACAUGCUAUUUUUUGUUUGCUUUCGCUUUUGUUCUUGUUGAUUCUGUGUCUGUCUCUUUUUUGUUCUGUUUGCAGGUCUUGGCAAGGUCAACAGAUGUUGAAGGGAUAACCCCUGCCAUUUUCGUACAAGGCUGUAGACGCCUGUCAGGCUUCGGGCGACGAGUGCGCUAUAGGGGCACGAAGAGGGAGUGCGGCACACAUGGAGCACUAGGGUUUCUGUUUUCCUCUGAAAGCAGUUAGGUUGUGGGCUGAAUUGGGUUAGGUUUUCUUUUUUAUUUUGGGCCAUACCAGGCCUGGCAUGUAAUUAGGGUUUGGGUUUGUUAUUUGAGUUUUGGGCCCGGUCAAAAAUGGCCUAUUACAGCUGCCUAUCUUUGCUUAUUGUCGUGUAACGGGAAUGAAACAAAGACUUUAAAAGGGCCAAUUUUGCCCGGUCUUGCCGAGUCUUGACUCCUUUUAGUGUUUCUCUUUUCAAGUAGCUUCACUCUAUUCCACUGUGUCUUGUUGCUUCAAUACACUCCACUGUAACUUCAAAAAGAGAUACGACUUGUAGCUUCAAUCUACUCUGCCAUAAUUUCAGAAGGAUGAGAUUUAUGGUUUUAGUCUGCUCCACUAUAACGUCAGGGAGAUAAGACUUGUUGCUUCAACCUACUCUACUGCGACUUCAAGGAGAUAAGGUCUGUUAUGGUAGACUUAAUCUGACCUACUGCAACUUCAGAGGUAUAUGAUUCAUCGUUUUAAUCCGCUCCACUUCAACUUCAGGGAGAUAGGAUUAAUAGCUUCAAUCUACUCCACUACAACUUCAGAGAGAUAAGAUUUGUGGCUUUAAUCUGCUCCACUGCUCUACUGCAACUUCAGGGAGAUAAGGUUUGAUGUGAUCUGCUCUACUGCAACUUCAGGUUUCAAUCUGUUCCACUGCAGCUUUAAGGAAAUGAGAUUUAUAGUUUGUCUUCAAUCUACUCCACUACAACUUCAGGGAGAUAAGAUUGGUUUAUUUUUUAACCUGCUCCACUGCAACUUCAAGGAGAUAAGGUUUGAUGUGAUCUGCUCUACUGCAACUGCUCCACUACAACUUCAGGGAGAUAAGGUUUGAUGUGAUCUACUCUACUGCAACUUCAAAGAGAUAAGAUCUGUAAUUUAUAGCUUAAAUCUGUUCCACUACAACUUCAGGGAAAUGAGAUUUAUAGCCUGUCUUCAAUUUUCUCCUCUACAACUUUAGGGAGAUAAGAUUGGUUUAUUUUUUAACCUACUCCACUGCAACUUCAGAGAGAUAAGGUUUGUCAAGAUCUUCAAUCCAUCCCACUGCAACUUCAGAGGCAUAAAAUUUGCCGCUUCACUAAUCUAUUAUGCGGUGAACUUGACCUGUGGAAUCCAUUUCAUAGACCUAUUUAUGCCUAGUGAUUAGGAUGUCAUAAAUCAGAAUGAAUCAAAUGCUCCUAACUAGGUGUGUAUGAAUGAUAUUUGCAUGAAUGCAGAACAUCAUUUUUUGAGAAUAAUCCCUCUUUAAUGUUUGGGUUAUCAUUGCUCAUUGUUCAUCAAGGUUUUAUCGUUAAUGCAUUACCCUACCUUCUUGUUCAACUGGUGUCUUUAACAGAAAAUCCAAAGAAAUAGUCACAAUUUAGACUAUUCUUUUUCAAAUGUUUCCAACCCUCAGGUUUGGUUAGUUCUAAACAAUAAUCCUGUUUCGAGUCCUCGUAUCAUUUAGAAGCUUUCAGAGUAAUAUGCAGAACUUCUUUUGCUUGAAUAUUAUUGAUCCAUUAAUUAUUAUUUCAAUGAAAAAUGCUUGGAAAGAAUUAUCACAAUGGACAAGAUGGAAUUUCAUUAGGAGCAAAGCUCGAACUGAAUGAAUUAAUCAAGAUAACAAGUUUUUUCCAAAAUUACAAAAUGAGAAUCAAGACAACGUAUUUUGCCAAAAUAAAAAAUGAAUGAAAUGGAAUAGGUGCCUUAGAUAUCGUAGUAUGAACUUCUCUGCACAAAGCCUUUGGAGGACCACUUUAAACUUGAUAGAUGUCCAGGAGGUCCGCAGUAUUUCGUUGAUGUCCCAAGACGCAUAAUCUCUCUUUCUUGUUAAUUCAAGCAUAGUAAAAAUUGUCGCAUGCCCCACCUUUGAUCACAAUUUGAAUUGCCCUUUUUCCCCAGGUUUUCAAUUCAAAACCCCUUUGGUCUCAAAGUGCCCUUCAUGGGUUUUCGCCUUGGCCUCUCCUCUUUUGUUUUAGGCGAGGUACUUUUUCAUUGAAUUCGAAUUCACAGGAUUAGGCAGGAUUUUUCCAUCCAUCUCAGUCAAAAUUAACGCUCCUCCAGAAAAGGCCUUCUUUACUACAUAAAGUCCCUCACAGUUUGGCAUCCACUUUCCUCUAAAGUCUUUUUGUAUGGGAAGGAUCUUCUUCAGUACCAAAUCCCCUUCAUGAAAUUCCCUAGGACGAACCUUCUUAUUGUAAGCUCGUAUCAUUUGCUUCUGGUACAUUUGACCAUGACGGAUAGCUCUCAACCUCUUUUCUUCGAUCAAGUUUAGCUGAUCAUAUCAAGAUUGGAUCCAUUAUGCUUCGUCUAACAUUAGUUCUGAAAAAACUCGGAGAGAGGGAAUUUCAACCUCAAUUGGCAGUACUGCCUCCAUUCCAUAAACCAAAGAGAAAGGCGUUGUCUCGGUAGAGGUCCUGACAGAUGUUCGAUAAGCAUAGAGGGCAAAUGGUAACUUCUCAUGCCAAUCUCUAUAAGUCUCAGUCAUUUUUCCCACAAUCUUCUUGAUGUUUUUAUUGGCUGCCUCCACUGCGCCAUUCAUUUUCAAGCGAUAUGGCGAUGAAUUGUGGUGCUUGAUCUUGAAUUGACUACAGACCUCCGCUAUCGUGUUGUUGUUCAAAUUCAAAGCGUUGUCAGAUUUAAUCCUUUCGGGUAUCCCAUACCGACAUAUGAUCUCCUUUUUUAGAAAUUUACUGACGGUCGAUUUUGUGAUGUUGGCGUAAGAAGUAGCUUCUACCCACUUAGUAAAGUAGUCAAUUACUACGAAGAUGAAUCGAUGCAUGUUUGAAGCUUUUGGUGAUAUUGGUCCAAUGACGUCCAUGCCCCACAUGGAAAAAGGCCAUGGAGAAGUCAUGACAUGAAGAGGUGAAUGAGGCACAUGAAUUUUGUCCCCAUAAAUCUGGCAUUUAUGGCAUUUCUUAGCAUACUUGAUGCAGUCCCUUUUCAUGGUGGACCAAUAAUAUUCGAAUCUCAUGAUUUGCCUGGUCAUUGUAAAACCAUUAACGUGUGUUCCAUAGACACCAUCAUGAACCUCUUCUAAGAUUUGCUUAGCCUCAAUAGCGUCCACGCAUCUUAGCAACACUUGAUCAUUUCCUCUUUUAUAUAGGAUCUCUCCAUCCAAGACGUAGUCAUUAACCUGCCUUCUUAACGUCCCCUUGUCAUCCUCGCUUUCUUGGUUUGGGUAUUCCUGACUCUUCAUGUAUUGUAAUAUAUCGCGAUACCAAGGGUGAUCACCCUUUUCCUCUUCUUUGUCGACAUUGCAACAGUGGGCUGGUGCUUCAUAAAUGCUCAUUCUGAUGGGCCUCACAUCCUUUGUUUAUUUACUUUGAUCAUAGAAACCAAAGUAGCCAAAGCGUCGGCCAUCUGGUUUUCUUCUAGCGAAAGGUAAGAGAAGGUGAUGUCAUCAAACUCGUCAAUUAGCCCUAUAACCAGCUUUCGGUAAUUGACUAAUUUGCGAUAUCUUAUCUCCCACUCCCCUUUGAGCUGAAAAACCACCAGUACAGAGUCCCCAUAUACCUCUAACACUUUAAUCUUAUGUUCCAUGGCUGUACGAAUCCCCAUAAUACAUGCUUCGUACUCGGCCAUAUUAUUUGUGCAAUCAAAACCCAAUUUACAGGUGAAUGGAUAAUGAUCUCCGCUUAGGGAUACCAAAACUGCCCUAAUUCCGUUGCCUACAGCAUUUGAAGCCCCGUCGAAGUUUAAUUUCCAAGCACCGCUUUCUUGAGUGUAUUUUUCAACAGUUCCCACAUACAUCAGAUCCUUAUUUAGGAGAUCAAAGUUCAAAGGCUCAUAGUCUUCUAGAGCUCGACUAGCUAGAAAAUCUACUAUCGCGCUUCCUUUUAUAGCUUUUUGAUUCACAUAGACUAUGUCAAAUUCAGACAGUAGAAUUUGCCAUCUGGUCAUCCUUCCAUUUAGAGCGGUUUACUCCAUCAUGUAUUUCAGAGGGUCUAGUUUCAAGAUUAACCAAGUCGUAUGGUACAACAUGUAUUGUCGCAACCUCCGAGUAGUCCAGAUUAAGGCGCAACAUAAUUUUUUGAUUGGGGAGUAUCUUGUCUCACAUUCGGUGAACUUCUUACUGAGAUAGUAUAUUGCUUUUUCUUUUCUUCCCAACUCAUCAUGUUGGCCGAGCACGAAUCCGAUGGAGUUUUCAAAUACUGUUAAAUAUAGUAUCAGGGGCUUGUCUGGGCAAGGCGGUGUUAGUACUGGAGCGUUGGACAAGUAAUACUUGAUCUUGUCAAAGGUUUUCUGGCACUCCUCGUCCCAUAUGCCCGGAUUAUGUUUCUUAAAGAGACGGAAGAUAGGGUCACAUUUUUCAGUUAACUGUGAAAUAAACCGAGCAAUGUAGUUUAGUCUUCUUAGAAAACCCCGGACUUCUUUCUGAGUGCGUGGUGAAGGCAAUUCUUGUAUGGCCUUGACUUUGUCUGGGUCAAUCUCAAUUCCCCUUUCACUGACUAAAAGUCCUAGCAACUUUCCUGAUCUAGCCCCGAAAGUGCAUUUGGCUGGGUUAAGUUUUAGCUGGAACUUCAUUAACCUUAGGAACAGUUUUCUCAAUACUUGCACAUGUUCUCCUUCUGUCCUAAACUUUACAAUCAUGUCAUCAACACAGACUUCUAUCUCUUUAUGCAUUAUAUCAUAGAACAAAGUUACCAUGGCUCUUUGGUACGUUGCCCCUGCAUUCUUUAAUCCGAAUGGCAUCACCUUAUAGCAAAAUGUUCUCCACAUAGUUACAAAUGUGGUCUUAUCCAUGUCUUCAGGAUGCAUUUUUAUCUGAUUAUACCCCGAGAAGCCAUCCAUGAAGGAGAAAAGUGAGUAACCUGCUAUGUUGUCCACCAGAGUGUCGAUAUGGGGUAACGGAAUAUUGUCUUUUGGACUAGCUUUGUUCAAAUCUCUAUAAUCUACGCACAUCCGUACCUUCCCAUCUUUCUUAGGGACAGAGACUAUGUUGGCUACCCAAUCCGAGUACUUGACCACUUGUAAGAACCCCGAGUCGAACUGCUUCUUGACCUCUUCUUUUAUUUUUAACAAAACAUCAGGCCUUAUUCUUCGUAGCUUCUGUUGCACCAGUUUACAUUCUUCUUUUAUGGGCUGUCGGUGUACUACAAUAUCAGUACUUAGGCCAGGAAUGUCUUGAUAGGUCCAUGCAAAGACAUCUUUAAACUCUUGAAGUAAUCCAACGAGGUCUCGUUUUGUUUCCUCAGUAACGCAAGCGCCAAACUUUACUUCUUUCUCUUCUUCUAAACCCACUACUUCCACGGAUUCCUUAUAAGGUAAGAUUUGUUUCUCUUCUUGCUCCACCAUUCUUAACAAAUCAGGAGAUAAUACGCUGUCUUGGUCAUCUUCAAAACCCUGACGAUCAUCCGUACUCAUGUCUUGUUCAAAUAGGGACUUUGAGUCAGUAACAGCGUCGCUCACAUCAUUGAUAUCUGAAGACCUGUUAUUGGGAGAAAGGAAGGUCCAAAGAAAGAAGAAUCUAAGCAUAAUUGUUUACACAGUAUGAUUAUAAAUUGAAUGAAAAGAAUAGAAGAAUAUUUGCUCAAAAUGAGACUGAAUGAUGUGUUUUCAUUGAAAUAAGAUUUUGGACAUGUGUCUUUUACAAAAUAUUCUUAUUGCCCCCAGGCUUAGGGCAACAAGUGUUCUAGAUAUUACUCUGAAUUAGUUCUAAAUGUUAUAGGGAUCUCUUCUGCAGUCUAGUUGUCUAGAACACUUCCAGGUUCGUAAGGGCGGAUGCCUGAUACACUUCCUUCUUCGAGUUCUUUUUUGAAUAUGGCAUUGAUGUUCAGGUUUUCUAACAUUUCCUCCGUAGUAUCCCUUCUUGGUGUCCUUCGUUCAGGAUAAAUAGUUCCCCCUGAUAUAAAGGUCCUAGAUAUGUGGGGGAAGGUCAUAGGUUCCCAAUCGACUUCUUUUCCACUCAAACGCGCCUUCCUCUUCUCUUGUCUUUUUUCUAACUCUUUCCUUCUUUACUUCGCAUUUGGCUUAGAUCCUAAACCAAAGCGGUCUCGUUUAUCUUUUAUCAUUGGUACCUCUAUCCUUCAUUGAAGACAUCUUCCGAAUCCUCUCCCAGACACUGCUCCUUUUCCAAUCGUCAUUUGCAGUCCCAUCCUCGUAGUUUUGGAUAUGCUAGGCAUCGUGAUCUUAUUCCCCUCAACAACAAAAGUUGCGUUCACGAAUUCUAAGGAUCAAAAGGAACAUUCAAUCGCCUCAUCAUUCGUUUCUAAAUAUGGUGUGUCGCUGGUUACCGAUGCAAUAAUGUCUUCUUUAGCGCUUAUAGUAACUAGUCGGCCUUCUAUUACCAAUUUCAACUUCUGGUGCGAUGAUGAAGGCACUGCUCUAGCUGAAUGAAUCCAAGCUCUUCCCAACAAGUAAUUAUACGAAGGUUUGAUAUCCGUCACUAGGAAAUCUACCUUGUAUGUAUUCGGGCCAAUCAAGAGAGGUAUUUCUAUUCUUCUCGUUACUUUUCUUUCAGUGCCAUCAAAUGCUCUCACUAUAUUCUGGCAUGAUUUCAUGUGAGAGUUAUGCAUCGGUAACCUGUUUAAGGUGGAUAAGGGUAAGACAUUCAAGGCCGAUCCAUUAUCAAUUAACACCACCGGAAACGUGUAUCCCUUGCAGCGAGUGGUGAUAUUUAGGGCUUUGGUGGCUCCUCUCCCCCCCCCCCGAUGAUAUUUCAUUAUCAUUAAAGAAGAUGAAGUUGUCGGCACUUAUAUUGUUAACCAAGCAGUCUAACUUGUUCACCGAGAUAUCGUUAGCGACAUAAGUUUCAUUUAGUACUUUUAUCAACGCAUUACGAUGUGUCUCUGAACUUAGAAGCAACUUAAGCACCAAGAUGCAAGCUGGUUGCUUAUGUAGUUGUUCCACCACGCUAUACUCACUGUGCUUUAAGAAUUUUAGAAAUUCUCUAGCCUCAUUUUUAGUUACCGGCUUGUUAACAUGCGAUUCAAUUCUAAUCGUUUUUGCUUCCCCUCGCUCAACCGCUAAGGUUUUUCCUUUUGUGGUUUCCACUCUUGCAUUUGUCGAAUCGUAGCAUUUUUCGCUUCGUGUAUAGAAGCCUAUAUCAUCACCCUUUUUUGAAGUAUUUAUUGGGUUCUCUUCUCCCGGGAUCGUCACGUUGCACUCGUAAUUCCAAGAAACCCAUUUGCUAUUCUUAUAAAGAAAUUAUAUGGGUUUUUAGAUUAUGACCCUUGGCGCUAUUUCUAUUCCAGAUUCUGUGCUCCUUGGCCUUGAAAUAAUCACCACUGAGUGAUUAACCCUUUGGGCUUCCCCGUAGAUUCUUCCUCCGAGGUGUAAAUUUCCCCUUCUUCUAAUCCUUCAACCUUUUCAUAAAACUUCAACUCUUUGUUAUCCAUUAAGUUUUGCAUCAUGGUUCUGAACUCGGUGCAUUUUUAAGUGUCAUGGCCCUCUUCAGCAUGGAACUCGCAAUACUUCAUCGUCCCUUUGGGCCUCUCCGUUGAAUCUUGCUUGAUAAAACCUCCCUCUAUCAUUCGUUUCCAAACCCAUUUCAACGGGGUUUUUAUCUCUGCUACGUCAGCUUUAACUCUCCUUCCCCACUCUCGAUUAUUGCGUUUACCUCUUUAUCAGAAUGAUUGGUUAACGGAUUCCCUGCUACAUUUGGUUCUGGUGGGUCGUCAAACUUUACAAUCCCCAUCUUAAUGAAUCUUUCCACCAUCUUCUUAAACGCAGUGCAGUUCUCAAUCGAGUGUCCCGUUAUCCCUGCUUAGUAUUCACAUUGGGUAUUCACGUCGUACCAUUUAGGGUAUGAAGGUUGCAUGGGUUUCAGAUAAAAUGGAGACACGACGUGUGCAUCGAAUAGAUUCUAAUACAGUUCUCUAUACGUCAUUGAGAUACGUGUGAAUUGGGGUCUUUCUACAUUCGACCUUGGAUGGGAUUCCUGCCUUAAAAAGCCUUGAUGGCUAGUGGUUAUUGCUCUUGCUUGUCCCACCGUGAUUGGUUUAGAAUAGCCUUUGUUAAACAUACUUGCAUUGUUUAUCUCGUGCUCUUUCUUUCUUGGGGCUGACCUCUUGGCACUUUCCCCCGCUUCUAUCUUGCCGCAUAUUAUUGUAUUCUCUAUCAUUUCUCCAGACAUCACUAUGUCUGAAAAGCUUUUAGUGGCGCUGUCUAACAUGUGAUUGAUGAACAGAGCCUUCAAAGUAUUGAUGAAAAGCAUGGUUGUCUCUUUCUCCAGAAGUGGUGGUUAGACUUGCAUUGCUAUUUCUCUCCAUCUUUGGGCGUACUGUCUGAAGCUCUCACUAGGCUUCUUUUCCAUGUUCUGUAAUGUAAUUCGACCGGGUGCUAUAUCCUUCACAUGACUGUACUGCUUCAUAAAAGUCUGUGCCAAGUCCUUCCAUAAAUUGACUUUAGUCUGGCUCAAUUGGUUGUACCAUUUAGCCGCCGACCCGAUCAAGCUGUCUUGGAAAUAGUGCAUCAAUGUUGAUCAUUAUUGAUGUAUCCUGUUAUCCUUCGACAGAACAUAGUGAUAUGAGCUUCAGGACAGCUAGUCCCGUUAUACUUUUUAAACUUUGGCAUUUUGAACUUAGGUGGAAGCACCAGAUCAGGAACCAAACUCAAGCCUUUGGCGUCAAUUCCACAAUGGUAGUCGGCGUUCUCCAUGGCUCUAAAUUUCUCCUCUAUCCAUCUACACGAUCCUCAAGUUGUUUUGGCAAGUCCAUUCUUACCUUUUCUAUUUCUGCCACGUCAUCGAGAUCAGGGACCACGGGAUUGGUAGGGUUAUCCCCGGGAUUAGAACCCGAGCUUAUUGGAAAGUUCAUUGACACUAGGGCCCCAACCUGAUAUUGGGAUCUGAUAGUGACAGGUACCCUUCAUGGGUACACGUCCGGUUGCGCUUAGAUGUUAGUUAGGGUAAAACCUGGAGGAUAGGCAGGGUCUUCAUGAUCAUCCCCAGAAUUGACCACAGGGCUCUUCCCUUUAUCAUUUUCUCCAGCCAUUAACUGUGUUAACUAGCUCAAUAAAUUUCUUUGGGAUUCUUACAUGUCUUGUUGCAUUUUAGCUAGUUUUUCCUGCAUCUGAACUUGCAUCUCUUUUCACAAUUGUUCCAAUCUUUCUAAUAUCUGAUCCAUUACUUUUGUCUUGCGGCGGGUACCGUAGUGAUAUAUAGUUGGCUGAUUUUUGUUGGUUUCCAAGGUAACUGUCAUAAUUUUAAUUAAUUAGGGCUCUUUUUUGAAACUUUAAUGCAUAUGAUGAGAUGUAAUGCAAAUGAAUCAAAGCAAAAAGAGGCAUUGAUUCUAAUUCAAUUUCAUUAGAAAAACUCGAUUAGAAAACAAAUUUCUUUACAUAAAAUGGAUUACAUAUAUGGCUUCGCCUUUAUACUCAAAGCCUUAACCCUCUUAAGGAGCCAAGCUAACUCUCAACCUCGGCUUGAUUCUGAUUCAUAUUUUAAACUCAAUACAUCAGCCUGAACUGCUAAGGUUUGCAGAUGAUCAGCUACUUCCUGCACUUAAGUUACAACUUCACCCAUAAUGUAAUCUUUAUCUCUAAUCUGACUUUGGGAAUGAUGGAGCUGUUCUUGCCACUGUUCGUUACGCCUCUCAAGAAGUUCCACUCGUAAUUCAGAGUUUUGCAAUGCGUCUUCGAGCUUUUCUAUUUUCCCCUUCAAUUUUUCGAUCUUUCCUAAACUUGCUCUUAACUUGAUCAUUGAGUUGCGACUACGGUACAGGUGAAGCGACUUUUCUAACUAUACUACCCGAGCUUUUAAUCUCGCUUCUUCAUUUCAACAUUCUAACAAGUUUUUCUCUAAAGCUCUCUCUCGAGCUUGGGCGUCUUAAAAUUUCUUUUCCCACUGAUCAGCCAUGGUCUUUUCUUCCUUGAUCUCCUGUCGCCAUUACUCCGACGUUUUACCUAAACCGACAGUUCUUAUUGACAAACGCAGCUUCUUAUAAUCUAUUUUUAGACUAUCUAAAUCCUCUUCAGCCUUGUUCUUCCCUUUCCUUAAUUUUUCGAUUUUUAACUUGUGGAUAUCGACAUCUAGUCCCAAACGCAUCUUUUCCUCUUCUAGCUGCUCUAUCUUCUUUCCUAACUCUGAACUUCUUUUUUCAAAGUCCUGUUUGAUGAUCUCUAAUUCUGAUGGAACUUCUUGUAGAUGGUCCUCUAUAGAUCGAAUGCAUUCUUUUCUCGACCCGGAGAUGUUGUUAUUGACCCUCUUACUCCAACACCCAUAAUAUUCGAAAGUUGUCAUUGCUCUUACGGUAAAUCUUUUCAUCCGGUGAACUUGUUUCCAAGCGCUAAACAUUUCUCGAAUCUUUCUCUUGUAGUUAUCACCCUUAUAAGAAAACUCACACUGAGUCAGCCCUUAUGUUGUCGGUAUGAACUAUCUUGAUUUAUAUUGUCUUAAUACGAGCAAAGGGGUAUAUUCGACAGCUCUCCAAAUUCUAAGUAAAAGGACCAAGUCGAAGUUUUCACAUCGAUAUAGGAUAUCGUCGGGCACCAUCCAAUGAGCUUUCCAUUCAACAUCUUUCUCUUGAAGAGUUUGGAGAAUCACCAUCCAUUUCUCUUCUGUGAUGUCGUUUCAUCUUGGUGUAGCCACUAGUUCCUUUAAUGGGGAGUAGUUUUCUAAGAAUACCCAAUAGGAGACCUUUUUCCACUUUCCAAAAGUGUCUAUGGAACCACACCAAUAAUAGUUGCGCGCAUCCGAUGAACCUUCCUUCACCCGCUCUUCGACACGCAUUUAGAGAUCUAAAAGUUUCAGCCAAUAUUGCUGAGACCGGUGUGACCCCCUUGUCAAGCCUAUCAAACAGAUCUGAAACUGCUUCAUCCACAUGCCCUAAUGCCUUGGGGAAAAUAACUAAACCAUAAAUGCUCAAGACAAAGAUAUCAACUCACUUGGUGCAAAAAUCAUGAAAAACCAGCUUGAAUAAACCCUUAGGACGUUUUUGGCUGAUGAGAAUGCAGAAAAAUAAAGAGAAAUCUAGAUAAUUCCACUUUAGUCCUAACUUUUAAAGUAAAUUUUUGCAAUAUUCUAAUUUUACCCUUAAUUCUCCAAUUCUCCUUAUUUUUCUCAGCUUGUGCCGCCCAAAAUAUCUUCUUUUGGGCUUAUUUACAAUUUAUGUCCCUCCUUAUUUAACAAUGGAGCUAUUUAAUCCUUCUAGUAACUUUUACACCUUUUUUAAUUUAGUCCUUUUCACUUAAUUGACUGCCCAAACAUUAAAAUUUUCUAACGAAAUUUUAAUACCAUAUUACUAACAUUUCAUAAAUAUUUAUAAAAAUAUUUUUGACUUGGUUUUAUGAGAUCGAUGUCUCGAUACCUUGUUUUUACCCAAUUUCUUCAAUAAUUUCUUUUUCUAACUAACCACUAAAUCGGUAAAAUUUUUCUAUCGAUAUUUUCAUACGAUUUUCUAUCAUAUCAAUAUUCAUGCAAAAAUAUUAAAAUAAAUUUCUUUUAAAAUCGGAUUUUUGGUUAUGAAACCACUGUUUCGAUAACCUUGAAUUUAGGCCAUUACAACUCUCCCCCCUUAGGGAUUUUCGUCCUCAAAAAUCUUACCAGUAAAGAGGUUCGGGUAUUGUUUCCUCAUUGCCUCCUCUGAUUCCCAUGUCGCUUCCUUAAUCCCGUGCUUUUUCCAUAAUACUUUCACCAAAUUUAUCUUUUUAUUUCUAAGCUCAUUUAUUUCCCGUGCUAAUAUCUUAACCGGUUCUUCACUAUAAGUCAUAUCCGGCUGAAUCUCCACUUCUGUCAGAGAAAUAACAUGUGAAGGAUCUGAUCGAUACCGUCGUAGCAUAGACACAUGAAAAACAUUAUGAAUUCUAUCGAGUUCCGGUGGUAAUGCCAAUCGAUAAGCGACCGCGAGUUCCGGUGGUAAUGCCAAUCGAUAAGCGACCGGUCUAAUUCUUUCUAUAAUUUCAUAUGGCCCAAUAAAUCUUGGACUCAACUUACCCUUUUGACCGAAUUGGAGAACUUUUUUCCAAGGAGACACUUUUUUGGAAUACCUUAUCACCCACCUAAAAUUCAAUCUCUUUUCGUUUAAGAUCAGCAUAUGGCUUUUGACGAUCGAAAGCUGCUUUUAGACUAUCUCGAAUCAUCUUGACUUUUUCUUCUAUUUCCCGGAUCAAAUCAACCCCAUGUAUCUUCUUUUCACUAAGCUCUGUCCAAUAUAAUGGUGUUCUACAUUUUCUACCAUACAAAGCUUCAUACGGAGCCAUUUUAAUACUGGACUAAUAACUGUUAUUAUAAGCAAAUUCAAUCAAAGGUAGAUACCUCUCCCAAUUACCUUCUAACUCUAAUAUACAACAUCGGAGCAUAUCUUCCAAUACCUGAAUUACACGCUCAGAUUGGCCAUCUGUCUGAGGAUGAAAUGCAGUGCUGAAAUACAAUUGAGUACCCAAGGCUUCUUGCAAUUUGUCCCAGAAACGAGAUGUAAAUCGGGGAUCUAUAUCUGAUAUAAUAGAUAUUGGCACUCCAUGUAGCUUGACAAUCUCAGAUAUAUACAGUUCAGCCAAUUUAUCUAAAAAAUAAUCCAUAAGUACUGGGAUAAAAUGUGCUGAUUUUGUUAAUCGAUCAACGAUCACCCAAAUGGCAUCUUUCUUAUUCGGUGACAAUGGUAACCCAAAUACAAAAUUCAUAGUAAUUCUUUCCCACUUUUAUUCCGGUAUAGUGAUUGGCUGAAGUAACCCCGAAGGUACCUGAUGUUCAACUUUAACCUGCUGACAUAUUAGGCACUUUGAUACAAACUCAGAAAUAUCACGUUUCAUACCUGGCCACCAGUACAUCUUCUUCAAAUCAUUAUACAUUUUAUUACCUCCCAGAUGUACGGACAUAAUACCACUGUGUGCCUCGUGUAAAAUCUUCUGUACAAGCUCUGAAUUCUUCGGUACACAUACUCUGCCUCUGAAUAAUAAACAACCAUCAGUCCCAAUUUGAAAUUCUGAAUCAUUACCUGACUCACAUUGUACCCAUUUAGCCUGUAGCUUUUCAUCAUUUUUCCGAGCUUCAUAUAUUUGUUGUAGAAAUGUCGUUUAACUCUCAACUCAGCUAUGACUGAACCAUUAUCAACCAAAGACAAUCGGGUAUUCAUAGCUCGCAAAGCAAACAAAGAUUUUUGACUCAGAGCAUCAGCUACAACAUUAGCCUUACCCAGAUGGUAAUCAAUAACCAAAUCAUAGUCUUUUAUCAGUUCAAGCCACCUGCGCUGUCUCAAAUUCAAAUCUUUCUGUGUCAUCAAAUAUUUCAGGCUUUUAUGAUCAGUAUAAAUAUGACAUUUUUCACCAUACAAAUAAUACCGCCAUAUUUUCAAUGCAAAUACAAUAGCAGCAACUUAGAGAUCAUGUACCGGGUAAUUUCUUUCAUGUGGCUUAAGUUGUCUUGAAGCAUAGGCUAUUACUUUACCUUCUUGCAUCAAGACACAGCCUAAACCAUUUAAUGAUGCAUCACUAUAAAUAAUAAAUUCUUUACUCGGUUCAGGUUGUACCAACACAGGUGUUUUCGUCAACAAAUCUUUCAAUCGGUCAAAACUCUGCUGGCAUUUAUCAGUCCACUCAAAUUUAACAUCUUUCUGUAAUAAACGAGUUAUCGAAGAAGCUAUCAUAGAGAACCCCUGUACAAAUCUCCGAUAAUAACUGGCUAAACCCAAGAAACUUCUAACUUCAGAUACAUUCUUCGGUGGACUCCAAUUGACAAUAGCUGAGAUUUUACUCAAAUCUACCUUGAUGCCUUCUGCGGAUACAAUAUGUCCAAGAAAACCCACUUCUCGAAGCCAAAAUUCACAUUUACUGAAUUUAGCAUAUAGCUACUUCUCUCGCAGAAUUUGCAACACAAUUCUCAAAUGUUCUGCAUGCUCAUUUUCAUCUUGGGAAUAGACCAAGAUAUCAUCAAUAAAAACUACCACAAACCUGUCUAAGUACGGUCUAAAUAUCCGAUUCAUCAGGUCCAUAAAUACUGCAGGUGCAUUAGUCAGCCCAAACGGCAUAACAAGAAACUCAUAAUGCCCGUACCUGAUUCUAAAAGUUGUUUUCGAUACAUCUAACUCCUUUACCCGUAACUGAUAGUAGCCCAAUCGGAGAUCAAUCUUUAAAAAUACAGUGGCACCCUUCAACUGGUCAAACAGAUCGUCAAUCCGAGGCAAUGGGUACUUAUUCUUUAUAGUGACUUUAUUAAGUUGUCAGUAAUCAAUACAUAAUCUUAAGGACAUGUCCUUCUUUUUCAUAAAUAAAACUGGAGCACCCUAAAGUGAAUGACUUGGUCAGACAAAACCCCUGUCAACAAGUUCUUGCAACUGUGUCUUUAACUCCUUUAAUUCUGUAAGAGCCAUACGAUACGGAGCUAUAGAGAUUGGAGUAGUUCCCGGAAUCAGAUCUAUAGAAAAUUCCACUUCUCUUUCUGGUGGCAACCCUAGUAAUUCCUCUAGAAACACAUCAAAAAAUUCACAUACAAUUGGCACUGCCUGUAUAUUUAAUUGGCACUGCCUGUAUCUUUAACUCAGAUACCUUAGUGUUUAACACAUAUGCCAAAUAAGCAUCAUACCCUUUUCUGACACACCUCUGAGCUGUCAUAACCGAAAUCACAUUAGAUAAUUCUUCUGUCUGAUCAAAUUUAACCCGAAGUAAUUCUCUAUUCUAACACUUCAGCAUAAUAUAUUUCUGUCUACAAUUUACUACUGCAUCAUGCUGAGUUAGCCAAUCCAUACCCAAUAUCACAUUGAACUCAUCAAAAGGCAAUAACAUCAAGUCAACAGGAAAACAAAUACCUUUUACCAUCAGUGGACAAUUUUUACAAACUUUAUCCACCAUCAUAAACUGGCCCAGUAGGUUCGAGACUUUAACCACAAAUUCAGUAAGUUCAACAGAUAAAUUUUUAACAAAUACUAAUUUUGUGCAUAUGUAUGAAUGUGUAGAGCCAGGAUCAAUUAAUACAGUAAUAUCAGUAUCAAGUAAAGAAAAUGUACCAGUAAUAACAUCGGGUGCUGAGGCAUCUUCUCUAGCACGGAUGGCAUAUGUCCUAACAGGUGCUCGUGCCUCAGACCUGCCUGCAGUCUCUUUCGUAACUCCUCAGCUACCACUAACAUUACCAGAUGGUCGAGGUGGUCUACCCCUCGAAACUGGAUUACUCGGCUUCGAUGUAUGUUUAGCUUCUUUUUCACCCCUUUCUAGACAAUCUCUGAGGAAAUGAUCGGAAGAACCACAUCGAUAACAAGCCCCACUCUUUAAUCGACAUUCACCAAAAUGAGUUUUAUUACAGUACUGACAUCUCGGCUUAGGGGUACCAACACUACCAGCACUGGUCACUGAUGGAGUGGAAGGUCUUGGAUUAGUGCGUUGAAAACCUCGCUCUCUAAUCGAAUACCCACUGGCUGAGGUUGAACGAUCCUGGUAUUUCUUCAAUUUCUUUAAAGUAAAAAACUGGGAUUUUUCCAUAGAUGUUUUACUGAAAACCCGAGCUUCUCUUUCAGCUUGUUUCUUUUCUUUGCUCAAUUUUUUUGCUUUAUAAGCUCACUCUGCAAGGGUAGUAAACUCUCGAAUUUCAAGAAUUCCGAUCAAUAGCUUAAUUUUUUCAUCCAACCCUUCUUCAAAUCUUUUGCAUAUUCCAGCUUCUGAUUGUACCCAUUCCCAAGCAUAUUUACUCAAUCGGACAAAUUCUCUUUCAUACUCAGAUACUGAUCUGUUAUCCUGUUUCAGCUAAAAAAAUUCUUUUCUCUUCCGAUCGAGGAACCUCUGACUGAUAUAUUUCUUUCUGAACUCGGUCUAAAAGAAUUCUCAUUUAAUUUCUUCUUUUGGAACCACCGAAGCUUUAGUGUUUCACCAAUGAUAAGCUGUGUCUUUUAACAAUGAUACUGCACAUUUCAGACACUCUUCUGGCGUGCAAGAUAAUUCCUCCAAAACCCGAGUAGUAUUCUCUAACCAAAACUCAGCCCGUUUGGGAUCAUCAUCAACUGCAGCUCUGAAUUCUUCUGCCACAUAUUUUCUGAUUUUAUCAACCGGAGCUUUCCCUUUUUUGCUAGGUUCAAUACCUGUACCCUGUGAAAUCUCGGGAAUCGGUGGAGGAGGAGGAGGAGGAGGAGGAGCUUGAGCUUGCUGCACUAUAGGGUUAGUUUUUAUAUAUUGAGUAAAUCAUUCAUUCAUCAUUUGAUAGAAGGCAAUUUUAGCCUCUUCACUUUGGUCCCUUAUCUCGGACCUUCUACUACUAGUAGCUUCAACUUCUCUUUGUUCUGAAGCCGGAGCAUGACUCUCGGCUUCCUUGGGUUGAACUUGGUCGGCAGACAUUUACUAUAAGAAAAUCACAUUUCAAAUGGUCAGGAGAUAUCACACUAUCAAUAAGAAUUUAAAUCCCAUGUAUAGCUAAUCCAGUAUUUUCUACAUCGGUCCGAGAACUGACUAAAUCGUAGCUCUGAUACCAACAAAAUGUAACACCCCUUAACCAUAUCCGUCGUUGAAAUAGGGUACGAAGCAUUAUCAGAUUUUAUCGAAUUAAUUUUCUAUUAUUACGAGUUAAAUACUAUUCAUUUAUCGAAACAUGUCAUGACGUCCCUUGAAUGGGCCUCCGAAGCCCAAAACAUACAUCGAGACCAAACCGGGAUUAAAUCGAAACCAUAAGAAAUUUUUCGCAAAAUCCCAAAGUUUUUUUUUUAAAACUCAAUACAACCCCUUUAUAAAUAUCUAAUCUUCCCUGCAAUUUUAAACCAAGACCAAUCCAACACAACCAAUCCAUUUCAACAUACUUUCAAAAUAGAUUUAACAUAUUCAUAAGAUAACCUCAUCACAUACCAAAACCAAAAUUUGUUAGCCAUACCAAUGGCUAACCAUUCAUUCAUUUCACAUUAACAUUUACUUUACUAGCUUAUACAUGCCAUUGAUUUCUAAAAUAAAGUUUCUUUAUAUACCGAGAUCUUGAGGUUGAUAGUGUGAUGCGUCUCCGACCAAAUCCGACCUCCGAGCUCUUAACACUACAAAACAGGGGAAAAGGAAACAGGGUAAGCACUUUGUGCUUAGUAAGCUCAUGUAAUAAGAAUUAUACUUACCUAAUAUUUUCAAUACAAUACAAUACAAUACAAUAAACAUUCAUACAUCCAUUCAAUGCAUUAUUCCCCUAACAUGCACGAACUCAACAUUCAAGUUAGUUCAGUAAUUUCCAUGUAUCAAUAAUAUAUAUAUCACGAUUGAUAAGCUCAUCAAUUCCAUGAUUUCCAUUCCCUUGUUAUUUUUCCAUAUUUAUCCCGUUGAACUACUUGGAAUUUCGAUGGAUUUUCAGGGGUACACCUAAGUGUACAAAUCUGGGUUCGUCAAUUCAUAUUCAUGUGCGCACAUUUUCAUUUCAGAGAGCACACUCCCGUGAACCUCAUCCUUACAGCGGGAUUACCAGUCCAGGCUAAAUCCCCUGUAAUAUAAACUCAUAGAAUAUUGUCGGGAUUACCAGUCCAGGCUAAAUCCCCUGCAACGACAAUUACUCUAAUGAGCUUGGAUUUGAAUUACCAGUCCAAGCUAAAUUUAGACCCUAAUUUGGAAUACCCGUCCGGGCUAAAUUCAUUUUCCACAUAUUCUUUGAGAGGGCUGUAUCAGAAUAGGAUCACCCAUCCGGGCUAGAUCCUUUUUACCGUCAAUUCCUUUUCAGAGAUCCAUCGAAUUUUCCUUUCAUUCAACCGGGAUUUAUUUUCUCUUUUCAUCAAGAAUAUCAAUACUUCUUCAAUUAUCAUACAAUAAACAUCCAAAUCAUAUUCACAUCAAGAAAAAUAUAUUUCAAGCAUUUAAGAAUAUAAUUCAAGUUACACGAACUUACCUCGAUACUUGUUCGUAAAUAAAAAUCUACUAAUUCCAAACUUUUUCUUUUCCUCGAUCUAGCUUUGUAUUUGAAUUUUCUAGAUCUAAAUAAAUAAAUUUAAUCAUUAAUCUAAUACAUUUCAUGUUCAUAUGUAACAUUCUCUAUAAUUCCAUUAUUAUUUAUAGUUCAUUCAAAGCUGUCUCAUUGAGUCAUAGUCGCUAAAUUAUUUAUAUCUUGAGCUACGGAAUUCCAAAUUAAGAUCUGCUAAUUUUUCCCAAAACUAGACUCACAUAUCUUCUUACCAUAAAAUUUUCAGAAUUUUUAGUUCAGCCAAUAAGUACAGUUUAUUCUUUAAAGUUUCCCUUGUUUCACAGUUCAACAGUUUCGCCCCCUCUUCACUAAAAAUUAAUUAUCUCAUUGUACAGAAUUUGGAUGAUGUUUCCAUUUAUUUAUUCUAAAAAUAGACUCAUUAAGGAUUCUAAGCAUAUAAAUUAUAACUCAUAAUAAUUUUUUUACAAUUUUUAAUGAUUUUCCAAAGUCAGAACAGGGGAACCCGAAUUCAUUCUGACCUUGUCUCACAAAACCUAUUAUAUCUCAUUAUUUACAAUUCCAUUGACUACACUAUUUCUUCUAUAAGAAACUAGACUCAAUAAGCUUUAAUUCUAUAUUUUUUUCAUCCUCUAAUUCAAUUUACAAAAUUUAUGGUGAUUUUUCAAAGUUAACCUACGCAGCUGUCCAAACUGUUUUAAUGCAUGAUAUUAAUUACCAUUUUCCCCUAAGCUUUCAAUAAAUGAUAAUUUCAUCCUUACUCAAUUAACCUCUCAAUUGAGCUGAUUUUUCUCAAUUAACACAUUAUUCCAUCACUUUAAAGUACUUUAUAACCUUUGGAAAUCAGAAUUUUAGCACUAGACUUUAAUUCCAAACUUUUUCACAAUUAGGUCCUACAAAUCAAUUUUUAUUGAAAUUACCUAAUAAAAUCAUCUCAUAAACAAAUUAAAGCUUUAAUUUCAUGCUAUAUCAUCAUAUAUUUCCAGCACAUAUUCAUAGCAACUUUCAAUUUAGUAAUAGGACCUAGUUGUAAAAGUCUUAGGAACAUAAAAAUUACAAGAAAAAAAGCAAGGAUUAACUCACUUGGUGAAAAAAUCAUGAAAAACCAGCUUGAAUAAACCCUUAGGACAUUUUUGGCUGAUGAGAAUGCAGAAAAAUAAAGAGAAAUCUAGAUAAUUCCACUUUAGUCCUAACUUUUAAAGUGAAUUUUUGCAAUAUUCCAAUUUUACCCUUAAUUCUCCAAUUCUCCUGAUUUUUCUCAGCUUGUGCCGCCCAAAAUAUCUUCUUUUGGGCUUAUUUCAAUUUAUGUCCCUCCUCAUUUAACAAUUGAGCUAUUUAAUCCUUCUAGUAACUUUUACACCUUUUUCAAUUUAGUCCUUUUCACUUAAUUGACUGCCCAAACAUUAAAAUUUUCUAACAAAAUUUUAAUAUCAUAUUAAUAACAUUUCAUAAAUAUUUAUAAAAAUAUUUUUGACUCAGUUUUACGAGAUUGAGGUCUCGAUACCUUAUUUUUACCCAAUUUCUUCAAUAAUUUCUUUUUCUAACUAACCACUAAAUCGGUAAAAUUUUUCUAUCGAUAUUUUCAUACGAUUUUUCUAUCAUAUCAAUAUUCAUGCAAAAAUAUUAAAAUAAAUUUCUCUUUAAAUCAGAUUUGUGGUUACGAAACCACUGUUCCGAUAACCUUGAAUUUAGGCCAUUACAACUCCGACCAGUCGUCACCGCGCCGGCCGCCGGUCACCAAUGACGGCGCCGCCGUAUUCGGUGGCUGAAAAAAGGUAAAACCUCCAACCCUAUCCUUUCGACCCUCCUAAAUCCAAAUCUGGGUUCAAAAUUCCCAAAAUAUUAACAAAAACGCCCCAAAAGCUCAAGAAACCUUUCAGUUUUCGGCCACCUAUCCUCGAAGGUGACUUCCUCAGCCGUCCACGGCGUUGAAAAACCCAAAUACAGGUUAGUUUGUUACUCCAUUUUUCCUUUUGUUUUACUUUCGUAUGUGUAAAUAUGAUAAAAAUAAAAUAACAGUAGACCAAAAAUGAAACGAAGAUUUAGAAAAUAGCAGUAGAUGUAAACCUUUCGAGAUUUUUCUAUUGAUUUUGAGUUCUCUGAGUAUUCAAUCCCUUUUUUUAUUACAUUUAUUGAUGGGGCCUUUUAUAGCCGAUUUACAUGUUUUUUUUUCUUUCGCUUCUGUUCUUGUUGCUUCUGUGUUUGUCUAUUUUCUGUCCUGUUUGCAGGUCUUGGCAAGGUCAACAGACAUUGAAGGGAUAACCCCUGCCAUUUUGGUGCAAGGCCGUAGACGCCUGUCAGGCUUUGGGCGAUGAGUGCGCUGCAGGGGCACGAAGAGGGAGUGCGGCGCACAUGGAGCACUAGGGUUUCAGUUUUCCCCUGAAAGCAGUUUGGUUGUGGGCUGAAUUGGGUUAGGUUUUUUUAUUUUGGGCCAUACCAGGCUUGGCAUGUAAUUGGGGUUUGGGUUUGUUAUUGAGUUUUGGGCCCGGGCAAAAAUGGCCUAUUACACAAAUAAUAAAAAUUAAAAUCAAAUCAUCAUAUUUAUUAUAUUAGUCUAAAAAGCAACUGAUAAUAUAAUUGCUAAUAAAAGCUAAAAGAAAAAUCAACAUUGUAUGCAAUUUUAUCUAAUUAUUCUAGUGCAUAUUUGUUGCUUUAUUCCCUCUUCAAAAUUUAACAUAUGCUCCUUAUUAUCGUCUGUUGGUUUUUGAUCAAAUUCGUCAUCACCAAAAUUUGAAUUUGUAUCAUUAAGAUUAUCAAGAUUUCCUUCUUUCAUGUACUCUUUGAAGUAUGGAUCAUCUUGAUUCUACUUAUAAUUCAAGUUAUGAAAUAUGCAAUAUGCUAGUGUCAUGGGGUUAGACCUUUCAUCUCGCAAAUUGUGUGGCCUUAGACAAUUUCUUCGCUUCAAAUGUGUCUAAGUCAGCCUAACUUUCGCAAAGUGAGAAUUCUCGCAGAAUUCCUCUCUAAGGCAUUGAAAAUAUAGUGGAAGCAAUCUCAAAGACAAAAGAAAGCUAAAAAAAAACAUAAUAGCCACAAAAAAAGUAAAAGUACACCAAGUUAAAUGUUCUCAAUUAGUAUUUACUAAUAAAAAAAUGAAAUACAAUGGAUGAUUACAAAUUAGGGGAGGCUCUCUAUUUAUAGUUGAGUUCUCCCAAAACGGAAGAUAUAGAUUGAGUUACAUCGACGGAUGAGAUCGAAGCAUAUCUACAAUUAAGAGAUAAUCCCCAAGAUUACAAAAUUAAAUCUUAUCAUAUUACAAAUCUUCUAAGAUUUAUUUCCCUAUUUACCAAGGUAACCCUAAUUUUCCAUAAGUGCUUUGUUAGGCCACCAAGGCUUUAAGUAGAUGGGUUUCGUCACUUGUUCUUCAAAUUGGACCAAUUCAAGUGGGUUAAAUGAGGCCUAUUUUAUAUGUAGACCUCAAUAGGAUGCUCUUUGUGCCUUGGUCACGAGCUUUGAACCGUGGCCUGUGACACUAGUAUGAUCCAAUCUUUUUUUUUUAAAUGUUAUAUAAAUAUGAAAAAUAUUUUUUUUAGAAUAACAAAUGUCUUCUCAACUAAAAUUUGAAGUAGUGGUGGAUCCUAGGACAAAGUUUUGGGGUCAAAAAGAUCUUAGGAGUUUAAUAAGGAUUUUUUUUAAAAAAAUUUGGGAACUAAUUAAAUUUUUUUGAGAUUGAUGAGAAUUUUCAAAAUUUUGAGGGGGUGUGAUUAAAAUUUUCUAACAAUUUCAAGAGAGAAAUGAACAAAAAAAAAAAAUUUCUUCCUUUUCUUCUAUGUUGCAUCCAUUGAAAUGAGCAAAAAGGAAUAAAUCAAUUUUGAUUUUAGGGUUCCAAAUCUUAAAUGAAAGUAAGAGUUUGAAAACACAAAAUAUUAAUUUCCUUACUACAGGUUGAAAUUACGUGGAAUUAUUAUAAUUAGGUACCAAAAUGAAAAAGAAACCAUACCAAUAUUUCGUUAACAAAUUAAUAAAGAGUGGUUAAAAGAUAACCAAAUGAUAAUAUUAAUGAUGAAAGUGAAAGUUUUUUCGUAGUUCGAUGAUCAAAAUAAGAAAUGCUAAUAAUUAAGUUUGGAAGUAAUAAUAUUUAUAUGAUAAUAAUAAAUUUCAAAAGAAAAUUAUUUUUAAAAAAAUUGUAAUUAUAACAAUUUAAAUAUAUAUAAAAAAAGCAUCCAACAAAUAUAUCGAAAUAUUGCAAUAAAAGGAUGAAGAAAUCAUAAUAUAACCAUACAUGAAUUAGAAAUCAUUUUAUUUCAAAUAUAAAUGAAAUUUGAUAAUGAAAUAAAUUAAAUUAAACAAAUUAUAAAGUAAGAUAUGAAUAUAUAUAUAUAUAAGUUGUGAAAAAUUUUAAAAUAAAAUAAAAAAUUGUUCUAGAAAUCAUUGACUCUCACGUUCCACCCUCUUUUAUUUAUUAAUUAAUUAUAUUUUUUACUCUUCCACGGUCCUUUAUUUUUUGAAAGGAAAUCUCAUUUGGCUUGACACAAAAGUCAUACAUAAUAUUUGUUGUAUAUAGACUUAUUUCAAAUGUUUGAAUUUUCCAAAAACACACACACACAAAGUCGAUGUGGAAUUAAAAUUUUGGUGCCAAGGUCCACUACAUUUUCCACAACCACUAUAAUUAGACUAGAAUUAUCUCUCCGCGUACACUUGGGUUUAAAAUUUUUAAUUAAAAUUUAUUAUAAUCUUAACAUAGAAAUUAAAUUUGUGAUUAUUUUUAUAAUAGAAUAUAAAGUCUUAAAUUAUAAUGACAACAUAGUUGAGAAAAAUAUUUUAAUUUUAAAAAUGUAUAAAAACUGUUAAUUUUUUUAUUUAUUUUGGGACUAUUUGACAAAAAAACGUAAAUUUAAGGGCUAAAAAAGGUAAAAUAAAUAAAAAUAUAUGGAGACCUAAAAUGAUUUUUUUUAAAAAUAAAACUUUCAUAUUGUUAGUUUAAUGACUAAUGUUAUAAUUUAACCUUUAUUUUUGAAAGGGAAUCUCACUUAAAACGAUCCCACCACUUAGACUACAGUGGCGAAACUAGGACUGGUAAGGGCCCCUUAAAAUGAAAAUUUUUUCAUAUAGUCCCUUUAAAAUUUUUAAAAUUUUAAAUUAGUAAAGGUAAAAUUGUACUUUGGUCUCAUUUAAAAAUAUAAAAAUUUGAUUAAUAAACCUUUAUAUUAAUAUGUACAAAUAAUUUAUAAAUUAAAAAAUUAUCUUUUUAAAUAUAUAAAGUAAAUUUAUAAAUUAAAAAAUUUAUAAAAGAUGGAAUUACUUAAUAUAUUUAAUUUUCCUUUAAAUGAAACAAAUUAUUUGUUGACUUAUUACAUUUAUUCCGUAUGAUUUAAUUUUAAAUUUUAUUUUUUAAUCUUCACAGAAUUAUUAGAUACUUUAAGCAACUUAGAGAAGCUUGACACGAAUCGUAAUGAGGUGAAGGAAUUUGUGCCCAUAAAGAAUAAAAAUAUAUGCAUCAACUAAAUAAUAUAAAUUAUUUAAAAAUAAAACACUUUUCAUUAUUUGAUAGAUUCAUUGAUUACCAAAUAUACGAUAUUUCAAAAAAAAAACAAUUAAAGAAAUCCAGCACUUGAAAGUGCUGAUAGAGCAAUAAUUUGAAGCAGUUAAGAAACUUGUAGGAAGGGUAUAGAAAGAAGGUUGGAGGCUUGACGCCAAAAGUCACCAUAGUGGUCUGCUUAGAUCGUUUGGGGCGACUGAAUUUUCCACAUUGAAAACGAAGCCACUAUUGCUACGAAGACCCUUGAAUUUUCCACAAAGAAUUUAUCCCAUAAAUAGAAUUUAUCAUUACAUUAUAUCAAAUUAUGAAUAAUUCAGAGAUUUGCACAUGUACCUUUUUAUUUUAUUUUAUUUUUUCUUUUUUAUUAUUAAAUUCUUUUGAAGCAAAUAAAGAUAAAUUUAUUAUUUUAAAAUUAAUUAAUUAAAAUACUCAUAUUUUUAAAAUGUUAUCAUGGAAGGAGACUCUUUCAUUGUCAAAAUCCAAACAAAAGGAGGAAGAUUUCAUAGAUGGACAACUAGAACUAAACCUGUUUAAUUAUAAGUCGGAUCAGGCCUGCUCAAAAAGUGAGAGGGUUUGAGUAAAAUUAUAACCUUAAAAAAUGGGUUUAGACAAAAAAAUAAUGUCUGUUUAAAAACGGAUCAGACUUCAGGUAAGGCAUUUUUCACCCGAGUCCAAUCCGAAUUCACAAAAUGACAAAAAAAUCUACUAUUUUUUGUUAUUUUAAUUCUAUUUUCUUGUUAUUUUCUUCUUAUUUUGUUACCAUUUCACUAUUAUGUUAUUACUAUUUUGUUGUUAUUGUUUGGAUAUUAUAUAACACUUGUUUUAUUGUUAAUUUUGUUAUUCUUUUAGAGGCAUUUGUUUGUUAAGUUGCAUCUAUCUUAGUGUUAUUUAAGUAUACGUAUUUUUUAAAAUUUAUUUUUACUUUGUUGGAAAAUAUUUAAUUUAAUGUUUUUAGUAUUUUUGAUGUAUUAUAUAUAUUUAAAAAUUAUAUAAAAAUAAUAUAAAAAAUUAAUAUGGGCAGGUUGGGCCCGGGCCUAAAUUUUUGUUUGGGCCCAGUCGAACCCAACCCAUGAGCAUCUCUAUGGAGAAGCAAGAAAUGAAACUUUAUUGAUAAGUGUCAAAAGUAACAUAUUUUAGUCUCAUCCUUAAUAUUUUUUUUAGGUGAUUAUGUGACAUUAAUUGUGAAAUAUAUAUUUCUAAUCUUUUAUAUUCAUGUUUUGAUACUUAAUAAGGCGCUUGAAAAUAAUAUGAGUGAUAAAUAGUGGAAAUUAGAACUUUGAAGUAUUCCAGACGCUACGCACAUGCAUCAAAUUUUCACACAAACAAUUUAUGAUUUUUAAGUUUUUUUAGCAUUCUAACAACAUAUAAAUAAGGAAAUAAGAAGGGAGGAAGACAACCACGAAAUUACCUUCAGAACAUUAUUAAAGCCUAUUAAAUUAAAUUUUCUAACUCCUUUUGAAUUUGUAUUAGCAAAUUCAAAUAUAUUUACUCCAAAAUUAAAUUCGUCGUUUUUCUCUUCUAUUUUAUUUUAAUUUCUAACAUCUUAUUAAGUCUUUACAAUCUUGUUAUUAUUUUUCAAUCCAUAAUUUGUUAUUGAUGGGUGUCGAUUCCACCAAUAUAAACCUACGCCUAAUUUGCAAAUUUAAGCAGUAUAGGAAGUAGAGUUGAUCCCUUAGAGACUGGGUUUACUGCAAAUUAUUGCUCUCUUGACCAGAUUUAUAUCGGGGCAGUUGUCGUGCUCAAGAAGUUCGGGGGGAUAAAAUUUGAAACCUGAAAUAAAUAAAUAAAAUGCGUAAAAAGUAAAAGUUGAAAAUAAAAUAAUAAAAAGCAGUUAAAUAAAUCUGAAGAAAAAUGAAUUAAACUAAGCUCAGCUUUAGGCACGGGUUUUUCUCGUCUUUGAACUGAUCCUCGAAAUUAGAUGAACUCCUCUUUUCCAAUAAACUAGUUAUAGCUACCAAGGACGCCUCGGACACCAACUCUUCCUUGUGUAAAUUAGUUAAGAAACGUCCAAUAACUAACCCUUACCGAUCGAACAACCAACGAAAUGUUCAUGAUUUAGAACUCCGGCAGCUUUGCGUUCUAGAAGAUUCUAGCUCGAACCAAUGCCCUCAACCGCGUGGGACAUUUAAAUCUGGUUACUACUUCCCUUAACGGAACCAAACAGCAAUCCCCACUUGGCACGCCAAUGUGUUCACAGAAAACCGAUUAGACAAUCGAUCCUUUCGAAAUUCCAACUGUACGUCUAACCACACUAACUCAAACGACGUCUUUUUUGACUUAGUGUUGAUUUGACUUUGUGAGUUGACGAAGUCAUACUCUUAAUCCGGAGAAAUAAUAAGUACUGGAAUUUAGGAGUCAAAUUGCUCGGGUUCGUAACUCACGGAUCUUAACGAAGUUAACACCGGCCUAAAGCUGAAAUGGAUACUUAAUAAAAAAAUUGGUAAUUAAAAACUUGAUUAAUGACUUGAUUCAAGACUUGAUUCCUAAAUGAACAAUGUAGCCCCCUAUUUAUACUAGUGGCUUUGCUAAAUUAAGAGCCACUAGCCAUAGAGAAUCAAGGAAAUAAAAUAUUCCAUCAUAUAAAAAUCCCUACAUAAUCUCCCACUAAUUAAGUCAACAAAAAUUUCAGCUAAUUAUAUCUUGGAAAAUUUUUGCUUUGGCCCGCCUUCUUUGCUCUUUUCUUCAAUCUAGCCCAAUUGCUUCUCCUUUUUCUCUUUUGACCCCAAAUUGUACACCUGUGUAAAAUUUAAGUUAAACAUGGAAAAAUUAGUGGUGCACUCUCGUAAAUUAACCAAUUUAAUUACAUAAAAUAUGUAAUUUUAGCAUUUAAUCAAAUCCCUCUACUUAUUUAAUGCUAGUCCUCGAGCAUUAUGCAUGUAUCUACAAAAGGAAAAAUUUCUUCUAAAAUAGGACUUGACUCCCAUGGUUUGCACAAUUCAACAAUUUAAUCCUAGCACAUUAACAUCUCAAAUAACCUAGCCUAAGAAGGAAGUAAAUAUAUUUCAGAAUUUAUUAGAGCUUGAUAGACUUACCUUUCAUUUUAUUAUUUUUGUACUUGGGACAUUUUCGAAUUUUUUGACGCGAGACAUGAUGACAACCCAAGCACCAUGUUCCGGUUACUUGAUUCGGAUGUCUCUAAGCGGGAUAUUUCACCCUACUCGUGAUAGCUUGUUAGCGGAGUGAGUGCAAAGAAAUUGGACAGCCACAUGAACCUUUUUACGUGAGAUGUGAUGACAACCCAAGCACCACGUUCCGGUUACUUAGCCCGAUGUACAACCCCAAUUUUUCACUCUUAACAUUCGUAUCAGAGGAGUAUUAUUAUUCAUUUUUUCUUUUUUUUUUCCUUUUUUUUAAGACAAGAAGACAGAAAAUUGACAUGUGAUAUAAGGUAGGCAGUCAAGCAAACUCAUAAUUCGUAAAAAUUUCUUACCCACUAAGUCUAGGUUAUUGAAAAGUUUAUGUGUAAAGAACUAAAUGGCUAAAUAGGUCAAACCAUAAGUGUUCCAUCCCAAUUUAUCAAAAGAAAAAAUUUUACCUUUCACGGAAAACAUGCAAAAACAGCGACAAUGGAUAAGCAAAAUAGAACCAAUAUAUGUUCCUUUCCCCCUACUUGUUUUACAUUGUCCCUAAUGUAAUUUGAAUUGAAUUAAAUGAUAAAAAGUAAAGGUAAGUAGGGAAAGGAAAAAGAAACUCCCCAUGUAUUUCAACGUCAUGGAGGGUUGCCUCGUAGGUGUGUCCACGGUGUUAAAUAGUGGGUAGGUGGAUUGGGCCUUGGCUGAAAUUAAAAGAAUUUUAUGGGCUGACAUGGGAGAUUUAAUUUUGUCUUGGAAUGUCUCCCAAGUCUUCCCUUAGACAGAACUGAUCCUCGACAUGCAUUUUCAUUUUCCGUUUACCAAAAAUUUUAUUUGCAUAAAGGGAAAAAUUUGGGUUGCCUCCCAACAGCGCUUUGUUUAACGUCGUUAGCUCGCCGAUCUGUUAUUCAAAUUCUGGGCUCCCCAAGAACAAUUGUAAGUGUUGCCAGUCCCCAGCAACAGCGCCAAAACUGAUGGGUGUCGAUUCCACCAAUAUAAUCCUACGCGUAAUUUGCAAAUUUAAGCAGUAUAGGGACUAGGGUCGAUCCCUCAGAGACUGAGUUUACUGCAAAUUGUUGCUCUCUUGACCAGAUUUAUGUCAGGGCAGUUGUCGUGCCCAAGAAGUUCGGGGGGAUAAAAUUUGAAACCUGAAAUAAAUAAAUAAAAUGCGUAAAAAGUAAAAGCUGAAAAUAAAAUAAUAAAAAGCUGUAACACCCCUUACCCGAGACUGUUGCUGGAGUCGAGCACGAGGCAUUACCUGACUUACUUACUAAUUCGGAGCAUAAAAUUUGCUUUUAAAAUUAAUUCAUUCACAAUCAAUCCAUAUGUCCCUAAAAGAACUCUCGAGACCCCAAAAUCAUGUAAUAAAAAUGGUUCGGGUCCAAACCGGGAACAUUUAUAAUUUUCCGAAUACUUAAUCAAAUUAAAACAAUUUAUUUCACUAUUCACAAUAAAACUGUCCACCUGCGCAGCAGUCACUUAUUUAAUUAUAACUCGAGUUACGAAACUCAAAAUUUAGAUUCGUAAAUUUUCCCUGAAACUAGAAUCAUAUAUCUUUUUCACUGUCCAGCCAAUUAGUACAGUUUAUUCUUUAAAUUCUCCCCUGUUUCACUGCUCGACAGCUCUGACCCCUCUUCACUAAAAAUUAAUUAUCUUAUUGUACAGAAUUCAGAUAAUAUUAUCGUUUGUUUCUAUUGAAAAUAAAAUCACUAAGGAAUCUAGGCAUAUAAAUUAUAACUCAUAAUUCCUUCUAUACAAUUUUUAAUGAAUUUUUAAAGUCAGAACAGGGGACUUCAGAAACCAUUCUGACCCUGUCUCACUAAAAUUCAAAUAUCUCAUAAUAUAUAACACUUUUUCUACUCUAUUUCUUUCAUGUGAAAAUAGACUCAUUCAGAUUUAAUUUCCUAUCUCACUCAGGUUCUAAUUCAAUUUAUUCUAUUUUUGGUGAUUUUUCAAAAUCACGUCACUGCUGCUGUCUAAAAACUGUUUCAUUGCAAAUUUUUACUCUCUUUUUUGGUGAUUUUUCAAAAUCUGAAGAAAAAUGAAUUAAACUAAGCUCAGCUUUAGGCACGGGUUUUUCUCGUCUUUGAACCGAUCCUCGAAAUUAGAUGAACUCCUCUUUUCCAAUAAGCUAGUUAUAGCUACCAAGGACUCCUCGGACACCAACUCUUCCUUGUGUAAAUUAGUUAUGGAACGUCCAAUAACUAACACUUACCGGUCGAACAACCAACGAAACGUUCGUGAUUUAGAACUCCGGCAGCUUUGCAUUCUAGAAGAGUCUAGCUCGAACCAAUGCCCUCAACCGCGUGGGACAUUUAAAUCCGGUUACUACUUCCCUUGACGGAACCAAACAGCAAUCCCCACUUGGCACACCAAUGUGUUCACAGAAAACCGAUUAGACAAUCGAUCCUUUCAAAAUUCCAACUAUACGUGUAACCACACUAACUCAAACGACGUUUUUUUUUACUUAGUGUUGAUUUGACUUUGUGAGUUGACGAAGUCAUACUCUUAAUCUGGAGAAAUAAUAAGUACUGGAAUUUAGGAGUCAAAUUGCUCGGGUUCGUAACUCACGGAUCUUGACGAAGUUAACACCGGCCUAAAGCUGAAAUGGAUACUUAAUAAAAAAGAUUGGUAAUUAAAAACUUGAUUAAUGACUUGAUUCAAGACUUGAUUCCUAAAUGAACAAUGUAGCCCCCUAUUUAUACUAGUGGCUUUGCUAAAUUAAGAGCCACUAGCCAUAGAGAAUCAAGGAAAUAAAAUAUCCGAUCAUAUAAAAAUCCCUACAUAAUCUCCCACUAAUUAAGUCAACAAAAAUUUUAGCUAAUUAUAUCUUGGAAAAUUCUGCUUUGGCCUGCCUUCUUUGCUCCUUUCUUUCUUCAAUCUAACCCAAUUGCUUCUCCUUUUUCUCUUUUGACCCCAAAUUGUACACCUGUGUAAAAUUUAAGUUAAACAUGGAAAAAUCAGUGGUGCACUCUCGUAAAUUAACCAAUUUAAUUACAUAAAAUAUGUAAUUUUAGCAUUUAAUUAGUUAUUUAUUAGUUUAGAUUUUUUUCUAUGUUGAAUAUAUUUUAGUAAAUAAUAUUUCAUAUUUAACUCUAAAUUUGUUUUUUUAAUAAUAUACACUAGUUAUUCAAUAUAAAUUAAUGUAUCUAAUAAAAUAUAUUUUAAAAUCUAUAUUUUAAAUAUUUUAAGAUUAGAAACCUAAUUUAAAUUUAUUCAAAAGGACAUUUUAAUUAUUAAGUAAUUUAAUUUUAUAAAUAAUUAUAUAUAUCUAUUUGAACAACAAAUACAUAGUAUAUUUAAAAUAUAAUUAAUUAAUUAAAAAUAUUAUUUUCUAUCAUUGUUUUUAUGUAUCUACUUAAAUUUAAAACUAAAAGGAUGUAUGAUAAUGAAUAAGAAAAAUAAUCAAUUAUUUUAUUGAAAAUAAUUCAACUCUAAUUUAAGAUUAAAUAAAGACAGAUGAAGGCUAUUAUAUUAGAAUUAACUUUUUUUUAGUUUUUAUAUAAUUGGAAUUUACUAAUAUGAAGUAAAAAAAAUGCAUUUUAAUAUUGUAACAUUCAUUUACUUUAUAUCAACAAAAUGUUCAACCUUGAAAACAUUAGUUAUGAUUUUUUUUUUGAUAUAUUUACUCAAAUGAUAAAAAUAUUAAUUGAUGUAAAUAAAUAAAAAAUGAUGCAUUUGCAUUUGGUAAGAUUUAAUUAAACAAUAAAAUGUUUUUUUUAUUCUCAUUGAAUAAUUUACUUAUAAAAAUAAUUGUUUCAAAACAUGAAUAUCAGAUCAUAUCUAAUUACCUACAAUAUGAAAUGAGAAAAUUCAUAAAUUUAUUUACUUCAAUUGAAUAAAUUCAAAAAAAAAAUAAACUAAAUAUUCUUAUAUAAAACAUUUACUUUAUAAUUUUUUAAUAAAUUUCAUAUAAUUAUUUGUAAUUAAAUCUAAUAUAAAUAAAAAGACAAACCCGCAGAGCGGGGUUAUAUCCCUAGUAUAGUAAUAAAAUCAAUGCAAUGGGACCCAACUUUUGGAAGAAGAGAGGAUUUCAAGUUGUCUAUAUAGGCUUUGGUUGAUUGAAAUGCAGGAAGGUAUCAAGUGAGUGGUUUGUUGAUUUAGAGAAGAUGGAGGCUAAAUCGUUGUGGGUACUACUCGCUACACUUGUGUUUAUCAUACAAGGGUGGCCACAGACUGAGGGGUGCUUGGAGCUGGAGAGAAUUGCUCUCUUCCAACUCAAAUCUAAUUUCUUCAAUCACCCUUCAUAUUUGAAGGACUGGGUAGAUGUGAAGGGUUCGAAUUGUUGUCAGUGGGAAAGAAUUGAGUGCAACAUCACCAGUAACCGAGUAAUUGGUCUCUAUCUUUAUUCUGUACGUCAAAGUGAUACAUAUGGGUAUCUCAAUAUCUCUUUAUUUCUUCCAUUUGAAGAAUUAAAGAAUCUUUAUUUGAGUGACAAUAAAAUUACAGGUCUUGUGAAUAACCAAGGUUUAUUGCUUUUCUUCUCUCCAAUGACUGAUUCAUCUUUAAAAUUUGAUUUAAUGUUUUCUAAUUAAUUCGUUUAUUUUACAGAUGAGAAAGUGCAAUCGAUGAUGAAUCUGGAAGUGCUUGAUUUGUCUCGUAAUCUCUUGAAGAACAAUGAUGUGGCAUUUCUUAAGGGGUUAGCUAGUUUAAAGUCCUUGAAUAUGGGAGGAAACCAAUUGGAAGGGUCAAUAGGUAUUACAGGUAUGUAAAAUUUCGUAAAAUAAAAAUAACAAGCUAUACGUAAAUUACAAUUUCAUGAAUCUUUUUAACUAUUAAAAAAUUAUAUCCAAAUAUAUUUCCUUCAUAUAGGUAGUAAAAUAAAGGCAUAAUGAUUUUUUUGACCUUCCAACUUUAUAAAAAAAAAUCAUUUUUAGUCCUUAAUUAAAUUUUUUGUCUAUUUUAGUCUUUACACAUGUUUUUUUUUUCAAAUCACGCCAAAAUAGAUGGUUGGUAAUGUGGCAAACAUGUGGAUUUCCAUGUAACUGACAGAUCAUUUAAUUAAAUUUUUUUAAAAUUUAAGUUUUUUUAAAUUUCUAUUUUUUAAUAGUUUUAAUGAUGUUUAAUUUUUAAAAAUACUUUUUAUAUUUUUUUGAAUUUUUCAGUUUAAAAAAAAAUUAAAUGCUGACGUGUUAUCCACAUGACAAUCCAUGUGUAUGUAAUGUCAACAAAGUUUUAAAAUGUUAAUUUUUUUAUUCACUUUAAGAUAAUUUGACAAAAAAAUACAAGUUUAAGGAUUAAAAACAUGAAAAAUUAAAUGGAAGCAUAAAAUAAUUUUUUUUUAUAAAGUUGAAAGGUUAAAUAAGUUAUUAUGCUUAAAAUAGAAUGUAUUUGAUGACUUUUUUUUAUCAAGGAAAGUAGUUGGAUUUCAUGAACCAAAAUUACUUAAUCUUUGUCAUAUGACUUUGUUUGAGUGACAAAAAAGAUAUUUGAUUGAUUUGAAUAGUAUUGAAUAACUUGACAAAGCUAAAGGAGUUGGAUUUGAGUGGCAAUAAAAUUGAGAGCCUGAAAUCUCCUCACGGUAUGUGUUGAUUUACUUUACUUUCUCAUAUUCUCGCAUAUACAUUCCAAUAUCUCAUUUAAAAUUCUAUUAGUAAUAAAUUUGCUUAUCUAAAUGCUUUGUAGAGGGGCUAGUUAAUUUGACUAAUUUAGAAGAACUUAAUAUGGAUUACAACUACUUCAAAAACAACUCAUUGGCAUAGCUUAGUGGGUUUUCCAAUCUAAAGUUAUUGAGUAUAAGCGAAAACCAGCUUAAAGGAUCAAUAAAUAUUAAAUGUGGAAUUACUUAAUAUAUUUAAUCUUCCUUUAAACAAAGCAAACUAUUUGUUGAAUUAUUGUCUUUAUUAUGUGUGAUUUAAUUUUAAAUUUAAUUUGUCUAUUUUUAUAGAAUUAUUAGAUGCUCUGAGCAAUUUAGAGUCACUGAGAAAAAUAUUUUAAUUUUAAAAAAUGUAUAAAAUUUAUAUAUUAUCUCUUGAAUAAUUUAAAUUAUAAUGAUAUUUUUAAUAUAUUAAAAUUAAUAUAUUAUCACUUUUACUAUUAUAUAAAAAAUUAUAUUAACAUAUAAAAAUCAUUUAUAAAUUAAAAAUUUAUCUCUCUAAUAUAUUAAGUAAUUUAUAAAUUAAAAAAUUUAUAAAAAUUUUGAUGUUGAGAGACUUGGUAAGUGUCCAUAUAUUUUACUUUAUCAAAUUGCUACAUUUAUUAUACUAAUAUCUAAAUGCUUUGUAGAUACAAUUUAAAUCUCAUUAAUUAAUUUUUUAUUAAUAUAUUAUAGUUUUUUAAUUUAAAAAUUCAAUCUAAAUAUUAAAUGUUGUUAUAAGUGUAUAACAAUCACUUAUCUAUAACAUCCAAUAGUGGUUAUACAAAAGUUGACUAUAAGUGAAUUUUUGUGACUAACAAAAAAUGUAUUGAAUUUAUUUGGAUAGUAUUGAAUAAUCUGACAAAGCUAAAGCAGUUGGAUUUGAGUGACAAUAAAAUUUGAGAGCCUCCAAUCAUCUCAUGGUAUGUGUUGAUAUAUUUUACUUUAUCAUAUUCUUACAUAUACAUACCAAUAUCUUAUUUAAUAUUCCAUUAGUAAUAAAUUUGUUUAUCUCAAUGCUUUGUAGAUGGUGAGAGGCCACUUAAUGUAACCAAUUUAGAAGAGCUUAAUUUGGAUUCCAACUCCUUCACAAACAGCUUAUUGGCACAGCUUAGUGGGUUUUCCAAUUUAAAGUCACUAGAUAUAGGGUAUAACCAGCUUAAAGGAUCAAUAAAUAUUAAAGGUGGAAUUACUUAAUAUAUUUAAUCUUCCUUUAAAUGAAAUAAACUACUUGUUGAGUUAUUGCAUUUAUUCUAUGUGAUUUAAUUUUAAAUUUUGUUUGUCAAUUUUUACAGAAUUAUUAGAUGCUUUAGGAAACUUAGAGGAGUUAGACAUGAGCGGGAAUGAGGUGAAGGAAAUUGUGCCCAUAAAGAAUAAAGGUAUAUGUAUCAACUAAAGGAAAUCUUACUAAUUGUUUUCCAUUAGAUAUCAAGUGAACUGAUUCCAACCACUAAUUUGACUCUUAGACAAUGGAAGUUUGGGAAAGCUAAAGGUUGCUACAUUAAACCGUGUGUUCACCGAUGGAACUGCUUCUCUAAUACAACUUCUAGAGACAUUCUCAUCUGUUAAUACAUUAUAUUUGAGUGACAAUUACUUCAACGACACCUUUUCUACUCAAGGUAUAAUAUAUAUGUAUGUGAAUAUAUAGUUUUAUAGUUUGGUUCCAUUUAAAAAUAUUAUUUACUUAACGUCAAUCAUCUAAAUAACUCUUAUAAAUUUGUAAAGAUAAAUUGCAUGUGUCGAGCAAAAUUGAGGAAUUAGUACUAGAUCAAUCAUCUCUCAACAACAACAUUCUUCAAAGUAUUGGUGCAUUGGCUUCUCUUAAAAUUGUCUUUGAGUGGUUGUGGGCUGUCUGGGACAUUACCUACCCAAGGUAAAUUAAUAAUUAUGACAUAAUUAUUUAGACAAGCUCUUGAUUAAUUAUUUUUUAUCCUCCUAGAAUAUUUAAAUAAUUUGUACAAAUUUAUUUUACAGGAUGGUGUGAUUUACGGAAAUUUGAGGUGUUGGAUCUUAGUGAAAAUGCUCUUAAAGGAACCCUCCCUUCAUGUUUGGCUAACUUGUCAUCACUUCAUUAUUUGGAUAUUUCCGGUAAUCAAUUCGUCGGGAAAGGUGCCUCCACUGCCUUAGCCAAUCUCAAUUUGCUUAAAUUCAUUUCUCUUUCACGAAACCUUUUCGAAGUUCCUUCCAUUUUCAUAUCUUUUGCCAACCAUUCACACCUCAAAGUACUCUCCAGCAAUCAAAACAAGUUAGUCGAAGAGCCUACCAUUCCAACAUGGGUCCCAAAGUUCCAACUAAAAGCCUUCCGUUUGUCAAAUUGCACAACAAAGGAACUCCACAUUGAACUUUCGAAAUUCCUCUAUUACCAAAAUAACCUGAGUAUUAUUGAUCUUUCAUAUAAUAAUUUUGAAGGAAAGGUUCCUUUUUGGUUGUUAGAGAACAAUACAAGAAUGGAAGCAUUUUUAAUGACGGGUAACUCUUUUAUGAGUCAUCUCAAUCUUCCAUCUCAUCCGAAUCCAAACAUAUCCUUUGUUGAUAUAUCUGACAACAAAAUACAAGGUCCAAUUCCAACAAACAUUUGUUCAAUCUUUCCACAACUAAAUGGGUUAAACCUAUCAGGCAAUUCCCUUCAAGGUAAUAUUCCUCCUUGUCUGGGUAGUUUGACCACUUGGAAUUUAUUAUUAGAUCUGUCACAUAAUCAGCUAUCUGGAGGAAUACCAGAAAUGUUAGCUCAAAGUGACUCGUUGAGGUUUCUUAGGCUAUCAAAUAAUCAUCUAAGUGGAAAGAUAACCCCAACGAUCUUUUGCUCAACUUCAUUACGAUUGCUAUAUUUAGAUGGCAAUAACUUUGAUGGAAAUAUACCUAGCAUUGUUAUCUCAACUUUCCUUUCAUAUUCCCUUGUUGAUAUGGAUUUAAGUAACCACAAUUUGUCCGGAGAGCUCCCAAGAUGGAUAUGGAAAGUGUCAAAUUUAAAUGCAUUGUCAGUAUCCAACAAUCAGCUCAAGGGUCUCAUUCCGAUGGAAUUGUGCUAUUUGGAUUCCCUUAAAAUUUUAGACCUUUCAGAAAAUAAAUUUUCUGGCCUAAUACCAUCUUGCUUCGAUGCACAAUCUAUCAUGCAUCUCCAUUUGAGCAAAAAUAGAUUAAGUGGCACCUUGACAAAUGCAUUCUUUAAUAGCUCUUCCUUGGUGACUUUAGAUCUUAGUGAAAAUCAGCUGAGUGGAGAAAUUCCAUACCAGAUUGGAACUCUUUCUGCUUUGAGUGUUCUACUUCUAAAAGCCAAUUAUUUUAUUGGAGAAAUUCCCAUUGAGAUAUGUAAAUUGUAUUCUUUAAGUAUCAUUGAUCUUUCUCAAAACAAGCUUUUUGGUCUGAUACCUUCUUGUUUGAGUCGUUUAACUCUUGAUCCAAAUGAUGAAAAAUCUUCAACAAAGACCUAUGUGGAGGGCUCUGGAGGAAUCUUUGAGCCGGGUAAUUACUUUGGAGUGACUGAAUUUGAAUUUUUCACUUUAAGAGGAUACUGAUGAAGUUGGUUCAGCAUGCAGCAAACUCAACAGCAUGCAGGCCAUGAAGACCAAGUCGUGCAGGAGCUGCUGGAACGAGCUGAACUAUUCCUAUUUUGUUCAUCUAGUAAUCUUAAGUUAAUGUAUUGUACUUUAGUUCAUUUAGAACUAUGUUAGGUUUAUGAUUGAUGUAAUUUUGAUGACAAUUGAGCUGUUAAGUCAGCUUUGUUUAAGUGUGUAAGCUUAGUUUUUCAAGUUUCAAUGUAUUAGUGGUAGUAUGUGAUGAUUAGGUAUCAUUAUGCAGAUUUUGACAAGCAAAUUGCUUGGUUUAUGUAUUGGCAUUAUGCCAUUGUUCAAUAUAUGGAUGAAAUCAGCUUUGUUCAUCAAUAUUCUCUCAAAUUUCCUCAGCUUAUUUUCUUCUUUCUUCAACUCGAAAUUGUUUGUUUGCUCAGCAAGAUUCGAGGCUUGCUCGACAAGAUACUUGCUGAGUCUGUUUGAUUCUGCUGUUGCACCAACAAUUGGUAUCUAGAGCUUAUUUCUUAAGGGACCUGUUAUACAAAUCCAUGGCUUCAUCAAGCUUUUCACCAGCUGCACCUCAAGUCUUCAAUGGGGAAGGCUAUCACAUAUGGGUGGUCAAAAUGAAGACCUACCUGCAGGCUUUCGAUCUGUGGGAGGUGGUCAACUCUGAUGUUGAACCAGAGCCACUUAGAGCUAAUCCAACGGUGGCUCAGAUCAGGCAGCAUGCUGAUGAAAGGACCAAGAGGCACAAGGCUAUGUCUUGCAUCCAAAACUCAGUGUCUGAUGUGAUUUUCACAAGGAUUAUGGCCUGUGAAUCACCAAAACAGGCCUGGGACAAGUUGCAGGAAGAGUUUCAAGGGACUGAGAGGACAAGGCAACAACAGUUGUUAAACUUGAGGAGAGAUUUCGAGAAUUUGAAGAUGAAGGAAGAAGAAACUGUCAAGCAAUAUUCUGACAGGAUUAUGGCUGUGGUUAACAGCAUCAGGCUCCUUGGAGAGCAGUUCAAUGAAGCUAGGAUAGUGGAGAAGGUUAUAGCAACUCUGCCUGAGAGGUAUGAGGCAAAAAUCUCAUCUCUCGAGGACUCAAGGGACCUGUCCACCAUCUCCCUGACAGAGUUGAUCAAUGCUCUAUAUGCUCAAGAGCAGAGGAGAGCAAGCAGACUGGAGGAGCACCAAGAAGGUGCCUUUCAGGCAAGAACAAAUACUACCUACAAAGGCAAGAAGGCCUGGAGAGACAAGCCAAAGGAUAAUGCUGCAAGAAGAGAAGGUCAGACUUGCAAGCACUGCAGAAAGGCUAGUCAUUCAGAAGAAAAAUGCUGGUUUAAUCCAGAUGCUGUGUGUCAGCAUUGUAAGAAAAAGGGUCAUGUUGAGAGAGUCUGUAAGAGCAAGGCCAAAUCAAGGCGCAAUCAGUCUCAACAGAUGAAAGCUGAGGCUCGAGUAGCUAAAGAGGACAGUGACCAAGAGGAGCAAGUCUUUACUGUGUCAUGCUCAGCUGCUCAGGAAAGGUCCUCAUCUGGUUGGCUCCUAGACAGUGGAUGCACCAACCACAUGACACCUGAUGCUGCAAUCUUUAAGUCUUUAGACAGAAGCUGCAGAACUAAAGUCAAGAUAGGAAAUGGUCAUUUUAUUCAAGCUGAAGGCAAGGGUGAUGUUCUGAUAUGCACCCUUACAGGUACCAAAGUGAUUUCAAAUAUGCUGUUGGUGCCUGAAAUUGACAGAAACCUGCUCAGCAUAGCUCAGUUGCUGGAAAAAGGUUACUCAGUUGUGUUUAAAGACCACCAAUGCCAAAUCAGUGAUCCAAGUGGAUCCAAACUGAUGGCAGUCCCUAUGGCUGAUAAGAGCUUUGUGGUUGACUGGACAAAAAAGUCAGACAUUGCCUACACAGCCACUUCAGAUGAAUCCAAGCUGUGGCAUCAAAGACUGGGACAUGCCAACUUCAGAUCGAUGGCCCGAAUGAUCAGAGAAGACCUGGCUGAAAACUUCAUCAACUCAGUAGACCAUGAUGAUGUAUGUGAAGUAUGUCAGCUAGGAAAGCAGGCCAGACUCCCAUUUCCCUCGAAUCAAGCCUGAAGAGCCUCUGAAAAACUCCAACUGGUGCAUACUGAUGUGUGUGGACCUAUGAAGACUGAGUCAUUGAGUGGAAACAGGUAUUUCAUACUGUUCAUUGAUGAUUUCUCGAGAUAUUGCUGGAUUUACUUCUUAAAACAGAAAUCAGAGGUGGCCACUGUGUUUUGGAAGUUCAAAACUGCUGCUGAGACUAAAACAGGCUGCAGGGUGAAGACCAUAAGGUCUGAUAAUGGGACUGAGUACACCUCAGCUCAGUUCCAAGCCUUCUGUGAUAAGGCAGGCAUCAAACAUCAACUUACCAACACAUAUACACCUCAGCAGAAUGGGGUAAGUGAAAGGAAGAAUAGGAGUUUGAUGGAUAUGGCCAGGUGCUUGAUGAUUCAGAAGAAUCUGCCUAAAGCACUAUGGGCAGAAGCAGUUAACACUGCAACAUACAUUCAAAAUAGACUUCCAACCAGGGCUUUGGAUCAAAAGACCCCAUUCGAGGCCUGGUUUAGCUUCAAGCCAUCACUGGCUCAUCUGAAGGUCUUUGGAUGCAUCUGUUAUGCACAUGUACCUGCUGUUAAAAGGGACAAAUUGUCUGAAAGGGCUCGACCUGGUGUUUUGGUGGGCUAUAGCACUGUUAAGAAGGGCUAUAGGAUUUUAGAUCCUUCAACAAACAAAGUGUCAGUAAGCAGGGAUGUGGUAUUUGAUGAGAGGUCAUGUUGGAACUGGGAAAGACAUGAACCUGAAGAAGUUUUUGAAGAACUUGCAACAGACCAAGCUGAGCCAGACCAAGAUGUCCCUGAAAUGGAUAUUGAUGAUGAACCAGUCAGAGGAACAAGGCCAUUGGCUGAAAUUUAUGAAAGGGCUCAUGUAGCCAUAGCUGAACCAAGCAACUUUGAAGAGGCUGAGGCUCAGAAAGGGUGGAAGCAGGCAAUGGCUGAGGAGAUCAGCAUGAUUGAGAAGAACCACACCUGGAAAUUGGUUGAAAGGCCAGUCAAAAGGAAAGUGAUUGGGGUGAAAUGGGUGUACAAAGCCAAGCAGAAUGCUGAUGGUACCUUGAACAAGCUGAAAGCAAGGCUAGUUGUCAAGGGGUUCAGUCAGAGGUAUGGCUUGGACUACCUGGAGACCUUUGCACCAGUGGCCAGGCUCGACACCAUCAGACUGCUGAUUGCCUUAGCAGCACAGCUUGAAUGGAAGAUCCAUCAACUUGAUGUGAAAUCAGCUUUUCUGAAUGGUUUCUUAGAUGAAGACAUCUAUGUUGAACAACCACAAGGGUUUGAAAUAGCUGGCAGAGAGCAUAUGGUCUACAAACUGAAGAAGGCCCUAUAUGGAUUAAAGCAGGCUCCAAGGGCCUGGUAUAGCAGAAUUGAUGGCUACUUGACUGAUCUAGGAUUCGAUCGAAGCAAGAGUGAGCCAACACUGUAUGUCAAGAAACAAGGGACACAAAUACAACUCAUUGUGUCCCUGUAUGUUGAUGAUCUUCUGGUGACAGGAGGAGAUCGAGUAGUGCUGGCUGAUUUUAAGACCAAGAUGCAGGAAGUGUUUGAAAUGUCUGAUCUUGGGGAGAUGUCAUACUUUCUUGGAAUGGAGGUGUCUCAAGUACAGAAUGAGAUAUUUCUAAGCCAGAGAAGCUUUGCCACAAAGAUUCUGACCAAGUUCUCCAUGCAAAACAGCAAGGCAACUAAAACACCUGUUGCUGUUGGAGAAAAACUAUCGAGCCAAGGUGAUUUUAAGAAAGUUUCUGAAACAACCUACAGGAGUCUAGUUGGUUGCUUGCUAUACUUGACUGCCACUAGACCAGACAUUAUGUAUGCUGUAGGAUUGCUCUCAAGGUUCUUGCAUUGCUGCAAUGAGAAGCAUUUCCAAGCUGCAAAGAGAGUGCUGAGAUAUGUCAAAGGCACUUUAAACUAUGGUUUGAAGUACAGCAAAGAAGGAAAUCUGAAGCUGGUUGGCUACACUGAUAGUGACUGGGCUGGCUCAAUAGAUGACAUGAAAAGCACCUCAGGGUAUGCUUUUAACCUUGGUUCAGCCAUGUUUUGUUGGAGCUCAAAGAAGCAAAGUCUAGUAGCUCAAUCUACUGCUGAAGCAGAGUAUGUGGCAACAGCAAGUGCUGUCAACCAAGCCAUAUGGCUAAGAAAAAUAUUGGCUGACUUGAAUGUGCAUCAAGAGGAAGCUACUGAGAUCUUCUGUGACAACCAAUCUGCAGUAGCAAUUGCUAAAAAUCCAGUGUUCCAUGGAAGAACAAAACAUUUCAGCAUCAAGUUGCAUGUUGUUCGAGAAAUGGAGCAAGCUCAGGAAGUAAAGCUGAUCUACUGUAAUUCAGAAGAUCAACUUGCUGACAUUUUAACCAAAGCUCUUAGUGUCACAAGGUUUGAAUAUCUAAGAAAGAAGCUAGGUGUUUGCUCCAUGCAAACCAAGGAGGAGUGAUGAAGUUGGUUCAGCAUGCAGCAAACUCAACAGCAUGCAGGCCAUGAAGACCAAGUCGUGCAAGAGCUGCUGGAACGAGCUGAACUAUUCCUAUUUUGCUCAUCUAGUAAUCUUAAGUUAAUGUAUUGUACUUUAGUUCAUUUAGAACUAUGUUAGGUUUAUGAUUGAUGUAAUUUUGAUGACAAUUGAGCUGUUAAGUCAGCUUUGUUUAAGUGUGUAAGCUUAGUUUUUCAAGUUUCAAUGUAUUAGUGGUAGUAGGUGAUGAUUAGGUAUCAUUAUGCAGAUUUUGACAAGCAAAUUGCUUGGUUUAUGUAUUGGCAUUAUGCCAUUGUUCAAUAUAUGAAUGAAAUCAGCUUUGUUCAUCAAUAUUCUCUCAAAUUUCCUCAGCUUAUUUUCUUCUUUCUUCAACUCGAAAUUGUUUGUUUGCUCAGCAAGAUUCGAGGCUUGCUCGACAAGAUACUUGCUGAGUCUGUUUGAUUCUGCUGUUGCACCAACAGAUACGAGUCAUUAGAUGUAGAUUUCGAAAUUGAGAAUCAAAUGGAAGAAAAGGUGGAUUAUACAACAAAAAGAGCAUCUUACACAUACAAGGGAAACAUUCUUAAAUACAUAUCGGGAAUUGAUUUAUCAUGUAAUAGAUUAACAGGUGAAAUUCCCAGAGAGAUUGGAAAUUUGAGUGAAAUCCGAUCACUAAACUUGUCGCACAACAAUUUGACUGGACAUAUACCGUCAACGUUCUCAAAGCUCAAGCAAAUUGAGAGUUUGGACCUGUCUCACAACAACUUAAUUGGAAGAAUCCCUGUUCAAUUGACGAAGUUGUACGCCUUAGCAAUCUUCAAUGUGUCAUACAACAACUUGUCAGGGAGUAUUCCGUCUCCAAAAGCUCAAUUUGGAACCUUCGACGAAAGCAGUUACGUGGCGAAUCCUUUCCUCUGCGGGUCUCCCCUGCAUAAAAAUUGUAGCGACCUUGAUUCACCCCCGACAGCAGCACCAAAGAGCUCAAACGAGGAAGAAGAAAGUGGUUUGAUGGACAAGUAUGUUUUCUGGGUGACCUUUUUUGUUUCUUACGUGAUUGUGUUACUGGUUAUUGUUCUCAUCCUGUAUAUAAAUCCUCAUUGGCGACAAGCAUGGUUUUCUUUUGUUGAACACUGCAUCAAGACCUGCCAAUAUUUUAUUGAGGACAAUCUUUUGUGAUUUUCCAUCUUCAAAAGGAGUGGGUAGCCUUGUACUCUGGUGGUUUACAUUUGUAUGUAAUUUUCAUCACUCUUUUUUUUUUUCAAAGUUUGAUUGGAUUAUCUGCUAGCUUCUAAGUUUUUAGAGCUAGAAUGCAAUAUAUCUGUUAUGUAAAGCAAUAUAUAAUGUAAUACCCAAUUUUAGACUGGGCUCACAAAAAAAAUAAUAAACCUAAAAUAAUAAAAUAAAGUCUAAGUCCAGUACAAAAUUAUAUCAUUUGGCCCGAUCGGAAUUGCCCAUUACUUGAAAAGGUUGAAAGUCCAUCUAUAAGCUUAUGGAAACAUAUUCUUCAAAGAUAUGCAAUCUUAGAUAUGAUAUGCAAUCUUAGAAGAUAUAAUUUUGUAAUAUUAGAGAUUUAAUUUGUAGAUACCCUUUAAUCUUAGCCGUUGAUGUAAUUGAUCUGUACCGUUGGAUUUGGGGAGGCUCAACUAUAAAUAGAGGCCUCUCCCUUCAUUAUAAAAAAAAGGGGGUAAUAAUAAUUCUUAAGAGUAUUCACUCAAAUUUCUCUCUCUCUUGCAUUCUUAUUUUCUUUGGCUUGUUCUUAUUUUGUUGAUUUGUGUAUAAUUUAUUUAUUGAUUUGUAUAUUGUUGAUUUCAAAUCUCUUUUUCCCUUAUUAUUCAUUUUCAAAUUCAUUAUUUUCAAAAUUGUUUACAUUUUAUUUUACCUUAUAUUUUUUAUUUUAUACUCUUUGUUUUAAAUUCAUUGGUCUUUGAUUAUUGAUGUUAUUUGAUCAUCUAUUUGUUAUUUUAGUUUUUUUAUUAUUAAAUUAAUUAUUUUAAUAUUAUUAAACUAUUAUGUGGCAUCAUUAAUCUUGUAUCAUAUAUAGUAUACAUAUACUUGUAUAUAUUUUAUACAUAGGUUUUUUAUUUUUAUUUCCUAACUUUUAUAUACAUAUAUAUAUACUUUUAUGUUUUAGUUUCAAUUUUUUUUUACUUUGAUAAAUAUGUAUAUACGUAUGUUUUCUUAUAUUAUUCUUCAUAAUUUUUUUAUUUUUUUGAUUAAUUAAUUUCAAUAUAUGUAAUUAUUUUUUUUAAAUUAUCCUUUUUUAUAAUCUAUAUAUAUGUAUAUAAUUAUUAUAUAUAUAUAUAUGUACAUGUAUAUAUUUAUUUUUUAAUGAAUAUUUUCAUAUUUAUAUGUAUAUAUUUGUGUUUUUUUUAAAUGAUUAAAUGCUUACUUAUUUUUUAAAACACGCCUAUUUUUUAUUAUUUUAUAUAUAUACGUAUAAUUAUAUAUAUUUUUUAUUUUCAUAAAUACAUUAUAUAUUUUGUUAUAUAAAUUCUAUAACUCUAGAUUUCAUAUGUAAAUCCAUGUGCAUAUUUUUUUAUUCUUCAUAGGUUCAAUGUAUAUAUUAUGCAUUUUCUUUUCUUUAUAUGUUUUUUGCUUAUUUCAUUCAUUUGUUUAUCAAUUUAUCUUUUUAUAUUUUUUAUUUUGCUCAUUUAUUUGAUAUUUUGCAUGUCAUUAUUUAUUUAUUUAUUUAUUUAUUCAUAUUAUUUCUAUAUAAUUGUUGUAUUUACUAUUGAUAUUUGUUAAAGAGGCAUUUAUUCAUACAUUCAAUAUAACAUUACAUCAUCCUUUUACUCAAAUUUAAAAAUGGAACUUUUCAAAAUAGAGAUAAUACUCGUAUUUAGGAUUUUCAAGAAAAUUGAGCCCUAACGUAUUGGGUUCCGAUUUUCUUCGUUAAAUCUAACAAUCGAGAUUUACUCUUUGAUCAAAAAUAAAAUGGCUUGUUGUUGGGAAUUUAAUGUGUUGUAUCCUAACGCAUUGGAUGUGACGUAUUGAUUUCUCGAGACAAAGAUUUUUAAAAAAUAUAUAUAUAUAUUAAUAAAGGAAAUAUUCAAUGUUUGGGAUGUUGAGAAAUUGUGCCCUAACGUAUUGGGCUGCGGUUUCGUCAUAAAUCUUAAACAAUUGAAUAUUCUUUUAAAUUUUAUCACACAAAUCUUUGGACAAACUCAUUUUGAAAAAAUAAAAUAUCGUGCCCUAAUGUAUUGGGUGUGAUAUUUUCUGUUUCAAAAUGAGGGCGUCUUAAUAAAUAAUUUAAUUUAAUUAAGGAUCGUAUUUUUCAACUCUCGACAUUAAGACAUUAAUUAAUCAACUUGGUACCAAUUUUUGGGCGUUACGGGGGUGCUAAUCCUUCCUCGUACGUAACUGACUUCCAAACCCGUUUUUCUAAAACUCGUAGACCAAAGUCGUUUUAGGUGGUCCAAUCACACCUUAAUAAAAGAUUGGUGGCGACUCCAAUUUUCAUCGACAACUAAUUUUUAUUUUUUUUUAAAUAAAAAAGGUUUCGACAGAUAAAGUUAUGCAUUUUUAAUUAAAACAUUUAAUAAUGUUUUAUAAUUUUUAGUGUACUGAUAAUAUGAUGUUAAAUUCAACAUAUUGUAGCAUAUAUAUAUUAAUAUAACCUAUAUUCAUCUAUACAAAUUUUUUAGUCAACCAAACCAUUGAUGUGGUGGCAAAAACUUCACAUUGUUUUCAAGUCUUCAUUGACAUUAGGUUGAGGUUUCAAACCCUAGCGUAAAAGAGGGGGGAGAGGGGUUGUCUGAACCAAAACUUCAUUUCAACAGAUAUCCUUUACCCACUAAAUCAUAUGCUCAACUGAAACUUUUAUAUAUAUAUAUAUAUCAAACAUGAAUGAUAUAAAUAGUCUUUAAAUUUUUAAAUGAUAUAAAUAUAUAUAUAUUUUUAAAAUGAACAAAAUUAUAAUAAUUAAUAUGUAGUUUCACUAUUUUAUUUAAACUCAAAAUAAUAAUAUUUAAAAAUUGAGUUUACGUGAUAUUUAUUUACUUUAAAAUUAAUAAAAUGUAAAUAUAAACUUUAUUUUAUUUUAUUUAUAUUCAAAUUUAAUAAAUGUUUAUCUAAUUUAUUUAAAUUUAAAUAAAUUAAAUAAAUGAGCACACAAUUAUUUUAGAGAAAGUGACUCUUUUUUAAUGAUGAGAUGUUAGAAGAUUUACCAUAUGUGUAAUGUGGAGACAAUAACCCUAAUAUGUAACUUUUGCACAAUAACCUUAAUUUAUAAUUAGUGAAUCAUCAAUUAAAAAUUAAUUACUUGAGUAUAUACACUUGUCCAACCAUAUUUUAUUUAAUAAGUGUCAUGGAUCAUGGGUCAAACAAGUGUCACAAUAAUCAGAGUAAUACCUGCAAAAAUUGAAUCCAAAUAAACAUAUCCAUAAAUUGUUAAUGAAACUUUGUUCGCAGCGAGAACGUUAGUUAAGGUUGGACGAAUUUAUAUGUUUUUUGUCUUUUUGUUAAAAUAAGUAUAAAACAUAUAAAAAAAUACAUUAUGAAUGUUCAUUUUUUUAAUAGUUCAAAAAAAUAUAUUAUAUAUAAUAUAUAUUACUGUUUUGCCUUGCUCCUCAAAGAAAAUGGAAACAAUCGUAAGCUUAUGGCAUCAUUAGAAACACCAUUAAUCUUGAUGUGUCGCAAAUCUCUAGAAAGUUAGCCAAAUGAGCAUUCAGAUCUUUAUCUUGCAACCUAUCAAACUGAAUAUAUUGUUGUACCAUCUGAAUUGUGUUCGACUUUAGCUCAAAAUUGUUUAUAGCAAUAGUCAAUCUGACAAUACUCGAUUCAACCCCAAUCAGAAUAGACUUAGCAUAAUCAUACAUAGUCUGAAGAGUAGGAGCUGCAGGAAGCUAUUGAUUAUUUUUAUGAUCAUCCAUCUCCACAGUAAUAUCCUUUUCCUCUCGAUCAUUUACUAAAAUCUAUUUAUCUUGCCUUUUUCUUUUCUAACCUCUCUAAGAUUUCUGCGAGCAGUCUUUUCAACUUCACUAUAAAAAAUUAAUGGUUCUGACGAGUUUCCUCUAGUCCUAAACCAACAUAACCUAUCAUAAUCAAACAAACGAAAAAUUAGAAUGUAAAAAUUACAUUAAAAACAAAAAUAUCAAAAUAAAAAUAAAAAUAAAAAUAGCUAAAUUAAUAGAAAUAAACUUUUCCUAAUAUUUUAGUCCCCCGGCAAUGGCGCUAAAAACAUGAUGCAGUCCUAAACCAACUAAAAAUCUGACUAAGGCAAGUGUACCUAUCAAUUAAUUGUAUAGUUACGAUGAACAAAUAAACCGUUCCCACGAAGAGUAAAAGUACUAGUAAUUACUGUCUUUCUAUUAUUUAAUCGAUAAAUUCGAGUAAUUGAUUAAAACUAAAAUUAUUUAAAUUAAUUAACUAUGAAUGUGACAAAUAAUAAAUCAGGAAAAUAACUGAAUAAUAACCAAGAAGCAAAACAAUACCUAGGAAAGAAUUCACCUAGAUUUGAUCUGUCAUUAUCAAUCUAAAUUCCACAAUUUCUUUACUUAGGAUCUUGAUUCAUAGAAAUCCCUAAAUCAUGCUAAUAUCUCUCUUCAAGAAUAAGAGCAACUAACUUUAGGUUGAUUAAUUGAAAUUUCUUUCUAAUUAAAACCCCUAUUAUCGUAUUAAAUCGCUUUAUGGAUUCCCCCAUUACAUUUGACUCUAAUCCGAUAGAUUUAUGUCAUCCUAUUUCUAAGAUUGCAUGCAACUCCACUCAAUUACGCUAGAUCUAUUCUUAAACAAGGUCUAUUUCUCCUCUGAUUUAAGCACAACAAACAUGGAUCAACAAUCUAGAAAUAUUAAACCAAGAGUAAAACACACAUAAUUGAGAGCAAGAUCUAAGUAUUUAUUGUGUAAAAAUAGAAAUCAAAUAAUAUAAUUCAUCCUAAGGUUCAUCUCUCUAGGUAUUUGGAAAAUUAGUUCAUGCUUGCAAAUAAAAACAUCCCAAAGACAAUAUUACCGAAAGAAAUAAAGAAGCUCAUGAUAAUCUCCUAAGAAAUCAACUGCUUGUCUUCAAUCUUGACUAAAAUUUGCUUCAGAAUCGGCUUCAAUGGUGUUUUUCGAGUUGUUUUAUUGAGUAUUCUAUGACGGCUCUCUCCCCUCUUCUUAUAUUUGUCAUAUAUAGGUCUUAGAAUACCCGAAAAACCUAAACAAAAGUGUUUUUCUGUAGGUUUGGAAUGUGACUCGUGAUUUCCACGCAGUCUCCCACAUGACCGUGUAGAAGCCCAUGUGGCCACACGGUCGUGUGUCCAGCCCGUGUGGCUCCUGAAACUUAUUCCAAUUUUCGCUUAUUUUUCGCUCCUUUUGCUCUCAAAUGCUACUAAGUAUAGAAACAUGAAUUUAAAGGAUUAGGAGCAUAAAAUUCAUCAUUUUAAAUCGAAUAAUAAUCCAAAAAUACAUUAAGAAUGAGGCUAAAACAUGUUACUUUUGGCAUUUAUUAAUUUUGCCAACACCCAAAAUAGUUGCUUAAAGGUACAAAUUUAAACAACCCAAAAAAAGGGUCAGUGUAAUCCAAAAACCGUUGUGUUGGGCUUUUCAUAUGACAACACUUUUAUAUAGUUGGGAAAUGUAUAACAAAAGUUGGCAUAGUGUUGGAUAAAACUGAUUCUUAUUUAAACGUUGCUUUAGGCAUGCAUGUCCCAACCUUUAUACAAAGAGUUGGCCAAAGCGUAUGUCGACCAGACUAUCCUAACACUUAGGAAAGUGUCAGCUUAGUGUUGGACAAACUCGAAUCUUAUUUAAGUGUUGCCUUAGGAAUGCAUAUCUCAAACCUUAUACAAAGAUUUGGCCAAAGCGUAUGCCGGCAAGUCUAUUUAUUAGCUCAAUAGAUCAAAUAGAAAUUGCUAAGAGGGGUGAAGUAGCAUUUAAAAAAAUGUGAAAGCUAGAAAGAAAAUUGAAAGAUGAACACAAUAAUUUAGAAUGGUUUAGCCUCAAUUGCCUACUCCACUACCUUAACUUUCCACAACUAAGGAUUUUUCCCAAAUUCGCUAAAUUGAUAACCUUUAAGGAUAAGGUUUAACCUUACAACUCUCUUAAAAUUUUUGUAACACCCCAAACCCAAUCUAGACGUUAUGGCCGAAUCUAGCUUUGUCACAUGGAAUGGGAUUUGAAACAUCUUUGUUUCGAUGAAAACAUUUUAUGUUAUUAUCUUUAGUAAACCUUUGUUAGAACUUAGGAAGUCGUCUUUAUUCAUUUAAAACAUUUGUUUUGAAACAUACCUCGUUGCGGAAGCUUUAAUAAAAUAGUCUAAGUGAUCAUGCGUUUAGAAAAUACUUUUAACUUUUUAAAAACUGAAUUUCCUAUGAACAGUAGGUAUAAAUCCAUAAAGUAAAAUAAAUAAAUAAAAACCAAAAUUUAAAACCAAAGUCCCAGAGGUUUCUUAAAUUACAACCCAAAUAAUCAAUAAUAAUCAAAUCAUAAAUCGUAAAUUGAAAACCAUGAAGUCCAAAUAUUUCUGUGGUCACCGCUAAGUCCUCCGUCGCACCGAUCCGUCUAGGUCUGGGGAUUACCUGUACACAUUAAACAAAAAAAACGGAGUUUACGUAAACUCAUGUGUAAUCUCGUAGAAACAAACAAACAAUCAGUAUUCACAGUGCAUAGUUGAACAGUCUUGGGCCUUAGCCUAUCUCAGUACAGUGUUAAAAAUGCAGUAGGUCUUUAGCCCAUCACAGUAUCAGUAGCAAUAACAAUUAUGCAGUAGCAAAAUCCUACCCAACCAGCCUCUACAUACCAUCUCCAUCCAACCCUACACUCCAUGUGGGGAUAUAAUCAACCCACCCAUCCCUUUUUAAUAUAACCCAUGCUAACUAAAUAUUCAUUUAUGUUUUUAGUAUUUACUUAUAUGUUCAUUCAAAGCUGUCUACUUGAGUCAUUGUCACUAAAUUAUUUAUAUAUUUAGCUACAGAAUUCCAAAUUAAGAUCCACUUGAUGUUUUCAAAACUAGACUCAAAUACCUUUCUACCAUAAAAUUUUCAGAAUUUAUAGCCUAUCAAAUAACUACAGUAAAAUCUUCAAAAUUAUCCCUAUUCUAUUGUUUGACAGCUUCAACCUUUCCUUACUAAAAAUUAUUUAUCUCUGAAUACGAAAUUUGGAUGAUGUUUCCAUUUGUUUCUCUUGAAAGUAGACUCAUUAAGGAUUUAAAUGUAUAAAUUUAAGCCCCUAAUUAAUUUUUUACAAUUUUUGAUGAUUUUCCAAAUUUAAAAUAGGAGAACCCUAAAUCAUUCUGACCUUGUCUCACAAAAUUCAUUAUAUCUCCUAAUUUAAAAUUCCAUUGCUUACAUUGUUUCUUCCGUGAAAAACUAGACUUAAUAAAAUUUCAUAUUUUAUUCAACCUUUAACUCAAUUUCCACUAGUUUUGAUGAUUUUUCAAAGUUAGACUACUGCUGCUGUCUAAAACUAUUUUAGUGAAAAAUGUUGAUUUCCAAGUUUAUAAUACCCUUAUUUCCUUUCUCUACAAUUUUUUGCAUCAUUUUCUCUUAUUUCUCGACAGUAAGCAAUUUUGGCUUUUCACUGAAUCCCAUUUUCUGCAUUUUGGGUACACAUCUAGUUUCGUUUGAUGCUAAAACAGUCCCCAAGCACUAUAAAGCCUAUAAUUGAACAAAUAACACUAAUUUAAUCUUACAUAGUGAUCCCAAAUUGAACUCGUAUCGAGGUUUUAAUCCAUAAGCGACUAAACCUUACCUUCAACUGAUGAACAAUAAUUCCUACACAAACUAAGACUCCGAUUGGUGAUUACGACCCUUGAAUCCUCCCUUAAUUGGCACAAACAAAACACUUUAGAAGAAAGUUAAAAAACAAAGACAAAUCACUUAUCUAAAACUUACCAAACGAUCAUAGACAAACGUGGAACGACACGAGGCAGAGUGGGAAAAGAAAAAUCAAGAAGAUGAAGGGUGAAAGAGAGCAGAAAUUCGACAGCAAUGAAGAGAAAAACGGCAAGAGGGUGGAGGGGUUUGGGGAAAGUAAAAAAAAAAAGAAAAAAAAAUGAAAAAAAUAUUUGAUAAUCACCCCAAUCCCUUAUUUCUCUCCAUCAAACUCCCCAAUAAAUCAACUACUCAGAUUUUUAGUCAAUCUCAAACUCUCCUAGACAUACGAGCAAAACUAAUACCCACGCCAAGAUUCGAACAUAGGACCUCCUUCACACCAACACUCCACUUAUCCACUAGACCAGCAAGCCAAUUCUAUUAAUUAUUUGCCAACUUUUACUUAAAAGCCUACUGACCAAAUAUAGAGCUUAUUCAUAAAAAGGCCAAAAUUUGCCCAAGUCCUGACUUGAACUUGUGACCUCCUAAACACACCCAGAACACAUAAUCACUAAAGCAGACAGAUAUUUUGUGUCACACAUUCACAAUACCCAAAAUUAAAAUUUUGGGGUGUUACAAUUUCUAUCUCAAAUCUUAAGACACAAACCUUCGCAAGGAAAUACAAAUAAGCAAAUAAAGAAAUAAUCCUUACAAAAUCAAAGUGUUUGUAAAUUAAGCUCAAAUAAAAUGAAAUACACUUGAGCAAAAGAAUAGGAGUAAAGCUCACAAGUGUAUGAAAAAGAAAUAUGGAAAUAGUAAACUCAAAGGUUGUUUGAUUGAUGAUUUUUUUGCUUGAAAGUGAUUUCUUGUUGUUGUAGAAACUUAAGAAGUUAGUAUUUAUACCCCCUAAUUGAUUUCCAACCAUUGAGGUUGUUGGUGACAUGAAUAAAACCAUUGGGAUGUAAAAAUCAGAGCAUUUAAUUCACCUGCAACAUCGAGUCUUGAUACUAUAUAAAAGGGUUUCGAUAAUUUUUGCUAUAAAUGCUAAAUUCAAUGAUCGUUGGAGUUUUGUUAUCGAUACCAAAAAAAAAGUUUAUCGAUACUUGUAAAAAGGUAUUGAUACUGUAUCGAUACUUUGUAAGUUUUGUAAGAAACAAAAUGCUAUUUUAGUAUCGUUUUUAAGAAGGGGUAUUGUAAUAGCCCAAUUUCAAUGAAAUCAGAACAGUGGUUUCGAGACCACAAAUUUGAGAUUAGAAGAAAAUUUAUUUUAAUAUUAUCGUAUGUCUGUAUUAUGAUAGAAAUAUUACAUGAAAAAUUUGAUAAGAAAAUUUUAUCGAUUGAGUGCUUAAUUGUGAAAAGGACUCAUAAAAUGCACAAGUUGAAUUCUAGCAGCUAAAAGGAUUAAAUAGCUAUGGGGUUCAAAAUGUAAGGUCCUUAUAUGGUAAUUAGACCAUAAAUUAAAAGUUAGUAGAUAUUUUGAGAUGACUCAUCCAUAGAAAUUUUAGAAAAAGGUAAGGACUAAAUUGGAAAUUAAAUUAAUUUAAUUAAUUAAAAGAUGAUAAAAGAAAUAUCAUCUUAUUUUAUGUCAUCUUCUUCCUCAAAAUGCAUGGAAACCCUAAGAGAGACAAAGGAAACUAACCAAGCUUGAUUAGGUAUGUUUUCUUGUAACACCCCCACCCCUUAUUCGUCGCCGGAACAGGGUUACAGGGCAUUACUGGACAUUUCAAAUCAAAUACGAGUAAUCACAUAUUUGUUUAACAUAAACAUCACAAAUUAAUCAAAAUGUCCUUUUUAUGAGCCCUCGAGGCCCAAAACAUGAAUUAGAAACAAAUCGGGAGUCAGAGAAUUUUUUGUGAAAUUUCAAAAUUUUUCCUAAGUGUAGGGCUCACACGUCUGUGCAGUUUAGAGAUACGCCCGUAUGAUCCUAAACACGCCCGUGCUUCAGGUCGUGUCCUACCUCGUGUAAUUCUCUGACUUAGAUCACACGGCCAGCCACACGCCCAUGUACAUAGUCCGUGUGCUUAACACGGCUGAGACACACGCCCGUGUCUCUGUGAUGCGGAAACCCAGAUCUAAACACAAGAAGAGAAACACAAAUUAGAAAUAAAAACGAGAAUAAGUAAAAAUUAGUUAAAUAAUAAUAAAAGAAAACAAAUAAAAGAAAAGAUUAAGGAUAGAUUUGCCCUAUAGAACCCUUGGUUAACUUGUAACCAAAAACUUCAAUGAUUGAGCGGCUCCCUACGAAACCCCUAGAAGAAGAACCUCUAGAAACACCGAUGAACGGGAAAGAAAUUUGAAUAUUUGUAACUCUGAAAUACCCUCGAAAGUAACAAACUCCAAACUAAAUAGCAAGAGAAGAAUCACUCUACUCUCAAAAAUUUGCCUCACACAAAUUUGGAAGAAAACAAAAUACUCUUCUUUUUUUAUUAAUCCCCUCAAUGUGUAGAAAGCAAGCCUAUUUAUAGGCAAAUUACAAGAGUAAUUGAAUCCUAAUUAAAACUCUUUCAAGAGUAAUUGAAUCCUAAAAACUCUUUAAAGAGUAAUUGAAUCCUAAUAAAACUCUUUAAAAUUAUCUAAGAAAAUAAAUAAAUAAUAAUCUAACUAAUAAAAUUACUUAACUCAUAAGUGAUGUGUUCCAACCAAUGAGAAUUAAGUAAAUAAUAAUAAUAAUAAGAUACAUAAAAGAUUAAUCCACCAAUUUAUGGGCUUUCACUAUUCCAAGAUUGGUCCAGUGAAUUGCAUUCCCGUAUUUGUCAACGUCACGAACAUGAUGAAUUAAAUUUGUAGUAACAAAGUCUUGGACAAAAGCAUUCAUCUUUGAUUUUAAUUGUCGUGCCUUGCUUCGAGUGAUUGGACCACUAGGAAAAACAACCCUUUGAGUGUCACCUCCUUAACUCGUAUCAUUCUCCCCUUCUUCAAGAAGAUUCGUCCUCGAAUCUGAACCUAUAUCAAAUUCAAAAGGAGAAAGAUCAGAAACAUUGAAAGUAGCACUAACAUUAUACUCACCUGGAAGAUCAAUGCGAUAAACAUUGUCAUUUAUUUUCUCGAGUACUUGGAAUGGUCCAUCUCCUCGUGCAUCAAGUUUAUUCUUUCUCUUAGAAGGAAAUCGUUCCUUCCUCAUAUGCACCCAUACUCAAUCUCCAGGUUCAAAUAAGACUUGCUUUCGCCCUUUAUUAGCUCGAUGUGCAUUGCACUCAUUCUUUUUCUCAAUGGCUUUACGAGCCUUCUCAUGAAUCUCUUUCACUAAAUCAGCUUUCCUUUCACCAUCUAAAUUAGCAAUCUCAUUCAAAGGUAAAGGAAGCAAAUCUAAAACAGUAAGUGGAUUAAAGCCAUAUACAAUCUCAAAAGGAGUAAAACCUGUGGAAGAAUGAACAGAACGAUUAUAAGCAAACUCAACAUAGGGUAUCCAUUCUUCCCAAGAUUUAACAUUCUUACCUAUUAUGGCUCUAAGCAAAGAUCCCAAAACUCGAUUUACCACCUCAGUUUGACCAUCAGUUUGAGGGUGGCAUGUAGUAGAGUAAAGUAGUUUAGUACCUAACUUACCCCAUAACACCUUCCAAAAGUGACUAAGAAAUUUUGCAUCUCUAUCGGAAACGAUAGUCCUUGGGAUUCCAUGUAAUCUCACAACUUCACGGAAAAAUAGAUCGGCAACAUGGGUUACAUCAUCAGUCUUAUGGCAUGGAAUGAAAUGAGCCAUUUUAGAAAAUUGAUCCACAACCACAAAGAUGCUAUCUCGACCACGCUUUGUCCUUGGUAAAACUAUUACAAAAUCCAUUGAAAUGUCAGUCCAAGGUGAACUAGGAACAGGAAGAGGAGUAUAUAGACCAUGAGGCAUCACAGUGGAUUUAGCUUGUUUACAAGUAAUGCAAGUAGAGCAAAUUUUCUCAACAAGUUUUUGCAUGUUAGGCCAAUAAAAAUGCUCAUGUAAAACAUCAUAAGUCUUAGUGACUCCAAAAUGACCCACAAGACCACCACUAUGAGCCUCUCGAACCAACAAUUCUCGCAUUGAACACUUUGGUAAGCAUAGUCUAUUAUUUCAAAAAAGAUAGCCAUCAUGCUUAUAAAAUUUGUGAAAUGCACCAUGUUCACAUGCGUCAUAAAUGCUUGCAAAAUCAGAAUCAGUGGCAUAUAAAUCUUUGAGAUACUCAAAACCUAAUAACUUAGUAUGCAAAGUACUAAGUAAAGUGUACCUCCUUGAUAGAGCAUCAGCCACAAUAUUAUCUUUACCUUUCUUAUACCUUAUAACAUAAGGAAAAGAUUCAAUGAAUUCAACCCACCUCGCAUGUCGCUUGUUCAACUUACCUUGUCCCUUUAAGUGCUUAAGUGAUUCAUGGUCAGUGUGAAUCACAAACUCCUUUGGUAAAAGGUAAUGUUGCCAAACUUCUAAUGCCCUUACCAAGGCAUACAACUCUUUAUCAUAGGUCGAAUAGUUCAAAUGUGCUCCACCAAGUUUCUCACUAAAGUAGGCUAGUGGUUUACUAUCUUGCAUGAGGACAACACCUAUACCUACACCAGAAGCAUCACAUUCAAUCUCAAAGGUCUUUUCAAAAUUAGGUAAAACAAGAAUAGGAGCAUUACACAAUUUAUCUUUAAGUUCAUUAAAUGCUAAUUCUUGCUUAUCUGUCCAAUGAAAAGAUACAUUCUUUUUAAUAAGUGCAGUCAAAGGCGAAGCAAUUGCGGAAAAGUUACGAACAAACCUGCGGUAGAAACCAGCUAACCCAAGGAAAGACCUUACCUCAGAAACAGUUUUAGGGAUAGGCCAUUCUUUAAUUGCCUUUACCUUCUCCUCAUCCACAUGGAUUCUUGUAGAACUUAUCACAAAACCCAAAAAAACAAGCUUAUCCAUACAAAAGGUGCAUUUUUCAAGAUUAGCAAAGAGUCGUUCAUGCCUUAACACAUCCAAUACUAAUUUAAUAUGCCCAACAUGAUCAUUCAAAGUUUUGCUAUAAAUCAAUAUGUCAUCAAAAUACACAACGAUAAAUUUUCCUAAAAAAGGUCUAAGUAUGUGGUUUAUUAAUCUCAUGAAUGUGCUAGGAGCAUUAGUUAAGCCAAAUGGCAUGACUAACCACUCAUACAGGCCAUACUUAGUCUUAAAAGCAGUUUUCCAUUCAUCACCUUGUUUCAUUCUUAUUUGAUGGUAACCACUUUUUAAGUCAAUUUUAGAGAAAAUGCAUGCACCAUUAAGCUCAUCCAACAUAUCAUCUAAUCGAGGAAUUGGAUAUCGAUACUUUAUCGUAAUCUUGUUGACAGCACGACAAUCAACACACAUUCUCCAAGAACCAUCUUUUCUUGGGACGAGAAGUAUAGGGACCGCACAAGGGCUUAGACUCUCAUGAAUCAACCCUUUCUCUAAGAGAUCUUCAAAUUGCCUUUGCAACUCUUUAGUUUCUUCAGGAUUGCUUCGAUAGACUGGUCUAUUCGGAAUACUCGAACCAGGCACAAAGUCAAUUUGAUGUUCAAUCCCUCGUAAAGGAGGUAAUCCUUUAGGCAUUUCAGAAGGAAAUACAUCCUCAAAAUCCUGCAAAAGAUCAACAAAACAACUAGGCAAAUGUGUAUUAGGGUUAGUCAAAACAAAGUUUUCCCUAAACCUAAUAAUUACAAAUGUUUGUUUUGUACAAAGAGCAAAUUUGAUAUCUCGAAACCUAGCGAAUAAACUCACUUUCUCAUCUCAUGACUUGUGUGUGCAAUCACUCACCAAUGUUGGGCCUUUAAGUUGGCUUUUAACACUAAGGGCCUCUUUACUCUCAGCAUUUUUCAAUGAUUUUACCUCACUUCCCUUACCCAUCUCACUAGCAAGUUUGAGUUGAUCAUUAUAGACUUCUUGAGGAGGAAGUGGAGCCAAAGUAAACUUCUUUCCAAGGAACACAAAGGUAUAUUGGUUAAGGAAACCAUCAUGAUUUACUCGUCGAUCAAACUGCCAUGGCCGUCCAAGUAAUAUGUGCCCAGCUUGCAUUGGAACAACAUCACACAAAACUUUAUCAGAGUAUCUACCAAUGGAAAAUGAAACUAAGCAUUGUUUAGAUACUUUUACCUCCCCACUAUUAUUCAGCCAUUGCAAGCGGUAUGGCCUUGGAUGCUUCACACAAGGUAGGCCAAGUUUCUCAACAAGGGAAGAACUUACCACAUUGGUGCAACUUCCACUAUCGAUGAUCAAUGAACUAGGUUGUCCACCAAUCAAACAUCUUGUGUGGAAAAUGUUAUCUCUUUGUUCGCGCGCUUCCUCUUUAAACUGGACAUUUAAAGCCCUCCGAGCAACAAGUGCUUUCUCACCAUACUCUAAAUAUUCUUCAUACUCAUCAUGAGCAUGCACAUCAUCAACAUCUUCUAAAGGAGGCAUCUCAUCUUCGUUAUCAGACUCAAAAUCAACCUCGCCAUCUUCUCGAAUCACCAAUGACUUUUUAUUAGGGCAUUCUCGAGCAUAGUGACCCCUUCCUUGGCAUUUGAAGCAGGUAAUAUCUUUUUGCUGCUUAAUGGCACUAGGAGAAGUAGAAGAAGAAGAUGGAGCUUGAUUAGUAGAAGUAGAACUUUUAAAUGAAUUAGGCAUACCUCUAUCUUUGGAGUAAGUUCUAGGCUCAUUUGGCUUGAACCGUGCAUCUCUCCCAUUCCACAAUCUAUCAUCUUGUUUUUGCCAAUUUCCUCUCCAAGUAGGAUUAAAAACUGAACUAGAACCCCUCGGUGUCCCUUUCUUUCGUCAUUGCUUUUCAAUGGUGAGUGCGGUUUGAAGCAUCUCUUCAACAUCCAUGUAGUGUUGUAACUCAAGUCGAUUUGCAAUCUCAGGCUUUAGGCCGGCAAGGAAUCUAGCCAUAGUCACCUCAGCCUCUUCAACAAGAUUGGCUCUAAUCUGAAUAGUCUCCAUCUCUUUGUAGUAGUCAUCCACAGAUCUAUCUCCUUGAACAAGAUGUUGGAGUCUUUGAUGGAGUUCUCGAUAAUAGUAUGGUGGAACAAACCGUUUUCGUAAGAUGCGCUUCAUUUCAACCCAAGUAGUAACAGGUUGCUCUCUAUAAAGAAUUCUGCUUUUACAUAAUUGAUUCCACCAUGUUAGUGCAUAAUUAAUGAACUCAGCGACAGCGUAUGUUACCUUUUUUCUCAUCAGAGUAAUUGUAACAAGCAAAGACUGCUUCCAUCUUUUCCUCUCAAUCAAGGUAAGCAUCAGGAUCAUUCUUCCCUGAAAAAGAAGGAAAUUUUGGUUUGGGGGUGUCAUUGUUUCGCUCCAACCUUUCUCUAGGUACAUACUCGGACUCAAAGUCAUCAUCAAAAACAUGGUCCUCCCUUCGUUUAAAAGUUUGAUCUCGUGAAUUUGAUCGGCUUAUAAAGGCUUCGUUCAACUUCUUGUAAUUAUCGGCAAUGUAUCUCUCUUGAGUUGUAAGUUUUGUAUCAAGAUACUCCCUUUGCUCUUGUAACAUCUGGGUCAUGCGAUGUUCGACUUGAGUUUGCAACUUUUUCAUCUCUUUUUGUAACAACUCGACCAAAGGAUCAUUCUCUCUUUUUAGCUCAUCCUCUUCAUUUUUACUAGUUUGGGAUCUAGUGAGCGGAAUGGUAUCUGUGAAAGAUCAAACAAACAGGAACAAGAAAAAAAAUAAUAAUAACCUCACUCGUUAGCUCUCAAAAGAAUAACUCUCUGAAUGAUUCAAAACCUGUAAAUAUGUUUGGAGAGGGUUACUAAUCAAGAUCAAAUAACGGAGGUGCAAACUUCAAAGAAACAAUGAAGACCCUAAUUGCUCUAAGAGGCCAAUAAACUUGACAAGGCAAUUUGUAAUGGAGGCUACACGGAUGAAGAAAUUUGUGAGUGCCUUUAAUAUCUGCUAACACAAGAAGAAACAAAGUGUUAGAAAGCGUAAGAGAAACAAAAAAAACGUAGACCUACAACGAUCCCUAACUCUAGAGUCAAAGAAAAGCUUUAAUAAGAAGAAAACUUAAGAAAAACUCUACCCAAAUUUUUAAAAAAAAAAUCGAAAACGUUUGGUGUCUUAAGAUUUUCAAAAAUUGAAGCUUUAAUUAUACUUGAGUCAAGAAAAGAAGAAGGAAAAGAAAUUCAAUUUUGGGAAAAAUAAAAAUAAUAACAAUAAUAGGAAAAGAAGAAACUUACGUAUGAAAGGUAGUCAACUUUUUUUUUGCUCUUUUUACUUUUUUUGUGCUGUUUUUUUUUUUAAAGAAUAAGAGGAGAAUAAACACAAACUUCAAAAAAAAAAGAAUUGACGAAACUGAUGAAAAGUGUUUUUGGUAUUUUGACUCGUUUCGGAUUUGAUUUUAGCUUAAAAAAUAACACCGAAUAACCUGAAACUGAUACCAACUGAUGCGGAAACUCGGAUCUAGACACAAGAAGAGAAACACAAAUUAGAAGUAAAAACGAGAAUAAGUAAAAAUUAGUUAAAUAAUAAUAAAAGAAAACAAAUAAAAGAAAAGAUUAAUGAUAGAUUUACCCUAUGGAACCCUUGGUUAACUUGUAACCAAAAACUCCAAUGAUUGAGCAGCUCCCUACAAAACCCCUAGAAGAAGAACCUCUAGAAACAGCGAUGAACGGGAAAGAAAUUUGAAUAUUUGUAACUCUGAAAUACCCUCGAAAGUAACAAACUCCAAACUAAAUAGCAAGAGAAGAAUCACUCUACUCUCAAAAAUUUGCCUCACACAAAUUUGGAAGAAAAAUACUCUUCUUUUUUUAUUAAUCCCCUCAAUGUGUAGAAAGCAAGCCUAUUUAUAGGCAAAUUACAAGAGUAAUUGAAUCCUAAUUAAAACUCUUUCAAGAGUAAUUGAAUCCUAAAAACUCUUUAAAGAGUAAUUGAAUCCUAAUAAAACUCUUUAAAAUUAUCUAAGAAAAUAAAUAAAUAAUAACCUAACUAAUAAAAUUACUUAACUCAUAAGUGAUGUGUCCCAACCAAUGAGAAUUAAGUAAAUAAUAAUAAGAUACAUAAAAGAUUAAUCCACCAAUUUAUGGGCUUUCACUAUUCCAAGAUUGGUCUAGUGAAUUGCAUUCCCGUAUUUGUCAACGUCACGAACAUGAUGAAUUAAAUUUGUAGUAACAAAGUCUUGGACAAAAGCAUUCAUCUUUGAUUUUAAUUGUCGUGCCUUGCUUCGAGUGAUUGGACCACUAGGAAAAACAACCCUUUGAGUGUCACCUCCUUGGCUCGUAUCACUCUGCCCGUGUGCAAUUUCUUAGGCAUUCUAUUUUGAAUUUUUAAGGUGCAAGGGACACACAGCCUAACCACACGCCCAUGUGUAAGCUGUGUGUCUCACACGUUCUAGUCACACGCCUGUAUGGUAGGCCGUGUAGACUCAAAAUAAGCAUUUUACAUCAAGUUUACCAACCUUGCAAAUCUUGAACAACAAGCAACUCAAUAAUCAAUCUUUCAACCAAUCCAAAACACAUUCAAAUACUUUUAAUACAUGCCAAAUUCAUUUAUUUAAGAACCUAACCAGUGUACUAACAUAGAUACUUUACAAAUAACAUCCAAAUCAAUCUAAUUAACUUCAUUCUAACCAAAUCUAAUUUCAUACCAAAACAUACUACUUAUAAUCUUAAUAUAGCACAUAAACUUAUAUAUAUAAGUCUCCAAUAACAUUUUGUAACAUAAUUUACAAACACUUCUCUAAAUAACAAACACAAACAUCCUAGGUACAUGCCAUUUACCAAAAAGAAAUGUACUUCACCACUUUGAGUUCCGAAACAGCUUUGGAUGCUGAUUGAAUGGUCUGACUUUAACCUAACCUAUGCACAGAAACAAACCGUACACUGAGUAUGAACUCAGUGGUAUUUCUAUAAUCCAAAUACUUUUAAAAUUAUGAUAAUAUAACAUGUAUAUUUAAUUAUAUAUUAACAAUAGUCAUUCAGUAAACAAUUCAUAAACAAAUAAUUUAUAACAUUUUCAUUUCCAAUUAUUUGUUAUUCCAAACACCUUUUCACAUUGCCAAUACAUAUAUCCGAUCAAUUGCUAUCCCAGAUAGCUUUUCACAAUGUCAAUACAUAUCUCGUUUGCAUUUUCACAUUCAAUAUUCCAAUAAUCACUUGAUGAACUUAUGGUUCAUACUUUUUCAUUUACACAUCACAAAUCAAUAUCUAAAUCCAAUUCAUAUUCAAAACCAUUCAAUAACAUUCAUAUCAUCAAUUCAUUAAUUACCCCUAUUAACAUGACUCGAACUUUGGCGGAUACACGGAUCUAACCAAAACACACCAGUUUAGCACCUAGUGCCUCAUCGGAUAAUUCGAAGCAAUAAGUUGACACCCAGUGUCUCAUCGGCCAUGCCGAAGUAAUUUGGUACCAGUACCUCAUCGAAUUUAUCUGAAGCAAUAGUUUGACACCCAGUGUUUCAUCAACUCAUGGUCGAAGUAUCCCUAAACUCUUCCAAUCCGAUGGCAUGCCAAGUAUAUCCAACUCAGCCCAAUACAGUUAAUAGGGUUUCCAAUUCACUUCCAAACACAACCAAUAUUCAAUAAUCAAUUGUCUCAAUAUUUACAUUUCAAUAUCAAUGCAUAUUUCAAACAAUCACAAAUUCUCAUAAUUCAACUCAAUUCAAUACCAAUCCUCACCUCAAUUCUACUUACCAUAAAUAUAAAAUAAUAAUAAACACAACAAUUAAUUAUCAGCUUUGGAUUAUAGAAAUACAAACAAUAAUUCUCGAGUCACUUCUGGUUAACCUUGUCUUUUCCUUUCUUAGUCGAGGUCUCCGGCUUGAUGUUAGCUACGGAAGUAAAAUAAUUAAAAUUCAUCAAUACAACACAAUUUAAUAUUGAAUAUUUCAACUUAUACACAACUUAUGCCUAAAUUCUAAUUUAGUCUUUAAAUCAAACUAACUCUUUUUCUUACAAAACUAAUUCCAUAUCUCAAUUCAAUUUCCACUUUAAUCUAAUUUCAACUUCUUAAUUUCAUCAUAAAACCCUAAUUUUGAAAUUCUUUCAAUUUAGUCCCUAUUACUCAAAACUUAUAAUUUAAUUUACAAUUCAAUCAUUCUUCUCAAUUCUAUCAAUUUAACCUCUAUUUCUUCAAUUUAUUCAACAUGAAGUACAUCUAAAAAUCCACUAAAUUUCAAAUUUUCAACAUAAAUCAAGUAGUAUUUUGUUCUAGGAUUCUCGAAACAUCAAAAUUAUAAGAAAAAAAGGCUAAAUUGCCUUACCAAAUUAACUUUGAAUCCUUAGAACCCUAAUUUCCCUUUUCUUUUUCUUUCUCUCUUUUCUCCCCUGUUUUCGUUUCAAUUCUAUUUUUUGUUUCCUUUAUUUAUUUGUUUAAUUAUUAUAAUAAUAUAAUAAUAUAAUAUUAAUAUAAUAUAUUUACUUAAAUAAUAAGUAAAUAAUAAUUAUUAAUAUAUGUAUAUUAUUUACACACAUGGAAUUUAUUUUUACCAUACACUUGUUAACACUUGUUAACUUUUGGCUUAAUUUCUUAUUUAGUCCCUCGGCUUUUCUCCAUUCUAUAAUUAAACUUUCACACUUUAUUCAUUUUAGUCCUUAUACCUAAUUAACCUUAAUUUAAGCUAAUUCACCUAACUAAAACCUAAUUUACCACACAACUAACUUUGUAAAUAUUUUUAAUAAAUAUUUAUGAAUCCAUUUUACGAAAAUGGAUACCCGAAAAUACACUUUCUAAUAACCGUAAAUUUCUGGUCGUUACAUUUCUUGUCCCAUUUUUAAUGAUUUUUAUAUUUUUUAGAUCUAGAUAGCCUAAUAUAUCCAUUUUAGAGAUUAAUUUGAAAAGUUAACAAAGUAUGGAAAUUUUGUCAUGGAUGAAUAUGCUGGAAAAUUGAAAUUUAUGGUAGAAUAUGAAAGAUUGUUGAUAGAUAAACAACUUUUACAAAGUGAAUUUUAAUGAAAACAUGAUUUAGGGACUAAAUUGAAAAGUAGUAAAAUUCAUAGAAAAAUUAUAAAUUUUUGUGAAUUGCGUGUGUUGUAAAAGUUAUGUUAAAAAAUUGGUUAGGCUUGGAACAAGGAUUAAAUUGCAUGAAUUUUAUUUCCAAGCCUAGGGACAAAAUUGGAAUUUAUGUAAAGUUUAGGGGCAAAAUGAUAAUUUUGUCUAGAGAGUAAAAUAAAUUCAAUUAAAUAUGAAAUGUGAAAAUUAAUGAUUAAAUUCAUUUAUAUCGAUCCGGAUAAUUCAAACUCGAAGCCUGAUCAGGGAAAGUAAAAGUUUAGAAUUAGUAGAUUUUUCGAAUACGAACCAUUAUCGAGGUAAGUUCAUAUGACUUAAUUUAAUAUAUAAAUAUGAUUGUAUUGAAUAUUGCUUUUGUAUUGAAUUUGAUAUUUGUCUAUGUGAAUUAAAUCAAUGGUAUAUAUAUACAAGACAUGAUUAUAUACUUGAAAAGGAUUAAAUCUGUUUGAAUAUUUGAUAUCGAUGGACAUAUGUGAUUUCCUUAUUGAAUGAGGUCCUGCAUUUAUUGCUGAAGGGAUUUAGCUCGGACGAGUAAUCCUAAUGACCUCAUUUUAGACGGUAUUUAGCUCAGAAGAAUAAUCCCUAUAUUAGCCCUCUCGAGUAUAAGUUGUAGACAGGAUUUAGCUCAGACGAGUAAUCCUGAUACAGUUCAGUAAGCAUUCUGAAUGGUAGUGUACUUGCAUAUGUUGCACAUUACCAAAGCUAUGAAUAAAUGAUUUGAUAUGUGACUCGAGAGUGUACUCUCUGGUUUAGUACCCUAUGGGUACCUACAAUCAUGAAUUGACGAUUUAUAGACUUGUACACAUUGAGUGUACUAUUUGAUUAUUCAUCGAUAUUUCCAAUAAUUCAACGGAUGAAAUUCUUGACAUGAGAAAGUGAUGAGAUAAAAAGUAUGAUAUCUUGAAUGCUUCUAAAUUGGUUGAUGAAAUGUACAUGAUGAGCUCAUCCAUGUUUAUUGAUAUACAUGAUGCCUAUGAAACUAACUUGUUGAUUAAGUGCAUUUGUAUAGGUAACUAUGCCAAGUUGAUGAAUAACAUGUUAUAAUAUGUUUGGAUGUUAAUAAAUUAGAUGGGUAAGUUUAAUUCUUGUUAUAUGAACUUACUAAGCAUAAAAUGCUUACUAGGUUUAUUUUCCUCUGUUAUAUAGUGCUCGAAAGCUCGCGAAGGUUGGAGUUUGGUUGGAGCAUCAUCACACUAUGCACUCGCUCAUUUUGGUAUUAAUGGAAAUCUCAUUUUGGGUAUAAUGGCAUGUAUAGGCUAUUUUGUCAAUAUUGGCAUGUAAAUGGUUAAAUGUAAUCUAGCCGUUAGAAUGGCUAGCAAUAAUAUGUUUUGGUUUAAUUAAGAGGUUUAUCAUGAUGUUGUCUCAUAUGCUCUGUAUGAUUGAUUAAAUUAUGUUAACAUAUAUGUUUACAUAAAGGUAAGAAUAUAAAUGUGAAUGCAUGAUACAAUAUACCAAGUUAAAAUAUGGAAAUUGCUUAGUUAUGAUGCUUGGAUUGGUUAGGAUACAAUUAUAAAGUUCUGUGUAGGUUGUUGGUAAAUUUGGGUGAGAAAGUAAAGAAGUAAAGCUAGGAAAUGGCUUUAUUUUAUCCACACGGGUAGACACAAAGGCGUGUGUCUUGACCGUGUGUGACACACGGCCUGGUACAUGGUCGUAUGGUUAGGCCGUGUGUCCCCUGCACCUUAAAUUCGAGAAACAGAAUGCCCAGUAUUGAGCACACGGGUAGAGACACGGGACACAAGCGUGUGACUUGGCUAUGUGAAAACUGCUUCUUCAUGUUUUGCAAGUCAAAAAGUUAACGGGUUAGUGACACGGCCGUGUGACCUAUGUCACACACCACACAACCUAGGACAUGGGUGUGUCACUUGGCCGUGGGCGUGUGACCCCUGUACAUGACAAUUUUUAAAAUUUUACAAAAAAUUUUAUAAGUUCUCGAUUUGGUCCCAACUCGAUUCUAAUGAUUACUUUGGGCCUCGAGGGCCCAUUCAAAGGAUGUUAUAAUGAAUUACGAAAAAUGUAUAAUAAUUGAUUUGAAAUAUAUGGAAAUAUUCUAUAAUCAUCGGUAAUGCUCCGUAACCCUGUUCUGGUGACGGAUACGGGUUAGGGGUGUUACAAGUAUUGAUAUUUUAGAAAAUAUCGAUACGUAAAAAAAAUGUAUUGAUACUUAAUAGGGUUUGUAAAAAACAAGAUGUCAUUUUGUUAUCGCUUUUAAGAAGGGAAUUGAUAAUUCAUAAAAUAUCGGUACUUAGCUAAAGAGGUAUUGAUACUUUUUGGCCUGAAGCUAUUUUGACUUGUUUGAAAAUUAUUUUAACUUGAUAAAAUGAUAAACACUUACUUAGUCAAAUUUCUUUUAACUUGAUUUUAGAAUUGCUUCAAAAAAAUUUCUAAGAGUUCAAAGUAGAUAUUCAAAAUUUUUAUCACUUAGACUUCAAUUUUAAACAAAUCAUUUUGUUAAUUUUGUUCAAUCUUAUAUUUUAUUCAAAAACACUUCAAUUUCUUAUAUCAAAGUAUUUUAGCAAAUAAAGCUUGGUUUAACACUAUCUCAAUACUUAAAAAAGUGUCGGCCCAAAAGUGUAGUCUUAGGACUAUCUUGUUGUAGUGUCUUGACGAUGUUGUGGAUAGCUCGGUUCAAGUUGAGGGUGCUUCUAAUAAUGCUGAUCUUUCUUCUAUUGUUCCAUCCGAUAGGAAUCCUUCUUCUAUUAGUGUAGCUACUGAUACUGUUAUCUUUACUUCAAUAUGAGAUGAGACAAUAUAGAUUAAGUAGGUCAUGUUUAGUCUUUCUGUAAAACUUUGGUAUUUAAUGCAAACUUUAGCCCUUAUUUGGAUUCCGUGUUUAUGUUAUGCUUCGUUGCAUUUCUUUAUCAACUUAUUGUAUUGAUCUUGUGUAACUUUAUGAAGCUUUUAUUUUUACUACUUGGAAGAUGUAGGAAAUUUUAUUCUUUCCUUAUUUGUUUUAUUGUGCUUUUAGAUUAACUUAGUGAUAAGUGCCCUUGGAGGGUUAAGUCCUUCAGAAGGCUAGUAGUUUUAUUUGCUACUAAUUUAAUGAGCAGUAUCCUUGGAGGGUUUAUGCAAAAUUAGUAGAGCAGAGGAUUGGUUGCACUGUCAUUUUUAGUUACGAUAUGACACCCCACACUCGUUCCGGACAGCAAAUUCAAAUAUAAGACAUUACAUCCGUUGCUAAACAACUUAAACAAAUAAAAACGUGACAUCGAACAUCGAUUCUUUUCACUUCGAAAUGGGUUGUCGUGACAUUGGACUUUGAAUAUAAUUUCUUAGGUUCGAAGUUGGAUGUCGCGACAUUGAUGGCCCUUUUGACCGUCAAAGUUGGAUGUUGCGACAUCCUAGGGUAGUCUACUGACUCCUCGACCUAAAACAAUGUCUUGCACACUUAAUCAACUUGUUAGUCUUUCCCUUAGGCCCAAUUGGCCCAAUAGGUCACAAAACAUACUAAAGUGCUUGUAACACCCCAAAUCCGGCCUAGACGUUAUGGCAGUAUCUGGCAAUGUCACACGAUAGUGUUUUUGAAACCUCGUUGUUAUGAUGAAAACAUUCCAUGUUAUAAUCUUUAGUAAACCUUUGUUAGAACUUAGGAAGUCGUCUUUAUUCGUUUAAGACAUUUGUUUGAGACAUCCCUCGUUGCAAAAAUUUUAAUAAAACAGUCUAAGUGCUCAUGCGUUUAGAAAAUACUUUAACUUUUUGAAAACCAAAUUUCUUACGACCAACAGGUAUAAAUCCAAUAAAUAAAUAAAAACUCAAAUUUAAAACCAAAGACCCAGAGGGUCUUUAAAUUACAACUCAAAUAAUCAAUAAUAAUCAAAUCAUAAAUCGUAAAUUGAAAACCAUGAAGUCCAAAAAUUACUGUGGUCACCGCUAAGUCCUCCAUCGCACCAAUCCGUCAAGUCUAGGGAUUACCUAUGCAUAUUAAACAAAAAGGAUGAGUUUACGUAAACUUAGUGUGUAAUCCCGCAGAAACAAACAAAUAAUCAGUAUUCACAGUGCACAGUUGAACAGUCUUGGGCCUAAGCCCUUUUCAGUAUCAGUGACAGUUUGGGACUCAGCCCAUCUCAGUACAAUGUCAAAACUGCAGUAGGACCUUAGCCCAUCACAAUAUCAGUAGCAGUAACAGUUAUGCAGUAGCAAAAUCCUACCUAACCAGCCUCUAUACACCAUUUUCGUCUAACCCUACACUCCAUGUGGGGAUAUAAAUAACCCACCCAUCCCUACACUCCAAAUAGUACCGAAUGCGGCACAAAACAGUAGUUUGCAGCUGAGCUGCCAGUAAAUUAGGCUUAAAGCCUUUCAGUACACUUCCUCCGAAUAACAGCUCCCAACCCAAUGCAAUGCAACAUACCAUGGAUGAUAUGCUAUUAUGCAAUUUCAGUACAUAUAUUCAGUUCAAAUAUUAAUAUGCUCAGUACAUAUAUCAUUCAGUCAAUUUCACACAUUUAGGGGUCUAAGUAGCGCUUACGGACCUUACAGUAGGUUCACAGUCGACUAGGGCGACCCGUGCAACCUUAGAAACAUUUCGGUAAAAAUGGGCCCACACGCCCGUGUGAGCCCAUUUGGCCCACUCGAACCCAAUUGGCCUUGGCCGUGUGAUCCAUUUUUAAUGUAACCCAUGCUAGCUAAAAUAUUCAUAUAUGUUUUCACUAUUUACUUAUAUGCUCAUUUAAAGUUGUCUACUUGAGUCAUUGUCACUAAAUUAUUUAUAUCUUGAGCUACAGAAUUCCAAAUUAAGAUCCACUUGAUGUUUUCAAAACUAGACGCAAAUACAUUUCUACCAUAAAAUUUUCAAAUUUUAUCACUUAUCAAAUAAGUACAGUAAAAUCUUCAAAAUUAUCCCUAUUCUAUUAUUUGACUGCUUCAACCUUUCCUUACUAAAAAUUAUUUAUCUCUUAGUACAAAACUUGGAUGAUGUUUCCAUUUGUUUCUCUUGAAAGUAGACUCAUUAAGGAUUUAAAUGUAUAAAUUUAAGCCCCUAAUUAAUUUUUUGCAAUUUUUGAUGAUUUUCCAAAUUCAAAAUAGGAGAACCCUAAAUCAUUCUGACCUCGUCUCACAAAAUUCAUUAUAUCUCCUAAUUUACAAUUCCAUUGUUUACACUGUUUCUUCCGUGAAAAACUAGACUCAAUAAAAUUUAAUUUCAUAUUUUAUUCAACCUCUAAAUCAAUUUUCACUAUUUUUGAAGAUUUUUCAAAGUUAGACUACUGCUGCUUUCCAAAACUAUUUUAGUGCAAAAUGUUGAUUUCCAAGGUUAUAACACCCUUAUUUCCUUUCUCUACAAUUUUUUUCGCAUCAUUUUCUCUUAUUUCUCUUAUUUCUCGAUAGCAAGUAAUUUUAGCUUUUCGUCGAAUCCCGUUUUUUGUGUUUCGGGUUCACACCUAGUUUCGUUUGAUGCUAAAACAAUCCACAAGCACUCCAAAGCCUAUAAUUGAACAAAUAACACUAAUUUAAUCUCGCAUAACCUGAUCCCAAAUUGAACUCGUAUCGAGGUUUUAACCCAUAAGCGACUUAACCUUACCUUCAACCGAUGAACAGUAAUUCCCACACAAACUAAGACUCUGACUGGUGAUUACGAGCCCUUGAAUCCUCCCCUAAUUGGCAUAAACAAAACACUUCCGAAGAAAGUUAACAAAUAGAGACAAAUCACUUAUCUAAAACUUACCGAACAAUCGCAGACAAACGUGGAGUGACACGAGGCAAAGUGGGAAAAAAAUAAGAAGAUGAAGGGUGAAAGAGAGCAGAAAUUCGACAGCAAUGAAGAGAAAAACAGCAAGAGGGUGGAGGGAUUUUGGGGAAAGUAAAAAAAAGAAAAAAAAUUAAAAGAAUAUUUGAUAAGCACCCCAAUCCCUUAUUUCUCUCCAUCAAACUCCCCACUAAAUCCACUACUCAGAUUUUUAGUCCAUCUCAAACUCUCUUGGACAUACGAGCAAAAAUAAUGCCCAUGCUAAGAUUCAAACAUAGGACCUCUUUCACACCAACACUCUACUUAUCCAUCAAACCAGCAAGCCCAUUCUGUUAAUUAUUUGUCAACUUUUACUUAAAAGCCUACCGACCAAAGAUAGGGCUUACUCAUAAAAAUACCAAAAUUUGCCCAAGUCCUGCCUUGAACUUGGAACUUCCCAAACACACCCAAAACACUUCACCACUGAAGCAGAUACACAGUUGUGUCACACAUUCACAAUACUUAAAAUUAAAAUUUUGGGGCGUUACAAUGCUUGUUUUAUUGAAUUAAACUAUAACCUUACUAACUUCAUAAAAUGCAUAAAAAACUAAUGCAUCACUUGAUUACAAACUCAUAUUCAAGCUUAAUUUGCCACAGUGAGUUGUGGUCAAUCAAUUGUUAAUAUGAAAAUUAUUUUUUUAGAACAACCAAUUUCUCUCAACCGUAUUUUGAAGCAGUGGUGGAUCCUGGGACAAAGUUUGGAGGGGAGGCUAGUAAAAUUUUUAGGAAUUAUAAUUUUUUUUUGCCAUAACUAUCUAAUACUCAUACGUGUUUAUGCUUAUAAUAUAAUUUUUGUAACUAGUAUAAAAAUAAAUUUUUAAAAUGGGAUUUGAGUGUAAUUACGUAUGUAAUCAUUUUAACUCUCACCCUAUGUAAUCAUUUUAACUCUCACCCUCCCCUAAGAAUUAGAAAGUGUAAUUGAGUGCUCUAAUUACAGCCAAUUCGGUGGGACUCACCAAUCAAUGGUUACCCAAACAUGUCAUCUUUGUGUAAUUACUAGCAAUUACACCCAAAUUCAAUUACUAGGUGGUUUUCCAAACAUUACCUUAAUAUAUUACUAUUGGUUCUUUCUCACUUUUGUUUUAUUUUAUUUUCUUCACUUUUAAAAUGUUAUUUUAUUAUCUUAAUUAUUUUUCAAAAUUAAUAGAAUUUUAUUAUAAAUUAGGAUAGUUCUCAUUUAAUUAACAAAUUUUUAUAUAUUAAAAUUAUAAAAAUACAUUACUUAGUAAAUUAAAAAAAUAAACAAAUACAUAGUUUCAUUAAGAGUACUUUUGUAUUUUCUCCAUUAUGUGGUAUUUUCCCUAUAAAUACAUAGUUUUAGAUUUAUACCUAGAGAUAGCCACCUUAGUAUUAUUUUGCUUUAGAGUUUUCUUUUCUCCAUGAAUUUCUAAAUCAUCUUUUCUAGUCAAAGGAUUUUGAAGUUUGAUUCUAAUAGUUUGUAAGAUCUAAUUGCUCUUCAUCUAUUCUUUGUUCUUUAGUGUUUGCAUGUGUUCUAUUUUAAUCACAAAUAUUCAAGUUUGUUGGAUAUUGGUACCAUAUUCAAUUGCUUAGAACAUAGUGACAAAUAACAUUGUAAUCACUGAAUUUUGUCCGGGAUUAAUUUCGUAUUUUUUUCAAAAAAAAAGAAUUUUUUAAAAAAAAUUAUUACAUUUUGACCCCUAAACUUUUCUAAAAUUAUAUUUUGACCCCUAAACUUUCUCAAAAUUUGACCCCGAAACUUCCUCAAAAUUACACUUUGGCCCCAAAACUUUUGCUGCAUUUACGAUUUAGUCCUUCUAGUAGCCACCAAUGCAAGUUGCACCUACAACGGCGGCGGCCGGCCUAGGGCAUAGCCCCCUCCCCCUCCCCACUUGCUACCUGCAAAAAGAACAAGAAAAUCAGCUAUAAAAAGGGCUUAAAACCCCAAAAAUUGGAACCCCCACUCAUGAAAAAAUUCAAGAAAAAAUAAAGAAAAAGAGAGCUUUUUUUUCAAAAAGAGGAGGAGGAGAAAUCGGCCACUGGAGAACCACUUGCGGAGGCGACUGCAGCAGCACGAGCAGCGAUGUCGACGGGACGAAGGAGGCCGAACGGAGAAGAAGAAGAAAAAAGAAGAAAAAAGAGAAAGAAAGAAGGAAGAAGAAGAAGAAGAAGAAGAAGAAAGAAAAAGAAAAAAGAAAAAGAAAAAAGAAAAAGAAAAAAAAUAAAAAUAAAAAUAAAAAAUAAUAUUUUUUUGAACAGUCGGGUCGACCCGACCAGACCCGACCCACGGGCCGACCCGCGACCGACCCAUCAGCAGUAGGCCAGCCCAAUUCCGAAGGCAGCCCAAAAAGAAAGGAAAAAAAAGGAGCAGAAAAAAAGCAGGCCAAGCAGCCCAAUCCAGCAGGCCCAACAGAUCCAACAGCAGGCCCAAUCAGUGCAGGCCCAGAAGGCCAUCUGCAGCAGGCCUGUGGCAUGCCCAUAAUCGGCAGCAGCCCAGUCCCUGCAGUAGCCCAGCAGCCCAGCAGAAAAAAAAAGAAAAAAAAGAGGGGCCCAAGUCGUGUGACCCGUUCAAUUUAGUUCAUAUUUUCGAGCUUUUAGGUAAUUUUCUUUUUUUUCAUUUUUAAUUUAAUUUGUGUACUUUUAUAAUGUCUCGUAUUUUAUAUUAUGUUUUUAAUAUUUUCUUUAUUUUUAUUUUAAUUUUACAAAACAUCAUUAUAUUUAUUAUAUUUAUUUAUUUUAAUUUUAAAUAAUUUUAAUAAAUAAGGCAACGAAUCGAUUUAACAUUAAGCCAUUGAUUUCAUCGCUAUGUUGGGUGAAUAUUACCGGUUUGUGUUAAAUAGGAGACGCCCUUUUAAAAAUUGAAAAUAUUCAAAAAUUCUCGUGUUUUAAUAAAAUCAAGAUUAAAUAUUAAGUUGAGUCGAUUUGACACUAAUUCGAUAAUUUCAUCGCUAUGUUGAGUGAAUAUCACCUGUUCGUGUUAAAUACAAUACAUCUUUUUUAAAAAAAAAAAUCGAAAAAUUCGUGUUUCAAAAAAUUCUCUUGUUUCAAAAAUUUUCGUGUUUUCAAAAAUUGUUGUGUUUUAAAAAUUUUCAUGUUUUUAAAAUUCUUGUAUUUGAAAAGUUUCCGUGUUUCAAAAAUUUUCGUGUUUCUAAAAUUCUCGUGUUUCAAAAAAAAUCCCGUGUUUUCAAAAAAAAUGUUGUGUUUCAAAAUUCUUGCGUUUUUAAAACAAGAAAUUCCUGUGUUUCAAUUGGAUCACGAUUAAAUAUUAAAUUGAACUUGUAUUUUUGAAAAUUAAGACAACAUGCGCUUAACAAGAUACCAAUUUUGGGCGUUACGAGGGUGCUAAUACCUUCCACGUGCGUAACCGACUCCCGAACUCUAAUUUUCUUUGAAUUUUAACGUAGACCUAAAAUUGACUUUUUUUUAGAAAAUUUGAAAAAUAAUUUUUCUUUUAAAAAGAGAGUUUAUUAGGUGUCCGAUCACACCUAGAAAAAAUAUCGGUGGCGACUCCUUUUUUUAAAUAAAAUCGAGACUCUGUUUUCAAAUUUUCAAUAAUCACUUCAAUUAGCGCCAAUGUACAAAAUAUUUAGGUCGCUACGAACAUGAUUACAUAUAAACUAUGUAUGCAAUUCAUGUUAUGUGGAUACCCGAUUUAAUCUAAAUGAACCCCGUUGGUGUGUGUUUGUUGGUCAGAAAUAAGUUUUAGUCAUUCUUAAUACUACCGAUAAUUAAGCUAAAUCCUAGGCACGAAGUUAUAGGACAUCUUGGUUAUCGAAAGGUAAUGAGAGAUUGUUUAUAGGGUUCUUAAUGCUAGGUGCGACAUGGGCAACUAUAACUAAUUUAUUAAAAACACUAAAAUUAUAUUUGGAUCAUUGAUCAAACUCACUAAUCAAAAUUGAGAUUUUACCUUGGUUAGACUCUCAUUAUAUUGAUUUUGCUAUAUUUUAUUUUGCAAUCUUUUUUUACAAAGUUUUAAUUUUAAUUUUAAAAAUCCUUAUUUUUAUUUUACUUGUUUUAUUAAAGAAUUAGAACAAUCACUAGUCUUUGUGGAUACGACUCUACUCACAGUCAUCUACAAAUUUAUUUAUUUUAUUAAGAAUUUAUUUUUAUAGGUCACAACAACCAUACAACUUUUGACACCAUUGUUGGGGAUUGGUGUCCAUAAUUUUAUUUCCUUUUAAAUUCAAAUAAGAGUUUUCAAGAAGAGUGAAUAAGGUAAAUAUUUCUUUUUCCUAAUAAUCAUUGAGACCAAACGAUAACAUUAAUGAUGAACUUGAUAUUUGUGGGUGUCGAAAUAUCCCUAAAAAAAUGUAUUUCAAAAAUUAAUUUUCCAGGAAACACAUUAUAAAUAAUAAAAUAUCUAAUAACAAAGUAAAAAAAAAAUCGAAGUUUUGGUUCCCCUAUAAUCGAGGGCACAGUUUGCCUUUAACGUGGAUGAUGAGGAAAGUCUUGACGAUGUUGUGGAUAGCUCGGUUCAAGUUUAGGGUGCUUCUAAUAAUGCUGAUCUUUCUUCUACUGUUCCAUCGACUGGGAAUCCUUCUUCUAUUAGUGUAGCUGCUGAUACAGUUACCUCUACUUCAAUAAGAGAUGAGACAAUACAGAUUGACUAGGUCAUGUUUAGUCUUUUUGUAAAACUUUGGUAUUUAAUGCAAACUUUAGCCCUUAUUUGGAUUCCGUGUUUAUGUUAUGCAUCCUAGCAUUUCUUUAUCAACUUAUUGUAUUGAUCUUGUGUAGCUUUAUCAAGCUUUUAUUUUUACUACUUGGAAGACGUAGGGAAUUUUAUUCUUUCCUUAUUUGUUUAUUGUGCUUUUAGAUUAACUUAGUGAGAAGUACCCUUGGCUAAGUCUUUCAGAAGGCUAUUAAUUUAACGAGCAGUAUCCUUGGAGGGUCUGUGCUAAAUUAAUAGAGCAGAGGAUUUGUUUCACUACCUUUCUUAGUUGCAACGUGACACCUCACAUUCGAUUUGGAUGGCAAAUUUAUAUAUAAAACAUUAUAUCCGUUGUCAAAGCAACUCAAACAAACAAAUUGCUGAUGUCAAAGCCAAAUCAAGAAGCAUAGCACAUAAUUCAUAAUUUUCAAAACGCUAAUAAUUAAUUUGUAACUUUUUUUAAUAUAGUUAAUUUAGUGACUAAUGUCGUAAUUUGUCUCACUUAAAAAGAGCCCACCACUUGACUUGACGCAGAGGUCAAGAGAUAUCUCUAAUAAUGGGAAGCAAUAUUUGAUGUUUAUGGUUGAUAUUGCUCUAUGUAAGGGUGUUCAAAUGAUUAAUUGAUCAGUUAACUAAAUCGAAUUAGUAUUUGAUUGAAUUAAUCUAACUUUUUAAUCCUUUAAUUGUUAAUUAAAUCAAUUUAUUUCAAAAAACAUUAACCGAACAAAAAUAUUUCGGUUAAUUCGAUUUGUUAACCAAAAUUUAUAUUUUUUUUGUUUAAAACAAAUAUAAAACAUAUAAAAAAAUUUGAUAAUGUUCAUUUGACCGAAUUAACCUAAUUAAUCAAAUUAGUAAUAGCCUAAUACAUAUGACAUAUAAUAUUAUUUAUUAAGUUUGGUUAAUUCGAUUAAUUACUCGAUUUCGAACCGAAUUAACCAUUAACUGAAAUUUCAAAAAUCAUUUAACCGAUUUCGGACCAAACUAGAUUAGUUAACUGAUCAAUUAACCGAAUUAAAUUAAUCUGAUCAAUUAAUUUAAUUUUAACAGAAGCUUAAACACCAAAAACCAAGUCUUUGUGGAAUUAAAGUUUUGUUGUUAAGACUCACUGGAUUUUUCACAACCACUAUAAUUAGAUUAGAACUAUCUCUCCGCGUAUGCUCAAGUUUAAAAUUUUUUAAUUAAAUUUUAAUUAUCUAUUUUUUAAUUAUUAUAAUAUUAACAUAGAAAUUAAAAUUGUGAUUAUUGUUCAUAGUAGAAUAUAAAGUCUUAAAUUAUGAUGAUAACAUCAUGGAGAAAAUAUUUUAAUUUAAAAAAUGUAUAAAAUUUAUAUAUUAUCUCUUUUACAAUUAUAUAAAAAAUUAUAUUAAUAUAUAAAAAUAAUAAAUUAAAAAAAUUCUGUUUUAAUCGUUUGCCAUUAGAUAUCUAGUGAACUGAUGCCAUCCACUAAUUUGACUCUCAAAAAAUGGAAGUUUGGGAAAGCUAAAGGUUGUUAAAUUAGACAAAAAGAAACAAGAAGCCAUGCCAAUAAUUCCGUUAACAAUUUAACCGGACCAAAGUAGAACUAAACGAUAACAUUAAUGUUGAAAUUGAAAGUUUUUUGUAGUUCAAUGACAAAACAAAAAUACGCUAAUAAUUGAGCCACUCAUUGUGUAAUUUAGCAUUAAUUUAUUUUUGGAAGAAAUUGUAUUUAUGUGAUAAUAAUAAAUUUCAAAAAAAUAAAUUAUUUCUUUUGUCAAAAAUUUGUAAUUAUAAUAAUUUAAAUAUAUAUAUAAAAAAGUAUCCAACAAAUAUAUCAAAUUAUUGCAAUAAAAGGAUGAAGAAAUCAUAAUAUAACAAUACACCAAUUAGAAAUAACUUCAUUUCAAAUAUAAAUGAAAUUUAAUAAUGAAACAAAUUCUAUUAAAGACAAGGACUAAACUAAAAAAAUUAAAACCAAUUAUAGACUAAGAUAUGAAUAUAUAAAUAGUGAAAAGUGUAAUCAUAAACUUUUAAAAUAAAAAUAUUCUAGAAAGCAAUUAUUUCUAAAAAGUAAAAAUCAUUAACUCUUCCACCUUCCGCCCUCUUUUAUUUAUUAUAUUUUUAUAUUGAAUAUACUAUAUUUUUUUACUCUUAGUCUUUACUUGUUGAAAAGGUUACAAAGUUAUCAUAAAUUUCCUAAAAUCUUAUGGCACUUUUCCAAAGAUCCAAUACAGAUUGAUACAAUAGCUGAAUUAUACCAUUAAUUAUUAAAUUAUAGAUAAUCAAACAAGAUUAUAAUUUAGUCAUUAAUAUUUUCAAAAUUAUUUUUAUGGUCACCUGAUUAUUAAGUGGCACUUUUUUGGUUGGUAUGAUAACAAUUUUAUUCUUUGAUUUUUCUAUUAAUUUGGCCCUGGUGCUAAAUAAAAAUUAUAAAUAAAUAAAUAAAUAAUUUCGAAAACAGUAGUCAUCAAAUUGUAACAUUUUUAAUUUAAUGACUAAAACAAAAACUUACCUAUAAUUAAUUUAAUGACUAAUUUCAUAAUUUACCCUUUAUUUUUUGAAAGGAAAUCUUACUUAAAAAGAUACCACCACUUGACUUACACAUAAGUCAAGAAAGGAAAGCAAUAUUUGAUGUUUACUGUUGAUAUUGUUGUAUGAAUGCCAAAAUCCAUGUAUAGACUUAUUUCGAGUGUUUGAAUUUUCCACCAAAAACAAAGUCGCUGUUGAAUUAAAAUUUUGGUGCUAAGACCCAUUGUAUUUUUCACAACCACUAUAAUUAGACGAUAAUUAUCUCUUCACGUAUUCUCGAGUUUAAAAUUUUUUAAUUAAAUGUUAUUUAUUUUUUAUAAAAUAAAUAGUCAGAGAUAAUAAAGAACAAUGAAUAUGAGAGAACAAAAGAGAGUGUGUAUUUUAUUGAUCAAUCAGAAUAUCUACAAACUUUCUCCAAAAUCUGUAACACCUCAAACCUGGCCUAAACGUUAUGGCCGAAUCCGGAGAUGUCACAAAGAAUGGUUUUGAAAACGGAGUUGUCUCGCCAAAUCAUUCACAUUUCAUACUUCACACGCAUUCCCAAUUUUACUGAAAACAUCAUUUAAUUAGUUUGUUUGCUAAAAUGUAUUACAGCAGAAACCUGAAAACAAUCGUUAUGUUUUUAGAAAUGCAGCCGCAUUUUUAGGAAAACAUUUGUUUGCGUAAAAGCUGUCGUUUUCAAUAAAACAUUUCGUCAAAGCAUGCAUACCAUUAACAAUCAAAACCAAAGCCAAAGGUUAAAAAGUCCCAAACAGUCCAGAGAGUCCCAGAAUUUACAAACUCUCAAUGAAACCAAAAUUUAAUAUAAAAUCAUAAAUUAAUAUUUGAAAACAGUUUACGAACGACUGGUCACCACUGAGUCUCCUGCCGCACCGAUCCGCCUAAGUCUGUGGAUUACCUGACAUAAUAGACAAGUAGAUGUGAGUUUACGUAAACUCAGUGUGUAACCCAGCAGAAUUAAGCAUGCAAUCAUACAGAAUCAUAUACAUAAACAGAAACAAAUACAAUACAGAUUCGGGCCCAGGCCCAUUUCAGAUACAGUAAACAGAAUCAGAUAAUCAGAAUCCUAUCCCCAUCCUCUACACACCAUCUCCGACCAUCCCAACACACUAUGUGGGGUUAAAAACACCCACCCAUCCCUACACACUAGGUUGUUCCAUUACAACACGUAUCAGAUAUAGUGCAGCCAAGCUGCCAGAUAAUAGGCGAUGAUCGCCAAACAGAACACUUCCUCCAUCAAUACAAAACCCACCUCACAAUCAUAUACAGGACAAAUACAAAAUAACAUACUAGACAUGCUCAACAUGUUAUGUACGGAUAUCAGAAUAAUCAGAUAUGCAUGAUAUUAUCAUACUCAGAACAAAUCAUCAGUCCAUCAAAUCUACAGUUUUAGGGUUAGGCUAGCCCUUACUGACCCUACGGUAGGCCCACAGUUGAUUGAGACGACCCGUGCAACCCUAGGAUAAAUUUUAAAAAUUUGGGUCCACAUGCCCGUGUGGCUUGCCCGUGUAGGCCUACACGCCCAGAUUGGCCCUUACUAUAUGGCUUGCCUGUGUGGCCCACACGACCACACUCGAGCCACCGCACGGUCGUGUUCUCGCACAUGGCCUACCACACGCUCGUGUGGCGUCGAUAGAACUAUUUUUUGGCUUUUGUUCAAACCUCUUUUUUUGCAUUUCGGGUAUACACCUAGGAUCGAUUUGGUGCAAAAUCACACUCGAGCCUUCCAGAACCUAAAAUCAAAAUUUCCAAAUUUUGAAUUUAGUAACACCAACAAAUCUCCACCAAGACAAUUUCACAACGAAACCUUACAACAUUAAUCAACGCACGCGAAUACUUACCGCUAACAAACAACAACCUUGAAAACUUAAAUCGUCGCAGGAACCCCAACCGAUCCUUGACCUUCGCCUAAAUUGAGAGUAACAAAACAAAUCCUUUCGUUAAACACUUAGCCAAAAAACGUUAAGAUUCUAACAAUACAAAACUUACAAAAAGAAUGCAGUCAAACGUUGCACAAAAAAAACGAGACCGAUUCAGAAAAGAAAUAAAACAGAAGUGGGAAAUAGAGAGACAAUUUUUCUACAAAGAGGAGAACAAAAAGAAUGUCAGUUUUUUUUGGAAAUCGAAAAUUUUGAAAAAAAAAUAAAAUAGAAUUAUCCCAAAUCCCCCCCUUUUUCUCUUGCUAACCCACUAACAUCCAACAUCCUCAGACAUGCAGUUCAACCGAAACUCCCUCCGACAACCGAGCAAAAAUUAAUUACCCAUGCUAACGCAAAAAUUUGAACACAAGACCUCAAACACACCACUCCCUUACCACCUGAACCAACAAGCUCAAUCUAAUUUAAAUUUACAGGCAAUAAAAUAUAUGCCCCCUUACCAAGGAUAAGGCUUAGAUUCAAAAAUAACCAAAAUUUGCUAAAGGUAAGGCUUGAACUUGAGACCUCUCACACAUACCUAGAACACUUAACCACUAAAGCAAACAAAUAUUUGUCAAAAACUUACAAAAACAGAAAUAAGAAAAUCAGGGCAUUACAAAAUCUCUAUUUAUAGGUAUAAAAAGUAUAAAUGAAGUAGAGAUCUCCUAAUGACUAUUAGAAUUUAAAGUACAUCAAAACUUAUCUUGAUCUUAAUGGACAUCCAUAUAAUAAUAUAUUCAUAACAUUUAUUUAUUUUUAAAAAUUAUUAUAAUAUUAACAUAGAAAUUAAAUUUGUGAUUAUUGUUUAUAAUAUAAUAUAAAUGAUAACAUCAUGGAGAAAAAUAUUUUAAUUUAAAAAUUGUAUAAAAUUUAUAUAUUAUCUCUUCAAUAAUUUAAAUUAUAAUGAUAAUUUUUAUAUAUUAAAUUUAAUAUAUUUAAUCUUCCUUUAAAAGAAAUAAAUUACUUGUUAAGUUAUUGCAUUUAUUCUAUGAAUUAAUUUUAAAUUUUAUUUGUCAAUCUUCACAAAAUUAUUAGAUACUUUGAGCAAUUUAGAAAAUCAUUUAAAAAUAGAAAAAUUCCAUUGAAGAAUGAUACUUUUGAUUAUUGAAAGUAUCUGCUGAUUAUCGGACGCAUGAUGUCGAAACCAUUUUUUGGAAUCGACUUUUAUUUUAAAAAAUGAAAAAUGGGAGUCGCCACCAAUCCUUUUUUUAUGAGGUGUAAUCGGGUCACAUCGUAAUUUAAUCGUUUUAAUAAAGGGUUUAAUUUAUUAAAACAACGAUUUUUUGGUCUAGAAACUUUGAGAAAUGAGUUCGGGAGUCGGUUACGCACGAGGAAGGAUUAACACCCUCACAACGCCCAAAAUUGGUACCUAGUUGAUUAAUUAAUGUCUUAAUGUCGAAAAUUGAAAACUUGAAAAGAGUUUAAAAUACAAUCCCUCUUUGUAUUAAUAUCAUGAUUACUUAAAAAAUCUUAAAUAAAUCGAAAAGUAUGUUAAAGACCCUCUCAUCUCGAGGUAACAAAAUGUCACAUCCCGUAAAUUAGGACACGACACUUCAAAUUUUUGAGAAUGAAUUUGCCUUUAUUUUUUAUUUGAAUCUCACAUGUUUUAAUUUUAAAAAGAUAUUAGGUUAUUUAGACCCAACGAGAAAAAAAUCGAAACCCUGUAAGUUAGGGCACGACUUUCUCAAGUUUCCAAAUACAGAAUAUUGUAUUAUUUUAAAAAUUUUGAAUAAUAACAAGUGUAAUAUUUAAACGAUGUGUAUUUUUUAUUUGGAUACAAUACAUCAAUGGACAGACAUAUCUAAACUUAAUGUAUAGUAGUGAUACAUGAAAUAAUAUAAAAUGACUAUAUUGAUAGAAUAUUGGAAUGAUAAAUAAUAGGUAAAUAAAUGAAUACUAUAACAAUAAUAGUAUAACCUUAAUAAUAAUAAUAAUAAUAAUAUUAACAAUCAGAUCAUAGUGAUAAUAAAUAAAAUAAUUUAAAAUAAAUAAGAACAUGGAAGAUGCAUGUUAGAAACUAAAGGUGCGUUUGGUUCGUUGUAUUGGAUUAGAGGUGUAUUGGAUUAGAGGUGUAAUAGCAAACCAACUGUUUGGUUGAAUGUAAUGGAAUAGAGGCGUAAUAGUAAUCUUGUGUUUGGUUGAAUGGAAUAGAGGUGUAAUAGCAUAAUGGAAAAAACUAAAAUGACUAGAAUACCCUUAGCAUAAAUUUGUUUUGGUAAAUGAUUAUUGUUAUUGUUAUUUAAAUUUUAAUAAGAUUAUUAUUAUCAGUAAUAAAUAUUUUAAUCAUAUUUAAACAUAAUUAUUAUUAAAUAUAUUUUAAUUAAAAUAUAUAAUUUAAUAAAAUUCUUAUAAUUAGCAGAUAUUUGUUUUGGUAAAUUAUUAUUGUUAUUGUUAUUGUUAUUUAAAUUUUAAUAAGAUUAUUAUUAUCAAUAAUAAAUAAUUUAAUCAUAUUUAAACAUAAUUAUUAUUAAAUAUAUUAUAAUUAAAAUAUAUAAUUUAAUAAAAUUCUUAAUAAUUAAUAUUCUUAUAUGAAUUUACUCAAAUCAUAAUAUAUGAUACUGUAAAAAUAUAAAUUAACAUAAUUAUUAUUAAAUAUAUUAUAAUUAAAAUAUAUAAUUUAAUAAAAUUCUUAAUAAUUAAUAUUCUUAUAUGAAUUUACUCAAAUCAUAAUAUAUGAUACUGUAAAAUAUAAAUUAACAUAAUUAUUAUUAAAUAUAUUAUAAUUAAAAUAUAUAAUUUAAUAAAAUUCUUAAUAAUUAAUAUUCUUAUAUGAAUUUACUCAAAUCAUAAUAUAUGAUACUGUAAAAUAUAAAUUAACAUAAUUAUUAUUAAAUAUAUUAUAAUUAAAAUAUAUAAUUUAAUAAAAUUCUUAAUAAUUAAUAUUCUUAUAUGAAUUUACUCAAAUCAUAAUAUAUGAUACUAUAAAUGAAAAUUUGAAAUAAUUAAUAUUAAAUAUAUUUUAAUUAAAAUAUAUGAUUUAAAAUAAUUUAAAAUAAUUAUAACUAAUAAAUUAUAUUUUAUGAAUUUGUAUAAUUUAAAAUAAUAAUUAUUACAUAUAAUUUAAUAAUUAAUAUUAAAUUUCAUAAAAUUCUUGAUAAUAAAUUUUCUUAUAUGAAUUUAUACAAUUUAAAAUAAUUAAUAUUAAAUAUAAUUUAAUAGUCAUAUAUAGUUUCAUAAAAUUCUUAAUAAUAAAAUGUUCUUAUAUGAAUUUACUAAAAUCAAUAUAUAACUUGAGAAUUAUAUUCUGCAUAAACAUAAUUAACUUAUAUUAAGAAAAAGUUAGAUGAAAAUGAAAUUGUACAUCAUAAUCCAUAUGUUAUAUAGUUUUACAACAUCAAAAAGUUUGAACAUUGAUAUUUAAUGGUGAGAAAGAAAUCUUCUGACCCAUUCCAAUCGGGCAACAGAAGGUAAACUAAAGAAAACGAUCAUUUGAGUUGGAUGAUCGGGAAUUUUACUCUAAGCAUCAUACCGCUGAUCGUCGGUUAAACCUUCAAUUGACCAUAAGGCUGAAUAUAAAUUUGAAGCUUUCUUUUCCAUCUUUUGAUGUUCUUCUGACUUCUGCUGAACUACCACCUCGGAUGCAAUACUCCUACUGAUUUGAUCGCCAACGGCCUGAAUUUUUCCCCCCAACAAAAUGGCAGCCUCCUCAAAUGAAGAAUACACAUUAUCACGAGCAUCAGAUUUCUUCUUUCUCUUGUUUGAAGAUGAGGAACCCCCUUGGUCUCUAUCUCCUCGCGGAUCCGUACCAGAAACAUCCAUGUGGUCUAAAGAGACGUCAGCUUCGCAGUCAUAGAAUGUGUUUCUCUCUUCAUUCAUAUCUGUAGUACGUUCAUCCUCAGCAUGUAUUUCUUCAAGAACAUCAGCAGCUGUUUGAGCGUCUUUCCCAGUCGCCCGAUCUCUUGCGUAUAUGGCAGUAAGCUGGUUGUAGUAAGGGAAAGAACGAUGUCUGAACUGAGAGGCUUCUUUGUGACUCUAAAAAAAACAAGGAAAUCAUAUUAGUUAUAAGUUUUGUAAAAAAACAAAUAAAUACUUGAAAUACAUUUUACCUUAACAUAGGAUUCCCAAACUGCAUCUUCAGCAACAACGAGCUGCCUAUGCUCGUCCCAACCAAAGCCGCUGUUGUUUUGACCAUUAAGCAUGUCGUAGACGACUGACCAUUCCCUUUUUAGGCACCUAAUCCGAGAUUCAAUAUUUGGUCUCGCCUUCAACAUUGCUCUUGGUAAAGCCUUUUCUAGCAUUUUCUCUAGCUCGUUCAAAUAACCGACUUUGAACCCGGUAUCAGCAUUAAAUGUUCCUACAUUGUGCAAAUCCACCAUGCAAGAAACCAAGGCUGCAUCCUCUUCUGGAACCCAUUUUAUUUUGCUUCCUCGAGAAGCUUGAGAAGAAGCACCCGUUGGUGGAACACCUGACAUAUUGUUCUUAAGAAAAAAAAAACAAAUUAACAUUAUUUACUAUUUUGAAUAUCAUGAAUCAAAAGGUGAACAAUUUAUAAUAUUAUAUCGGUAGUUCAAUACUAAAUUUAAAUUUAUAACACAUGCUGAAUGAAAAGAUAAUUAAAUUAUAAUUCAACAAAGUUUAGUACAAUACAGAAUUUUAAUCAAAGACCACCAAAGUUUCAUAAACUAGAUACAUAAAAUAACAUCAACAAAUCAAUUCAAACUCAAUUUGUCCCUAAACCUAACUAAUUUCUAGAUGCUUGCCAUUCAUCGAACAUUUGGUUGGCUAGUUCCAUCCUCCAAGUUGCCCAAGCAUCCGAUGGAUGAAUAUUUGUGAUAUUCAGCUCAUCGUCAUCCACAACAUUAGUAGGUAAUCCUUCUCCCACCUCCGCUUCAAUGGGAUCAAUACUCAUAUGGGUUCGAAUAAAAUUAUGGAGCAAACAACAUGCAAUAAUAAUUCUAUUGUUAGAAUACUAAUUUAAUUCUAAGUCAACUAAAUGUUGUACAAUCUAUAUAUAAAACUCAGUCUAAUACCUUAAACCAUUUCCACCUUGUGUCAGAAGAAUCGGCUGUAAUUGGCUCCGGCUUUUUAAAUAAGACAUCUUGUAAGCGUAUGACAGCAUUUAAAACACUAUGAAAUGCUCUGCUUGCAGUUUCCCUGGACCUUCUAAAGUGAUGCUUGAUAACUCGAUUUUUAAGGUGAUGGGAGAUGAUAUGUAAAAACAUUGCUACUUGCUCAUCAAGAAGCAUGAACCUCGACGACUUCAAUCCCCCUAUCGAUUCUAACAUCUCACAUAGUUUAAAAAAUGCAGUUCUAUUCAUCCUAACUUGUUCAAUACAAGUCUCGUCACUAGCAUAUACAAGCCUCUUCACAUAAUCCCGUUGUGCAUAAAAAUCUACGGUAUAGGACCUAAUCCUUGGUCUAUAAGUAUGUAGGCUAAGGCUGGCACCCAUUCUAAAUAAGAACCAAAUCGCGAUUCUACAGAUUUCCAACCAAAUUGUCAAUGCAGCACCGAUUCUUUUACGCCUCACACUUUGUGCAAUUAAGGGCAGACGAGCCAUUACUGCACCAUAUUAAAAUUAGAACUCAGUAUCAAUCGCCUCACACUUUAGAGAUGCAAAUUUAUUAAAAUAAAUAUCGUAUAAGAUAUCUUUUUCAAUUAAUAAAAUAGAUAAUUCAUUCAAUUUUUGUUGAGAUAUUGUUAAUCUUCAGUAAGAUUUUAUCAAUUUUAAUUUUUAGAGCAUUUUCUCCGUUGAUGCAACAAAAACAUGAGUUAUUAACAUUAUACGCAUUUGAAAAAGGAAUAAACUCUUUAUGAAUAAUUAUGUCAAUUGAGUGUCAUUUUAUAAUUUGAUAAUUUAUUUGAAAAUAAUAUUAUAAUAAUUUGAAUUAAAUAAGGAAUUUGAAUAUUAUUAAUUUAAUAACAAUUAUAUAAGCAUCGAAAUUGGAACUUGAUUGAUUGUUUAUAUAAGUACCGAAUUAUAUUUUAAUUAAAAUAUGCAGAUUUAAUCUUAAAUUUGGAUAUUAUAUAAGCAUCGAAAUUGGAACUUGAUUGAUUGUUUAUAUAAGUACCGAAUUAUAUUUUAAUUAAAAUAUGCCAAAUAUAUAUUAUUAUCAUUACCAAAUUUCUACUUGGGACUUGGGUGAUUACUUUUCUUUACAAUUAACUCUCUUCAACUUUUCAAUCUUUUAUUUUAUUUUAUUUUAUUUUAUUUUAUUAACAUUGUAGCCUUAAAACAACUACCUAUUUUAUAAUCGCUUUAAUCAACACGUAGUUGAGGUUCGGGAUUCGAGUUUUGAUUUAUUUUAACACAUGGGUUCUUCUUAAGGGUAAGCAGGAAAAUUCGAAAAACCAAAAAUUAACUUGAACUAAUGUGUUUGGACGGUUUAUGAAAUGCUAGUUUUAAAAUGUGAAACCCAAAUCAUUUCUAUUUUUAUUUAUUAUAUAAUUAAUUUUAAUAUUUUAUGAUAUAAAAAUAAAAUUAUUAUAUUUACAGUAGUGAAAAUAAUUUAAAAGUUUUUGAAAGAUUAUUAUUUUCUAGAAACAUUUAUGAAAAUGUUUUUGAAAUUUUGUCAAAUAAUAUUCAAAAAGCCAUAAAUAAAGCUCUUUUUGUUAAAAUAAAUCUAAAAGCUCAAAACAAAAAUAUUAUAAGUAAUAUAAUAGAUAGUUGAAAAAAUUCAAAAGACUCAAUUAAAUCAAACCAAUAGAACCCUAAUUUUCCCCAAAUUUAUUAUAAGUAAUCAGUAAUCGAGUUAUUUUGCAUUGAAGUUGAUUUAAAAAAACUAUGAAAAUUUUAAAAAAUAAAAACUUUUUUAAAGAAACAUAAUACAAUCUUAAUUACAAUACAAAAUAAUACACGUUAGAAGCAUUAGCCUUUCAAAUUUUCAAAAAUACAGAAUACAUUCAAAAUUAUUAAUAAAUGGUCGGGUAUUACGUUCCUAAUGGAAAGACUCAAAUUUAAACUUUAGAGACGACAUUAUUAAAAGAGAAAAGCACAAACUCUAAACAUAAAAAAAUAUAUAUAAUACAUUUAAAACUUAAACCGAAAUAAAUAUUAACUAAAAAUUCGCACAUGAAUGACAUAGGAUGAGACUCUAACAUAAAAUUUUAAAGAUUUUUAAAACUUCAACCAUACAAGAUACUGUUUAAUUUAAAGAAUUUAAAAAUAACAGUUGAAAGAAAAAGAUUACAUGUUUUUCCCAUCCCGUCAAAUCAAAUUAACUUUUUUUUUCUAUAAUUUUAUAGUAGUAGCAUAAUUUAUUGAAUCCACUCAUGAACAAGCAUGAUAAAAGAAUGCGAAAAAUUCAGCAAAAUCAUGCAAAUAACAUCAUUACGCAACUACCUUUAGAUUCAAGUAAAUUGGACAUUCAUGAUGACUUGGAUAAUAAAAUUACUAUAAUGAGAAAGGGCAAUGCUCAGAAAGCCUUCAAAGUCGAUACAUAUAUGAGAUGGAGAGUAGGUUAAAGAGUUACAUGCAAAUAAGACAUUACCAGAAUUAUAUUCUAUCCAAUAAUUGAAGCGGAGUGGGUUGAAGGAUGUUUUAUUAGAUGGGGCUAUCAAAGUAGGCUUUCUUAUUUCUUCUAAGGGAGCUUAUAAUGUUAGAACCAUGGAAGAAUGAUCGAAAUGACAAUAGGUAAUUAUUUUGGUAACUUGGAGUGCUGCUGGUUUUAUGUUCUAGUAAUGUAAUUUUUUAUGGUAGAGUUAACAAUCUUGCCAGUAUCAUAUUAGAGAGAAUUAAGUUAAAAGGCUCAUAGUUCUUCAAUACUAAUCUCAGUAACAGUAAAAAAAAUCAAAUAAUUUAAUUGCAAAAAAACUUACAGUGACUCAGUGAAUACAAGAGGCUUAGUUAUGGGUGGAGCAAGCAAGCCAAGGGACUAAGGGAGUAGUGCUAGUGGCCGGAGGCGAAGCAAGCAAGGGAGGUUGGGACUGAGAGGUGAAAAUAAAAAUACAAAUUCAAUAAUAAAAAAAGAAGAAGAAAAAGUAAAGCAAUAUGUUUGAAGAAGUAAAACAACAUGCCUAUAACAUAACGAAUAAGAAACACAUAAAUAACAUAACCCAACAAAGAAGAAAAAGCUAAAUAGGAAUAUUUCAUGAUGUGUAAUAGGAGAUGACUAGCACUUCGAAUUUAAAGGAAUUUAUGUUAUUUGGUUUCAUAGUUUAGGGAUUCAUCAGCUGACAGUUGGUCUAGAUCAUUGGUCCAGAUACAACUUCACGAAUGAGUUUCUAUUUGGUUUCAAUGAUUUUUAACUCGUCUUCAUUGUCUUGCUCUGCUUAGCUUUGUUACGGAAAAAAGGUUUCAUUUAACUAGAAACUCAUGGUGUCAGGGUUUAUUCCAAGAAAUCCACUAAUUACUUCUUCAACUAUGUUUAGAAAAAAUUAUAAAUAAGGACAUACAUUCUUAGUAAAAAUACAAUUUACUUAUCCAGUUCAGCUAGUAAUAUACACAUGACUAGAAAGCAAGAGGGCAAAGAAAUUAAGUAAAUUAACCUCAAAAAAUGUACUCUUACAGGAAUCGUAGCUUUUGAAGCUUGCCCAGAGUAGAUGGAAUGUGUCCGGUUAAAGUAUUCAAGUAAAGAUCCAAGCUCACUAAGUUGGUCAAAUUUCCAAGAUCCUCUGGGAUUAUACCAGAUAUGUUAUUACUAUAAAGCUCCCUGUCAUAAAAAAAUGGUAAUCUUCAGCAAAAGAAGUUUAAUAGAAGCACAUAAACCAUGCAUGUAUCUAUGAAAAUGCAACCAAAUCCAAUGGAAAGAUGACAACAGAUGCAAACCAUUGUGUAAUGACAAAAGCAUAGAACAUCAUUGUUUACAACUAUUUCUACUAGUAUACCUGAAUAACUCAGACAUUCUGGUCAGUUUUGGUUACUAGGAUGACAAAAGCAUGCUGGUGUUUUGUUUUUCCUUUAUGUAUGUCUCAAUAUUCUAACAAUGAGAGGUAGCAUGUAAGAAAUGAGUUAUCUAUUUUGGGGUCAACCAAAAAUAGACUAGGCCUACACUAUUGACUUACAAAUUCUGCAAAGCCGGAAGCUGUCCAAGCUGUGGAACCAAAUGACCAAACAGAUUUGCAUUCCCGAGGUCCCUAAAUUGAGAAGGAAGAAAGCGUUUACUAAAUGCUUAUCAGGAAUGAGUUUCUAUUUGGUUUCAAUGAUUUUUAACUUGUUUUCAUUGUCUUGCUCUGCUUUGCUUUGUUACGGAAAAAAGGUUGCAUUUAACUAGAAACUCAUGGUGUCAUGGUUUAUUCCAAGAAAUCCACUAAUUACUUCUUCAACUAUGUUUGUAGGUACCACUGAAAACACAUGAAAAGAAGUCUAUCUUAAAGUUUUUCUCAACAAUGAAAGUUAAAAAGGAACAAGAAUCAAACAUGGAACAAAGUGUGUGCGAUGAAUAUGUCAAAAAAAAUUUGCUGAAUAACUUAAAGGAGGAACCUAAAAGUACAGAUGAUAGACUUGCAUCCUUAACAGAUAAAAUCGUUCACCUCUUUUAGUAAGCAAUUCACCAUUCAAGUGCUUUCUUUUACACAACAAAUCAAUAAGAACAACAGAAGAACACAUGCAACCCCAAAUCCCCCUUAAAAACGCUUCUUUUCCUUUGAUUAAUUAAUGCUUUUAACAAUUUAAACCCAAAAUGAAACAACUUCCAAUUCCCUGUUAGAACGAACCAACAAAGCCUAUAUACUUAAUCAUGAAGUAAAGAAAAAAAAAAGAAAUCACCCACUAAUAAAAAACAUAAAGGUCUUUUUUUUAAAUGGUGCAAUACAAAACCAAAAGAGCUAAAAACCUCAGUAAAUGAAUGAUAUUAAGUUAUUAACAUACAAGGAAAAUGAUCAUAGUUUAUAUGAAGAAAAAAUACCUGAAACUAGGUUAAAACUUCUGGGUCUGUUACAGAAAACAAAGAAAGAAAGGAGAAGCCUUUGUAAAUUUUUACUUAGAAAGAGAAAAACAGAAGCAGCUCUCUUCUUACCUUUCUCUAUGGCAUGCUCGAGAAGAAUUUGGGGCUACUGGCCGAAGGCGAAGCAAGCAAUGAAGGAGAUAAAGGAGAGACAAACCCAGGAAACAGAGGGCAAAUUAGGGCGUGAAAACUAAAACGGAUGUAAACUGAAGAGAAGGCAAGGAUUAGAAAACAGAGAAUUCUGAGGAUUAGGGGCGUAACGUAUUAGGGGUGUAUUAGGCAAUACAUUGAACCAAACACCUACUUAAGAGGGGCUUAAGUGGGGCCCACGGAUUAGGGGUGUUUUGGCUAAUCCAAUACACCAAACCAAACAUAGUGUAAAUGACAUGAAAAUGCCAAAAAUAAUAAAAGAAAAAAUGAAGCAAUAAGAGCACACCAAAAAGUAAAAAUAAGAUAACAAUGACGAUAAUAAAUUAAAAAUGUGACAAUAAAAGCAUGUGUACAAUCCAAUUUACGAGUAUGUGUAAAAAAUAAUAAUAAUAAUAAAUAUAUGAUAAAUAUAUGGGUACUAAUAAUAAUAAUAAAUAAAAUAAUAAUCAUGAUAACAAAUGCACAAAAAGAAAAUAAAAAAUAAAAAAGCUAAAAGAAAAAAGAAAAAAAUCACGAUAAAGGAAAAUAAAAUAAAAAACAGUUUUAAAUAUUAAAAAAUGGUAAAAAAAACUAAUAAAUAAGUAAAUAAGCAAGUAAAUAAAUAAAUAAAGGACUCAAUCGCAACUUAAAUAGAAUUAAAAGUAUAAAUCAAGAAAAAUACAUAAAUAAAAUACCAAAAUGAAAAGCGUGAAAACAAACGAGGACCAAAUGAGAAAUUAUCCCAAUCCUCUGAACAUGCGUCCCUUCUCCAUGAGAUUAGCGAGCCAGGGACUAAAUUGAAAUGCGUGAAAACUUCAGUGGCCAAAUCUAUAAAAAAAAGAAGUAAAAAAGGGACUAUAUUGAAACGUGAUGUAAAAGCGGAAGGAUUGACUACGCAAAUAUGCCAAUUUUCAAAAACAAGCGGAUCCCAAGGGUUAAUGGAUCGGGAAAUUGGGUCGGCCCAAAACGACGACGUUUUGGGCAUCAGAAGCCAAUCCCAAAGCGACGUCGUUUUGGGGGGGCUUAUUUAAGUUAAUUUUUUUCAAAAAAUUUCAUUUCUCUCUUGCUUUAUAAAAAACUGCUUUCAACUCUUUUUUUUUCUCUGAAAUUUCCCUAGGGCCGGCCAUCCGGUCCAGUGGCCUCUCGUCGACCACCGGUCACCGGUGACAAUGCCGCCGUCCAUGGUGGUCGAAACCCCUAAAAAAUCCCUUUUUGGCCCUUUGUUUAAAAAAAACUUAGGUUUUAGAUCUAAAGGCAAAUGCCUAAAAAAUAGAAAAAAAGAACAAAAAGAAAUUCGGCCUCUGCCCUUUUUUUGCCUAUUUGCCCUAUCGUGUUCCCUUCUUGACGAAGGCCGAACGGUGCCCUAAGGACCUACGACAAGCGUGACGCGAGUAGACAGGUAAUAGAUUUUAUUUUUUUUAUUAUUUUCCUAUUUUAAGAAUAAAAAAAAAAGUGAGUCACCCAUUUUUUAAUCUGAUUUUCUUUUUCAAAAAAAGUCCCUUGAUACAAUCUGUUUUAUGGCUUUUAUAGCCAUCACAUACAUUUUUCUAUAUUUUUACUGAUUCUACUAUUCUUGCUUGGUUGUCUUUCGUCCUUUUUCACUUUUUUUACAGGCAUCGACGCGCGGUCAACAAUGGGGAGAAAAUGGCGCCCUUGCUAUUUUUUUGAAAUGGCAGCAGGGGCAUCAGACCUCGGGACGAGGUGCCUCGAGCGGCGUGCAUACGAAAGGGGGUGCGAGCUAGAGGCUAGGGUUUUUGUUUUUUUUCUAAAAUAGUUUAGGCUAUUGGGUCUAGGGCCAUAGGGUUUUUUUUAAUUUUGGGCCAUUUGGGCUUGUAACAUAUUGGGUUAUAUUUGUUGUAAAUGAACAGUUUUUUAUUUUGGACUUUAUUAUUUUUGGUUUAAAUUUUUGUAAUUUGGGCCUAGGCAAAAUUGGGUCAUUACAACUGCCCCUUUUUGCUCGUUGACAUGUAACGUGAAUAGAGCAAAGGCCUUAAAAGGGUCAACUUUGCCUGGUCUUGCCGAAUCUCAACUUCUUUGGUACUUCUCUUUUUUAAGUGGUUUCAUCCUAUCCCACAGCAACUUCAGGGGUAUAGGAAUUGUAGUUUCAAUAUACUCCACUACAACGUCAAGGAGAUAAGAUUUGUAGCUUGUAGCUUUAGUCUAUUCCACUGCAACUUCAGAGAGAUAAGACCUGCUAUGGUAGAUUUAAUCUGACCCACUGCAACUUCAGAGGUAUAGGACUUAUCGUUUCAAUCUACUCCACUGCAACUUCAGGGAGAUAAGAUUAGUAGCUUCAAUCUGCUCCACUGCAACUUCAGGGAGAUAAGAUUUGUAGCUUCAAUAUGCUCUACUGCAAUUUCAGAGAGAUAAGAUUUGCUAUCUUCGAUCCACUCCGCUGGAAUUUCAGAGAGAUAAGAUUUGUAGCUUGUAGUUUUAGUUUAUUCUACUACAACUUCAGGGAGAUAAGACCUACUAUGGUAGAUUUAAUCUGACCCACUACAACUUCAGAGGUAUCGGACUUAUCAUUUCAAUCUACUCCACUGCAACUUCAGGGAGAUAAGAUUAUUAGCUUCAAUCUGCUCUACUGCAACUUUAGAGAGAUAAGAUUUGCUAUUUUCAAUCCACUCCACUGCAAUUUCAAGGAGAUAAGAUCUGUAACUUCAAUCUGCUCCACUACAACUUCAGGGAGAUAAGAUUUGUAAUUUGUAGCUUUAAUCAAUUCCAUUGCAACUUCAGGGAAAUAAGAUUCGCUAUCUUCAGUCUGCUCCACUGCAACUUUAGGGAGAUAAGAUUUGUGGCUUUAAUCUGCUCCACUACAACUUCAGAGAGAUAAGAUUCACCAUGAUGACUUCAAUCCAUCCCACUGUAACUUCAGGGGUAUAAGAUUUGUGGCUUUAAUCUGCUCCACUGCAACUUCAGAGAGAUAAGAUUUGCCAUGAUAACUUCAAUUCAUUUCACUACAACUUCAGGGGUAUAGGAUUUGCGGCUUUAAUCUACUCCACUACAACUUCAGGAAGAUAAAAUUCACCAUGAUAACUUCAAUCCGUCCUACUGCAACUUCAGGGGUAUAGGAUUUGUGAUUUCACUGAUCUAUUACACCGUUCUCUAGGGAACAUAACCUGUAGAAUCCAUUUCAAGGGCCUAUAUUUAUGCCAAGUAAUUAGGAUGUUAUGGUCAGAAUGAAUCAAAUGCUCCUAACUAGAUGUGUAUGAAUGAUAUUUGCAUGAGUGCAGAAUGUUAUUUUUCGAGAAUGAUCCCCUUUUAAUGCUUAGGUUGUCAUUGCGCGUUGUUCAUCAAGGUUCUAUCACUGAUGUGUUUCCAUGCCUUCUUGUUUAGCUGGUAUCUUUGACAGAAAAUCCGAAGAAAUAGUCACAAUUUAGACUAUUCUUUCUCAAAUGUUUCCAACCCUUAAGUUUGGUUAGUUCUAACUAGUAGUCCUAUUUCAAGUUCCUGUACUAUUUAGAAGCCUUUCAGAGAAAUAUGCAAAACUCAUUUUACUUGAAUAUUAUUAGUCCAUUAAUCGUUAUUUCAAUGUAAAAAUGCUUGAAAAAGAUUGUAACAAUAGACAAGAUUGAAAUUUAUUGGGAGCAAGGUUCGAAAUGAAUGGAUUAACCAAAAUAGCAAACGUUGCUAAAAUACAAAAUAAGUAAGAUGAAAUUAGGUACCCCAAAUAUCGCAGCAUGAGCUUCUUUGCACAAACUUCUUGAGAACCAUUUUGAGCUUGAUAUGUGUUUAGGAGAUCCAGAGUACUUUGUUGAUGCCCCAAUACGUAACGUUCCUCCUCCUUGUUAAUUUUGAGAGGACAAGACUACCGCAUGCCCCAUCUUCGAUCAAAAUUUGAGCUGUCCUUUUUCGGGUUUUCAACUCAAAACCUCUUUGGUCUCAAGGUGCCUUUUGUGGGUUUUAGCCUUGGCCUCUCCUAUUUGUUUCUUUCUUUUUUUUUAGGUGAAAUACCUCUUGAUUGAAUCUGACUUCACAGGGUUAGGCAGGUUUUUUGCCAUCCAUUUCGGUCAGAAUCAGCGCUCCUCCAGAAAAUGUCUUUUUUUACCACAUAAGGUCAUUCCCAACUUGGCAUCCACUUUCCUCUGAAGUCCUUUUGUAUGGGAAGGAUCUUUUUCAAUACUAAGUCUCCCUCAUGGAAUUCUCUGGGGUGAACAUUUUUGUUGUAAGCUCGCAUCAUUCGUUUUUGGUACAUCUGAUCAUGACGGAUAGCUUUCAACCUCUUAAGUUCAACUGAUCAUAUCGAGAUUGGACUCAUUCUGCUUCAUCUAACUUCAACUCUGAUAAAACUCGGAGGGAAGGAAUCUCGACUUCAAUCGGGUCGGCCCAAAACGAUGCCGUUUUGGGCGUCAGAAGCUAAGCCCAAAACAACGUCGUUUUGGGGAGCUUAUUUAAGUUUUUUUUUUUUCAAAAAAUUUCAUUUCUCUCUUACUUUUAAAAAACUACUUUCAACUCUUUUUUUUCUCUAAAAUUUCCCUAGGACCGGCCAUAGGGUUCGGUGACCUCCCGUUGUCGACCACCAGUCGUUGGCGACGGUGCAGCAGUCCACUGUGGCAGGAACCCCAAAAAAUCCCUUUUUGGCCCUUUUUUUUAAAAAAAAAAACCCUAGGUUUUAGAUCUAAAGGCAAAAGCCUAAAAAAUAGAAAAAAAAAAAGAAUGAAAAGAAAUUCGGCCUCUACCCUUUUUCUGCUUAUUUGCCCUCUCAUGUUCCCUCCUUGACGAAGCCCGAACAGUGCCCUAAGGACCUACGACAGGCGUGGCGCGAGUAGACAGGUAAUGGAUUUUAUUUUUUAUUAUUUUCCUAUUUUACGAAUAAAAAAUAAAAAAAAGUGAGUCGCCCUUUUUUUUAAUCUGAUUUUCUUUUUCAAAAAAAGUCCAUUGAUGCAAUCUGUUUUAUGGUUUUUAUAGCCAUCACAUACAUUUUUUUAUAUUUUUACUGCUUCUACUGUUCUUGCUUGGCUGUCUCUCGUCCUUUUUCACUCUUUUUGCAGGCAUCGACGCGCGGUCAACAGCGAGGAGAGAAGGGCGCCCUUGCCAUUUUGGUGAAAUGGCGACAGGGGCGUCAGACCUUGGGACGAGGUGCAUUGGGCGACGUGCACACGAAAGGGGGGUGCGAGCUGGAGGCUAGGCUUUCUGUUUCUUUCUGAAACAGUUUAGGCUAUUGGGUCUAGGGCCAUUAGGGUUUUUUUAAAUUUUGUGUCAUUAGGGCAUACGAAAUGGAUAGUUUUUUAUUUUGGACUUUAUUAUUUUUGGUUUAAAUUUUUGUAAUUUGGGUCCAGGAAAAAUUAGAUCAUUACACAUGAUAUUUUAAAAACUUCUCUUAAAAGAGUCUGACCCCUCAACAAUGUUAUAGAGCAAUAAUUUGAAAUAGUCAAGAAACUUGUAGGAAGGGUAUAGCAAGAGGGUUGGAGGGUUGACGCCAGAAGUCAAGAGAUAUCUCCAUAAUGGUCACUUGUGUUGAGUGGUCUGCUUUUCUUCUAAGGGGUGAUUGAAUUUUCUACAUUGAAAACGAAGGUAGAGGACAAUUGCUUUUUUGUCACUAUUGCUACAAAUGCCAUUGAAUUUCCACAAGAAAUUUAUCCCAUAUUUAGUUAAGGGAACCUCACUUGACUUGACGCACAAGUCAAGAUAUAUCUCUGAAAUGUAAGUAUUAUACACUUUUAUUUUUCCUAUUAUAUCAAAUAAUUUUUUUUAUAUUUAUGUCAUGUAAUUAUAUUAUGCGGUAAAACGUAAAAUUCUAAUGAAUAAUGACUUUCGAUAUUGCCUAACGUGUCAUCAUGUCUAUGCUAUUUUUGUAUUAUCCUUGUUUUCAAGGCAAUAUAUAUUUAUAUAAAUUUUUUAAAUUUUGUUUUAGGUAGAUUUUUACAUGUUUUUUAUUCAUGUCAUGUUCAUUUUUUUAAUUUUUUUCAUAUUUUAUUUAUUGAAUGUUGGGCUUAAAAUAUUAUAAACGUUCCUAAUUAUAUAUUAAUUUUACAUUAAGUUUUAACAGAUAAAUUUAGCAUUAUUAUAUUAUAUUAUACUAAAUUUCUUAGGUCAAAAUUAUCUUUGAUUUUUUAUCCAAUUAGAUAUUCCUACACAUUUUUUUAUUUCUAAUAACAAAUUUAAAAUUAUCUAUAUCUAUCUAUAGUACAAACUAGCUCUUAAGAGAGUUUUAAGAGUAAAUGAGUUGAUAAUAGUGUUUUUCAAUUUUAUCUAUAUAUUAAUAUUUUUAGCUCUUAAAAAUCUAAAUUAUAUUUAAUAUUUAUUUACAACUCUAAAUAUCAAAGCUUGAUUAGAUAUAGGUUAUUUGAACUUUUCAUUUUAAAUAAAUUUGAGGAAAUUAAAAAUGGAAAUUUUAAUUAAUUUUUUUAAAAAAAUAACAUGAUUUUGAUUCAUUUCAAUGUAUAAUAAUUUUAAACUAACGUUUUUUCUUCAGUAAAUUUCACUUUAAUCCCUUUCUUUACUUCUUUUAAAGUUAUUUUUAUUUUUUGCCCUUUAUUUUUCUUCUCAUUUAUAAAGUCUUUAAUCUUAUAUGUUUCGAGUAUCAAAGUGUAAAUAAAUAUAAAUAUUAAAAAAAUACCUAAAUUUUAAAAUAAAAAUAAUUAAUAAUAAAUAUUUAGCUUUUGUAGUACAGAUGUAUAAUUCAGACAAUUUUAAUAUAACAAAUAAUCAAGUAACUGGGAUUUAAUAUUUAAUUAAAAAUAUUCAUCCAAAAAUUGUAAAUCGCAUAACAUUAAAACUCUUUAAAUAAUAUGUCACAUACAUGAUCCCUUUUUUUUUUUUUGUAAAUAUACAUGAUCUGUUUUUAUUUAUAAAACUUCCUUUUACCUCAUUUUUCUUCAUUAAUGUCUAGAAAUUUGAAGGGAGUCCUGUACCGAUUACAUUUGAAACCUAUCAAGAAUGAGCUUUUGAUUGUUAUAUUAGAUGUUUUCCUAUUAGUUUAAGAUCCCCAAUAAUUAAGCAUGCUUUCUUAAUAAUUGGAAAAUAUUUAUUUAAAAUAUUACUUUUGAAAGUAUUUCUGUGAAGUGUGUCUCAUAUUUUCGGUCAAACUAAAUGGCAAAGCAGGGGCAGCGUCGCGACAUUCGAAACUAAAUCGAAGCAGGGCCGAUGUCAUGAUGAGGGGACCUACGAUGUCGCGACGAUGCGACGAGACAACCACGUCUCUUGACAACUCUAUGGAUUUUCUUUCUUCCCGUUGAACUUUGAUUCUCGGUUCUCUUUUCCUAAUUUAACUCUAACUAUUCUAGGGAUAUUUUUGUAAUACCCUAUAUGUUACACCCUUAACCAGUCUCUAUCGUCAGAUUAAGGUUACAAAUAUUACCAAGCAAAACAGAACAUUUAACUUCACAACAGAAACAAUUAUAUUAAUUAAAUGUAAUCAUGGUAAAAAUACAAUUAUAGGUCUUAACUCGAGUUUACAGGACCCAAAAAACAGUUUGGGAACAUUUAGAGAUCAAUUCGAAACAAAUCAAAAAAAUUUGAAAAAACAUGAAAAUUUUAGAAACAGGGAUCACACGAUCGUGUGACAUAGCCCAAAUUGUGUGGACAUUCGAAUUCUGAACACACAGUCGUUUCCCAACCCGUAUGAGUAUUCGGAAUAAGGCUACACCAACAUGUUACAAUUAAGUCCUGUGUCAAACCAUGUGUGCAUUCGAUACUUUUGUCACACGACCUGUGAUGAAAACAAUAAUUAUACACGGAUGUGUAGGGUGACCGAAAAUUCAUAUACAGACUUAUUUUGAAUGUUGUAAUUUUCCACCAAAAACAAAGUCGCUGUGGAAUUAAAAUUUUGGUCCUAAGGCCCGCUGGAUUUUUCACAACCACUACUAUUAGACUAGAAUUAUGUCUCCACGUAUGAUCGGGUUUAAAAAAAUUAUUAAAAAAAUUAUUUAUUUCUAAAAUUAUUAUAAUAUUAACAUAGAAACUAAUUUUGUGAUUAUUGUUUAUAAAGAAUAUAAAGUAUUAAAUUAUAAUGAUAUCAUCAUGAAGAAAAAUAUUUUAAUUUAUAAAAAGUAUAAAAUUUAUAUAUUAUCUUUUGAAUAAUUUAAAUUAGAGAUAAAUCUCGAAAUUAUACAUGAACUUUGAUUUAAUGUGAAAUUGUAUACAUAAACUUUAAUUUGAUUUAAUAAUUUACAAGAAUUUGAUCAAAAUAAAAUUUCAUGUAUAAAAUUGUAUAAAAUCAAAGUUCAUAUAUACAAUUGCACAUUAAACCAUAGUUCAUGUAUAGUUUUAAGAUUUAUCCAUUUAAAUCAUAAUGAUAAGUUUUAUAUAUUAAAUUAAUAUAUUUAAUCUUCCUUUAAACGGAACAUGCUACUUGUUGAGUUAUUAUAUUUAUUCUGCGAUUUAAUUUUAAAUUUUAUUUGUCAAUCUUCAUAUAAUUAUUAGAAGAAGGAAUUUAUGACCAUAAAAAAUAAAGAUAUAUUUAUCAACUAAAUAAUAAAAAAAUAUUAAAAAAAUAAAAAAAUUCCUACAGAAGGACAAUAUCUUUAGUUAUUAAAGGGAUCUGUUGAUAAUCAAAGGAUAUUUUAAAAACUUUUCUUAAAAGAGUGGGAUCAUCAAAUGCUGAUAGAGCAAUAAUUUGAAGCAGUCAAUAAACUUGUAGAAAGGGUAUAGCAAGAGGUUUGAAGCAGGCAAUAAACUUGUAGAAAGGGUAUAGCAAGAGGAUGGAAGCUUGACGCCAAAAGUUGUGUUGAGUGUUCUGGGGUGAUUGAAUUUUCUACAUUGAAAACGAAGCUAGAGGACAAUUGUUUUCUUGUCAAUAUUGCUACAAAUGCCAUUGAAUUUCCCACAACAAAUUUUCUACAAAUGCUUUUCAAUUUUGAAUCAAGUUGGUUUAUGAUUGGAAUUACUUGCUGCAAUAAGUUAGUUAUUUCAUUUUUUUAUUUAAUACCAAAAUUAAAUAAGUUUUUAUUAUUAUUCUCAUUAAAAACCCGUUAAAGUUUCAGUUUUUCUAUUUAAUAUUGCAACUUUAAUUCUAUUGAAUGUUUAGGUUACUCUUUGUUUUUCAUUAAUACUUUUGGUUUUUUUUUUAAAUAUAAAAAGCUAUUAUAUAUUAGUUAUUACUUAUUAAGAUAUCAACAUUGUUAGAGCAAAAAAAAUCUGUGUGAUGGUAAAAAAAUAUAUACAUAUUCUUUUUGGUGAAUUAUAAUAACAAAGUAAAAUCUGAACAACUAACGCAACUAGUGCGACUUGAAUCCAGGUCAUAUAUGAGGUGUAGUUAAAUGAGAAAGACAUUGUAUAUAAUAAAAUAGAUGUGAAAAAAAAAUUGUUUCAUUAAUUAUUAAUAAAAUAAAAAUAUGAUUCAUUUGCAUUUGGUAAAAUUUAAUUAAACAAUAAAAUGUUUUUUUUAUUCUCAUAGAAGUAUAUUUCAUUGAAUAAUUUAAUUGCUUUUAUUGAAAUUAUCGUGGUAUAUACGAAUGUUGCUUAGAAUUUUUUUUUUGUAACAAAUAUUUUUCAUUGUCAUAUAUUGCAUAUGAUAUAAAGGCAAUAUUUGAAUGGAGCAUUGGUUAGUUUUUCACAGUGAAUCCUCCACAAUAUUCCUUUGUUUGAAGUUGCGGAAACAUGUCUCGUGUUUUUAUAAGAUACAUGCAUUUAAUUGGUUUCAAACAAUUCUCCUUCAGUAUUACAAAAAAUUAUGGAUAAAAGUAACUCUUUUAUAAAAUAGCUGCCGAUGUUGACGGAGAACUUCAUACUCCAAUUGCAAUGCAAAAGGCAAAGGUAAUGAGAAUUGUAAGCUACCAACCCGCCUAAACCUUAGAUUCGAAUUCGAAAGAUUAUAUUGGCUACUAAAAUGACUCAAUAAGGUAGCGGAAUUUAUAAAAUAGUCGUUUUAAAACAUUUGUUUAUCUUUAGAGGAAGUUUUGUCUAUUUUCAAAAAAAAAACUUAGCGUUUUAUUUCCCUUCUUACGAAAUAAUAAAGUUAAUCCAAAACUAAUUGAUUUAUAAAUUAGCUACUCGUUUAAAAAUUCAUUUUCCAACAAUGCAGCAGAAAAGUGAUACUAACAUAGUUUUAAUGAAAACCAUGUUUUAUGCAUUAUAAAAUAAAAUAAAAACUCAAGUUUUAAUAGCCUAAAAAUACCAUGCAUGCCCUAAAUAAACUCAAAACUAACUCUUGUGCCACAGUUUAAAAGUUCUCAAAAAAUAGGAACUAUAUUAAAUAAUAUUAGGUAAAAAAAUAUUUAUAUAUCUUUAAUCCAAGACUAGCCCUCCGAUUUCCCGAUUUUACUUCCUAACCUGAUGGAUUAUCUGUAAAUAUGUAAAUUAAAAAGGAGUGAGCUAUGAAGCUCAGUGUGAGUUCAGUCAUAAGAAAACUGGAACAAAACUGUAGGCAAAGCACAUCGGUUAGCAAUUCUGAGAAUAAUCACAAUCAUAAAGCAUUUCAAAUUAACAGUUUUUCAUAUCAUCACUUCACUAUUUCAUAAAUCACAAUUUUAUAUGCACAUGCUAAUGAAUGACAAUAUAAUUUCAAUUUGUUUGAAAAUAUCACUCUAGGUUGCGGAUGAACCAUCGUUGAUUUGCAGAUAAACUGCCACUUGUUUCUGGAUACGCGAUGUAAUUGCAGAAGCCUUUUUCAAUCAAUGAGAACAAAGCCCCGGGUCCGGAUGGCUUUAAUUUAUGCUUUUUUUUUUAAAUGUUGGGAGGUUCUUCGAGAGGAUUUGUUUGAGAUGAUGGCAAAGUUCUUUAAAUCUGGAAAAUUGGAGAAAAAGUAUAAACUCGUAUUUUAUUGCAUUAAUUCCCAAGAACGAUAAUCCGCAUGAUAUUUCCAAAUUCAGACCAAUCUGUUUGGUGAGCUCGCUGUACAAAAUUAUUGCUAAGGUUCUAUUGAGAAGAUUACGAAUUUUAUUGGGGAUGUGGUCAGUGAUACGCAAUGUGCCUUCAUUUGAGGUAGACAUAUUUUCGAUGGAAUUUUAAUCGCAAAUGAAUUGAUACAUUCGGUCAAGAAAAAGGAUGGCUCCGGGGUUAUUUGUUUUUUAAGUUGGAUUUUUCUAAGGCAUACAUUUGUGUGAAGUGGGAUUUCUUAGAAUUGAUAUUGUUGAAGAUGGGUUUCGGCUAGGAUGGACGGGAUGGAUGGUGGAGUGUGUGUCAACAACGAGGGCUGCAGUGCUAAUUAAUGGUGCAGUUACAAAUGAGAUCAGAAUAUUCAGAGGUCUCCGGAAAGGGGAUUCUUUAUCUUCAUUUUUAUUCAUUCUUGUGACGGAAGUUCUGCAUCUGAUGUUGGUGGAAGCGGAGUAGUUGAGGGUAAUUGAACGGAUAAAAGACGUUAUUCAUGGGCAGUCUGUUUCACAUCUUCAAUUUGUAGAUGACACCAUUUUAUUUUUGAGGGCUGAUGUAACAGCUCAAUUUUCAGUAGUGUUAGAACAGUGAUUUGAGAUCACUAAAUUCGAUGAAAAAGUUAGAAAAAUUGAUUAAUUAAUAAUUAUAAGUUAAGUGUGAUUUUAGAAAUAUUUUUAAAUUAGUGAAUUUUGUGAUUUAAAAGAAAUUAUUAGGUAAAUUGGGUCAAAAACGAGGUAUCGAGACCUCGAUAUUAUAAACUGAGCUGUAAAUAUUUUUAUAAAUAUUUACGGAGUGUCAUUAGGGUAGUAUUAAAGUUUCGUUAAGAAAUUUUAACGUUUCGAUGGUUAAUUGAUUAAAAAGAACAAAAUUGAAAAAAAAAUGUAUUCCCGAGACUCCGUUUCGUAACUCGAAUUCAUAAAUAUUUAUUAUAAAUGUUGACACCAUUUUUUUAUCGAAAACGGGGUCGACUUGGGUUUUGAAAAAAAUGAAAAUGGGAGUCGCCACCGAUCCUUUUUGAUGAGGUGUGAUCGAGUCAUCUUAAAAAAAAGGGUUGUUUUUAAUAAAUAAUUUGAUUUUAUUAAAACAACGGUUUUGGUCCACGAAAUUUAGAAAACGGGUUCGGGAGUCGGUUACGUACAAGGAAGGAUUAGCACCCUCGUAACGCCCAGAAAUUGGUACCUAGUUGAUUAACUAAUGUCUUGAUAUCGAAAAUUGAAAACUUGAAAAAAUUAAAAAUAUGAUCCUUGUAUUAAAAUGAUUUUUUUUUAAAAAAAGGGGCAUAUUUCACGUUUAAUCGAGAAAGAAAGCAUCAUAUCCAGUAAGUUAGGACACAAUGUCUCGAAUUCCCGACACGUAAAAAUGCCAAAAUUUUACUCAUUUAAAAGACAUUUUAGCCAUCUUGAGUUUAAAAAUAAGAUCACGACCAGUAAGUUAGGACGUGUCUCUUUUUUAAAUCCCGAGAUAGUUUGAAAUUUGAGUUCGAAAAUUUUGUGCAUUUAGAUUUAUUGUAAAAAUCGAAACCCAGUAAGUUAGGGUACGAUUUUCUCAAAUCUAAACACGAAAUGCCAUUUUUUUAAAACAAAACUUUCUAUAUCGGGUAAAAUAAAACACGUAAUUGUAGCAAGGAAUAUGAAAGCAAGUUACAUUUUAUUAUGCAUAGCAAAACCAUAAUGAAUAUGAAAGUAUAAAAAAUAUAAAAAUAUGAGCAAUAGCAACGAUAUAAAAGGCCAAAUUUACAACAUAAACAAUAGCAAAGCAUAAAAACGAAUAAAACUAAAACAUUCAUUCAAAAUAAUAAUGAAAAUGAAAUAAAUAAAGAGUAAAUACAAUAAAAAAAACAAAGAGAUAUAUAUAUGUGUAUAUAGGUAUGUAGAUAGUUUUAAGCUAUAAAGUAUAAAAAUAUGUGCAUAUGUGAAUUAUAAAAUAUAUAAAGACCAUAUAUAGGACACGUAUUUAAAAAUAUAAAGAAUAUGUAAGUGUAUAUAUAUUUAUGAAACAAGAUAUGUAUAUAGAUAUAUAGAUAUGUAUAUAAAUUCAAAUAUAAAGAUAUAAAUCUAUUUAUAAAAAUACAUACAUAGAUAUGUAUAAUAAUAUGAAGAUACAUAUGUAGGUAUAAGUAAAAUAUAUAUGUAAAAAAAAGGAAAUAUAAUAUAUACACAUAAAAAUAUACACGUUUUAAUAUGAAAAAUAUAUAUGAAUAGGUAUAUAAAUAUUCGUGAAAGUAAUAUUAAUACUAACAAUAAUAGUAAUAAUAACCAUAAUAAAAAUAAUAGUAAACUAAUAAUAAUAUUUAAAAUAAUAAUAAUAAUAAAUUGCUAAAAUAUGGGCUAAAUCAAAAUAAAAAUAAAAUGUAGGGCGAAAUUGAAAGAAAAAUAAAAUAAAAGGGACCAAAUCAAAAAGCGCGCCAAAAGGGAAGGGUCAAAUGGGUAAAUAACCCAACCGCCUCAAAACGCGGCGUAGCAGUUGGCCAGAUUGAAAUAAAAUUAAAAUUAUAGGGCUAGAUUAAAAAUAAAAGGAAAUAGCGAAAAGGACCGAAUUGAAACACGCGAAUCCUUUGGGUCGGGUCGGGUCGACGCGUGGAUUCCCCAUUACUCAAAACGGCGCCGUUUCAAAAUUAAUAUAAAUACUAAAAAAAACAGUCUUAAAAUCAUUUUUCAAAAAAAAAACAGAGAGAAACUCUCUCUCAUUUUCUCCCUCAGGCUCCGGUGCCGGUCAUCGGCCGAUCUAGGCCUCCGACGUGCCUCCGCCUUAGCACCGCCACAUGCGGUGGCCGGCGAUUCCAAAAUCGGAUCUUUUUUAUCCUCUUUUGAAGCCAGGCGUGUCCUCGGCACAAAUCUAGGGCCAAACCUCAAAAAGGAGUCCGAAGCCUGAAAAACGAGGGGAGACCGCUCGUCUUCUCCCUUCCGGCGCGGCGCAGGUAAGUUUUUUGUUCUUUUUGCUUGUUAUUUUGUGUAGAAGAUAAAAAUAAAAAACAAAGAAUAAAAAAAGGAAUAGAUUUGGACACCAAAAGAGUCACAUUUUUCUCUUGUUUUUGUUUUUUUUUUUUUUUUUGCUAAUCUCUGUUUUGUUACAAAAAUCGCUAGAAGAGCAAACAAAGUUACAUUUUUGGUUGGCUUUUAUAGCCGAUUUUCUACUACCUGCGUUCUUUGUUUGCUUGUUCUCUUCUUUGCAGGUAAUGGCGCAAGUGGGGGUGGCGACGUGACCGGGGCGGUGGCGACGUGACGUGGCUGCAGUGGCAGAAGACCAAAAGUCAGAGGGGGGCAGUGCCUAGGUGCGACGCUAGGGUUUCCUUUCUAAAACCCUAGGCAAAUUUUUUUAUUAUUGGGCCUCGGGUUAGUGGGUUGUUGGGUCUAGUUUAGUUGGGUAUUGGGUUGCUGCUUUGGGCUUUGGUUUGUAAUUGGGUUAGGCUGUUGGGUUUAUUUUUGGGUUUGUUAUUGGGCUAUUCAGGUUUGGGUUGGUUAUUGGGCUGAGGUUUGCUGGGUUAUAAUUGUUUUUGUUUAGUUUAGGGUUAAUUGGGUUUUGGGCUAAAAAUUGGGCUUGUACAAUAAAUAUUUAUGAAGUUAGUUGUGUAGUUAAUUAGGUUUUAAUUAAGUGAAUUUGUCUAAAUUGAGGUUAAUUAUGAAAAAGGAUUAAAUUACAAUAGAGAUAAAAGUUUAAUUAUAGAUUAAAGAAAAGUUAAAAGGACCAAAUAGGCAAUUAUACCUUUUUCUAAAGUUGAGUCUAGGGGUGGGCAAAACUCGAUUCAACUCGAAAAAAUCAAAAAAAAAUUCGAAUUUAGAAAUAAAUGAAUCGAGUUAUUCGAAUCAACUCGAAUUUUUUUUUCAAAUUUUGAGUUCCAAUCGAGUUGAGUUUUCGAAUUCGAAUAACUCGAAUAAUUCGAAUAAUUCGAAUAUCAAACUAUAAUAUUUUAUAUUUUUACCCCAAACUCCCAAACCUUUUUACUUUUCCCUCAAACUUUUACUCCUUCCCACUUUCCCCCCAAAACUUUUACUCCCCUCCCCUCCCAACCCCCCAAUCUACCCAAAAUCCAUUUCCCACCAAAAUUUUACUCUCCCAUUUACUUUUUCUCAAAAUUUUACUCCCAAAAACCCUCAAGACCUUUUAUUUUCCCCCAAAAUUUUUACUCCCUCCCACUUUUCCCCUAAAACUUUUAUUUCCUUCCCAUCCCACCUCCCACCUCCCAUCUACCCCAAACCCUACCCCCUCCAAUUUUUUUUUUAAUAUUUUCCCUCCAAAAUUUUACUCCCCCUAUUUACUUUCCCUCAAACUUUUAUUCCCCAAAACUUUUUAUUUUCCCCCUAAACUUUUACUUCUGACACUUUACUCUCAAAUAAAAAAUCAAAAUUAUCUAAAAAAAAUCACUAAAUAUAAAUAGUAAUAAUUUUAUUUAUAUCUACUAUUUAUAUUAUUAAAUUAAAUUUCACAUUUUAUAUUAUUUAUAUUAUUGAAUUGUUUAGUCAUAUUGAAUAUUUAUAUUAAAAUUGAAUUAUUAAUUAUACCAUAAAAUAUUCGUGUUAAAAUUUUAUAUUGGUAUCAAUUUCACAUUUUAUUUUUAAAAUAACUUUUAUUAAAAAAUCAUAUUUUUACAUUGAAUAUAUUUUUUAAUUCCAAAAUACAUAGUGAUAAGAAUCUGAAGAUAAUUGAAACAACUAAGUAAGCAAAGAAGCUAACCAAUAUAUAAAAAAUUAAUAAAUAAAUUAUGAGGUGAUGAAAGUUAAUAAAAAAUUUGAUUAAGGUGGACAAAUUUUAUUACGAUGGGCGACAGGGGUUACAAGAACCCAAAAUUAUUUUUUAAAAUUUAACUCGAACAAAUAUAUUCGAUUUGAUUCGAUUCGAAUUCCAUCUCACUUGACUCGAUUCGAGAAAAUUUCAAAUAAAGUUAGGAUGGUAAAAUGAGAUUUCAAAUUUUGAUUAACUCGAAAAUUUUUUAUUCGAUUCGAUUCGAUCGAAUCCCACCCCUAGUUGAGUCAGCACAUGCAUGACAAAAAUCUUAGAUUUUUUUUAAAGUAUGUUAUUAUUUUAUUAUAUUGUAAAUUAUAUUAAUUAUAUUAUAUUAUUAUAUUUUAAAUAAACAAAUUUGUUGACAAAUGUAUGGUGCAUAUGAUGACAUGUGGAAAAAUGAAAUACAUAUAUUAGUAAUUAUUACAUAUUUACUUAUUAUUUAAGUAAAUAAUUUUAUAUUAUUAUUUUAUUUUUAUUAUAUUAAACUAAUUAAAUAAAAGAAAUAAAAGAUAGAAAAGAGAAUAGAAACAGAAUAGGCAAACGAAACAGAGAAGGAAAGAAGGAAAGAAAAAAAAGAAAGAAAGAAAAGGGAAAAUUGAGGUUUUGAGGUUCCAAGCUCAAUUGGUAAGUCAAAUUAAGUCUUUUUCUUAUACUUUUUGAGUUUUUUAGAGUUCUAGAACAAAAUAUUUCAUGGUUUAUGUUGAAAUUUUGGAAGUUAUUAUAUUUCUAGACAUUGAUUAUAUUGAAUAAAUGAAAGCAUUAGGGGUUAAAUUGAUUGAAAUUCAAGUUAGAAGUUAGUAAAUGAUUUAAUUGUAAAAUAAAGUGUAAGUUUUGAAUAGUAGGGACUAAAUUGAAAGAAUCCCGAAAUUAGGGAUUUAUGGUGAAAUUGAAGAGCUAAAUUGAAUUAUAGUAAGAAUUAAGAGAGAAUAUGGAGUUAGAAUGGGAAAAUAAAAUUAGUAUUGAUAAGGGAUUAAAUUAGAAUUUGGGUAAAGUUUAGGUAUAAAUGGAAAUAUUUUAAUGAAAUUGUGUAUUAAUGAUUUUUAAUUGUUUAAUUAUGUAGCUAAUGUCGUGCAAGAGUCAUUGUCCGAGAAAGGAAAGGAGAAGGUGGACAGUGAUUGACUCGAGAGAAAUUUCGGUUAGUAUUACCAUAAUUCGAAUUUAAUUAUUAAUUGAUAAAAUUUAAAUUAAUAUACAUGAUAAGCAAAUUGGGGUAAGUAUCACGAUUGAAUUGAAUGAUAAAUACAUAUUGGUAUUGAAUUUAUUAAUAGUAAUUGUUGAAUUUUGAAUAUGUUUAGUAAAUAAAAAAAUAAGGUGAAUAUCGAUAUUGAAUUGUAUGUGAAUUGAAUGGAAAUUACUAGUGAUAUGAUUUGAAUUAAAAGAAUUAAUGUGGUAUUGAAAUGUAUAUUGAAUGAAAAAUAAUUAGGGAUUUGAAUUUGAUUGGAAAAUGAAUUAAAAUAUGAAUUGAACAAAAGUGAAUUAAAUUAUGAUUAUGUGUGAAUAUGUGUAUUGUGAAUUGAUAUGUGAAUUGGAAAUCGAGAUAUGAGAUUUGAAGAUAUGUGAAUAUGUGAAUAGUGUAUUGAUUGAAAAGUGGUUUGAAUGAAAUUAGAUUGAAUUGUGAUUAUAUGUGAGUAAUUGAGAUGAAUAUUGAAUUAAGAAAGUGAAAUUGAAAUGUGAUUAUUGAAUAGAAAAUGAAAUGGUUUGAAUUGAAUUAUUGAAUUGAACUGGAAUAUUGAAAUUGGUGAUUGAUAUGGAUUUUAUUAGAAUUGAAUUGAGAAAAUGGAAAUUAAUAUGUGAGACUGAUACUGAAUUGAAUUAUGGAAUACUAAAGUAAUGAAUUACUGCAAUACUGUGAAACUGAUUGAAAUAAGGAAUUUUAAUUGAUACUGAACUAAGAUGGAAAUUGUACUAAAAAGUAAAUUAAAUACCCUAUUAACUAGUCGGGCUAGUCGGAUAUAGUUGGCAUGCCAUAGGAUAUGAAAGAGUACGGGUUUUUGCCGGCUUACUGAUCAGGCACUUAUUUGCCGACUACUGUUACUGUUACUGAUUCGAUACUUUGUGUGUCGAAUAUUGUUACCGUUACUGUUACAGAUUCAGCACUUUGUGUGUUGAAUACUAUUACUGUUACUGUCACUGUUACCGCUACCGUUAUUGUUUACUGAUUAGGUACUCUGUACUGUUUUAGGCACUAUGUGAUGUAUUGGUGUGCUGGUUGGAAUCCGUGUAUCCGCCAAAGUCCAAGUCAAGUUAAUAGGGGUAAAUGAAUAAUUUUGUUAAUAUAAAUUUUAUUAAAUGAUCUUGAAUAUGAAUCGAAAAGAGAUAUUAAAUUGAGAUAUAGAAAAUGAAAUGUAUGAACCAUAGGUUCAAGAAAUAGAUAAUGAUAUAGUUCAUGAAAUGGUUUUGGUAGUAUGAGAUGAUGUAAAAAUAUAAGUAAAGAAAAGUAAACUGAAAUAGCUAUUGUUGAGAAAUGAGAAGUGAAAAUAAAAUGAUUUGAAAUAGUGAAAUUAUAUGUGAAUUUAAUUGAAUACAAGUUAUUGAAAUUUAUUUAUGGAUUUAAUGUAUAAAUUGAUUGUUAAAAGAUUAUAAGUAUAAAAUUGAUUAUAACUGAACGAAUCGAAUUGAAAGAUAGUUAUAAUUAGUUAUUAUUAUUGAAACAUGUUGGUCUAAAUUUUAAUUUGAUUAUUAAAAUAUUGAAAGUAUAAAUUGAAUGUAUACAAUUUAUCGAUUAAUGUUAUUAAUUUGAAUUAUGGUAAUACCACUGAGUAUUCCCAUACUCAGCGUACAGUUGUUUCCGCGCGCAGGUUAGUAGAAAACCAGUGUUUGGUCCAGCAUCCAGAGCAAUCCCGACCUCAAAGAAAUUUUAGUGAUGUACCUUUGUUUUGAUAAUGUGGCAUGGACCUAGGUGAUGUAUAGGUUAAGUAUAAGAGUUUUGUGAUUACGGUUGUAGAAUGAUGUUUAAAUUGGUUAUAAGUAUGAAAUGGAACUAAUAUGACAUAUUUGAUACAAGUAUGUUAUAUCUGUUAUUUAUUUGUGAACUAGUUAUAAGUUAUCCGAUAUAUUCGGUAAUGCUUUGUAACCCUAUUCCGGUGAUGAUUUAGGGUUAAGGGGUGUUACAGCAGAUGAGGUUGUGGUAAGAAUUUCUAAGUACAUUCUUCGCUGUUUUGAAAUUUUUUCUGGAUUAAGUAUAAAUUUUCGGGAGUCUUGCAUAGUGGGUUUUGGUACUGAAUAGGAGUUUUUGUUCUAAAUGGCUGCUAUUUGUAAAUGCAAGAUAGGGAAAUUAUCAUUCAAUUUUUUGGGUAUAUCUUUAGAUGCUGAUCCAAGGAAGAUAUCUUCUUUGAAUGGUUUUGUGGAAAGAGUAGAGAGGAAAUUAUCGGGCUGGAAAAGUAAGUCUCUCUCUUGGGCAGGCAAAACUGUGCUUAUUAAUGCUGUGUUAUCCUCUCUACCUAUCUAUUUUAUGUCAAUUUUUUAAACACCUAUUGCAGUGAUUAAUAAGAUAGACAAAUUUAGACAAAAUUUUUUAUGGGGAAGUUCUUAGAACAAAAUGGCAGCAAACAUGAGCAAACACAAACAGCAAGCAAAAGAAAAGAAAACUGAUGAGCAAAAUUAUAACUGAAAGAAGAAGUUAUCCAUUUCAUUCACAAAUUUGAAAAUAUAUUAAAGUUACAGACUAAUUAGUCAAUUACCUAAACUUGUAACUGCUCCCACUAAUUUGUCUAAUUGAUAACUUAAGUAAUACAAAAGCAAAACUGAAAAAAGUCAGCUAUUACAUCCAUUAGUUUCAAAUCAAAAAUUUACCAACUUUAGAUAUCAAGUUACAUGCUAACUUGAUCACAUUACAAAAGAACAAAAUCAAACAAAGGAAGUAGACUGCUUCUGGUUCUGUCUCGAUGCUGGCAUGCUAGCUGAUUUGCUGCUGCUACUGCUCUUGGUUACUCGUUGCAUUGCAGUCCAUUGCUUAACACUCCUCCUUGGACUAUAGGCAACAAACACCAAUUGAAUCUCUCAAGAUUUUGAACCUUGCUGCACCAAGAGGUUUUGUCAAAAUGUCAGCCAAUUGAUCUUGUGAGCUGCAAUGAAUGAGACCAACUUCUUUGGAUUGUACAGCCUCUCGAACAAAAUGAAACUUAAGUUUAAAAUGUUUGGUUUUGCCAUGAAAAACUAGAUUCUUGGCUAUGGCAACUACUGAUUAGUUAUCCACCAUGAUUUCAGUAGGUUCAAGUUGUUCUUCAUUUAAAUCACAUAGCAACUUUCUAAGCAAAAUGGCUUGGCUUACUGCUGCUGUAGCUGCUAUGUAUUCAACCUCAGCUGUUGGCUGAGCAACUGUUUGCUGCUUCUUCGAGCUCCAGCAGAAAACUCCUGAGCCAAGUGUAAAGAAAUAGCCCGAGGUACUUCUCAUAUCAUCAACAGAUCCAGCCCAAUCACUAUCUGAGUAACCAAUCAGCUUAAGCUUACUUUCUUUCUUGAACAUAACCCCAAACUUCAAAGUUCCUUUGACAUACCUGAGUAUCCUCUUAGCUGCCUUGAAAUGAGUUGUAUUGCAGCAGUGCAUGAAUCUCGACAAUAGACUAACUGCAUGCAUAAGGUCAGGUCUGGUUGCUGUUAGGUUGAGCAAGCAACCAAUUAAGCUUAUGUACUCCCUUUCAUCAACUCUUUCUUGACUUCCAAAGCUAAUCAGUUUCUCCCCUUGAGCCAAUGGUGUGCUCACUGAUUUACAGUUUGUCAUAUGAAAAUUGUUGAGAAUUUUUAAGGCAAAGGCAUGCUGGCUGAUAAAAAUGCCUUGAUCAGACUGGCUUACUUCCAUACCAAGGAAGUAUGUCAUGAUUCCUAAAUCAGUUAUAUCAAAUACUUCUUGCAUUCUUACUUUGAACUCUUGAAUCAAAUCAACCUUGCUUCCAGUCACUAACAGAUCAUCUACAUAGAUUGAAACAAUCAGUAAAGUUUCAUCUUGACACUUUUUCACAUAAAGUGUAGGCUCACUCAAACUUUUCUAAAAAUUGAGCCUAAACAGGUAAGAAUUAAUCCUGUCAUACCAGUCUCGAGGUGGCUGUUUCAGCCCAUAAAGUGCUUUCUUCAACCUACAAACUUUGGCCACAUUACAUCUUUGUCCUAUUUUCCUUGGACCUUAAAACCAUCAUGUUGUUCAACAUAUAUCUCUUCUUUAAGAAGUCCAUUCAAGAAGGCUGACUUAACAUCAAGCUGAUGCAUUCUCCAUUGCUUCUGUGUAACCAAGGCAAACAGAAGCUUAAUGGUGUCUAGCCUUGCUACUGGAGCACAUGUCUCCGCAAAAUCUAUGCCAAACUGCUAGAUAUACCCUUUCACCACAAUCAUUGCCUUGUGUUUGUUUAAAGAGUCAUCAGCAUUGAAUUUAGCUCUAAAAACCCACUUGACACCUUGAUCUUCUUCUGGUCAGGUCUAUCCACCAGAUCCCAAGUGUCAUUUUUGUGGAUCAUAUCAAUCUCAGCUUCCAUGGCUUGCUUCCAAUGCUUAUUUCUUACAGCUUCUUCAAAGCUAGAAGGCUCAACUAUGGCCACAUUACAUCUUUGAUAGAUGUCAGCAAUGGACCUGGUCCCUCUUACAGGAGAAUCAUCUACAUUUGCAUUACUGGACUCAUUUUCUGUUAAUUCCAAACUGCUGUCAAUCUGAUCUUCUUCAAACUGACUUGUGUCUGAACCAUCCAAGCUCCAAAAUUUAUCUUCAUUAAAUUUGACAUCCCUACUCAUCAAAAUUUUCUUGGUUGAGGGAUCAAAUAUUCUGUAGCCCUUUUUGGUCCCACUGUAGCCAACAAAUAUCCCUAGAACUGAUCUUUUCUCAAGCUUAGUUCUUCUUUCAGCAGGUACAAGGACAUAACACACACAUCCAAACACCUUUAAAUGGGAAACAGUUGGUUUAAGACCAUACCAUACUUUAAAAAGAGUUUUAUCCUUCACAGCAUGUGUUGGCAGCCUAUUAAACAGGUACACAGAGGUGUUGACACCUUCAACCCAAAAUGUGCUUGGAAGUUUGCUUUGAAAUAGCAAACACCUAACCAUGUCCAUCACUGCUCUAUUCUUCCUCUCACACACCCCAUUUUGCUGAGAAGUAUACACAGUGGUCAAUUAAUGAUGGAUCCCAGCUUGCUCACAUAGCUUCUGAAAUCUUUCAAACAAAUAUUUAGUUCCAUUAUCUGUCCUCAAAACUUUAAUCCUGCAGCCUGUUUGAUUCUCUACCAAAGCUUUGAAUUUUGCAAAAGCUUCAAAUGCCUCAUACUUGUGCUUUAUGAAAUAAACCUAGGAAAAUCUGGUCAAAUCAUCUAUAAACAAUAUAAAAUACUUACCGCCAUUUAAUGAAGGGGUCUUCAUUGGUCCACAGACAUCAGAGUACACUAAUUCAAGCUUUUCUCGAGCCCUCCAUGCUUGGUUUACUAGAAAAGGCAGUCUAGCCUGCUUACCAAGCUGGCACACUUCACAAACAGACUCUUUUGAAUCAACCGUGGUCAUGUCCUCUGCCAAAUUCAACUUGUGCAGCAAAUCGAGUGACCUGAAAUUUACAUGGCCUAAUCUUCUAUGCCAUAGGCUAGUAUUGUCAGUUAAGCUUGUAUAAGCUUUUCUCUCAAGCUAACUUACAUCAAGCAUAAAACACUUGUCUGCCAUUGGUGCUGAGACAAUUUCUAUACCAUGAACAUCAUUAAUAACACAAGAACCAUUCUUGAAAACUAGUGAGUAGCCUUUUUCAACCAACUGACCUACACUAAGUAGGUUCUGAUCUAUAUCAGGUACAUAAAGCACAUCUGAGAUAACUUUGUUACCUGAAUCAGUGUUGAUCACCACAUCACCUCUGCCUUUGGCUUCAAUCAGAUUCCCAUUGCCUAUCCUGACCUUCGAGGUAAAACUUCUGUCAAGGCCUUUGAACAAACUUCCAUCAGCUGCCAUGUGAUGUGAGCAGCCACUGUCAACAAGCCAACUAGAUUUUACAUUGCUUGUGGUUGCAAAUCAUGAGGCAGUAAAAACAUGCUCCUCCUGAGCUUAAAGAUCCUCAGCAGUUUUAGCUUGUACUUACUGCUGAGCAUGAGCCUUCUCUUUGCCUUUGCAAAUUUUCUCAUGAUGGUCAUACUAUUUGCAACUCUUGCACUGAAUAUCUAGUCUAUUCCAGCAGUACUUUUCCAAAUGGUUUGUUUUCUUACAGUGAAUGCAUGGUGGAAACCUCCUUCUCCCUGCAUCUUUUCUUGAUUUCUCCCUUCUUUCAAAUCAAGGCUUCUUUGCUUUCUGACUUGAGUUAGAGCCUUCUUUGACUUUUGCUUGAAAGGCUCCUUCAGGAUGCUCUUCCUGCCUACUAGCCCUUCUCUGCUCAAGUGCAUAAAGUGAGUUUACCAACUCAGCCAAAGAAAUGGUUGUGAGGUCCGUAAUAUCCCGAAAAUUACUAUUGUAAUACCCCGAAAAUUACUACAGUAAGAAAGUAGGUAUCAUUGAUAGUAAAAUAAGGAAAUAAAGUGACAAAAAGGGAAAUUUUGAGUUAUAGCAACAUUGGGAAUUAUAUUAUGACAUAUUAAUUCAAGAAAGGAUUAAAUCGCAAAAGUGAGAAAAGUUUUGUUGCCCAAGAGUAAAUACUCAAAAUUUGAGGGAUUAAAGUGUAAAUAUGAAAAAGUUGAAGGACCAGUAGUGUAAAUAUUUUAAGAGUGGAAUAAUCUAGAAACUAAAGAAAAUGGAUGAAUUAGGACCAAAUUAAAAAGGUGAAGAACUUUGAGGGACUAAAUUACAAUUUUACCAAAUUAAAUGAUGACUCAAUGAUGGAAUUUCAAAAGAUUAUAAAGGGCAAAAUGGUCAAAUAUAUAUAGAGAGAGAGAGAGAAUUCUAGAAGGUAAUAAUAAUGUUUGUGAUAUUUUUAAUUAAUUAAUUAAUUAAAUGUUAUUUAAUUAAUAUUUUAUUAAGAUUUUUAGUAUUAUUUUAUUGUUAAAUGAUUAAUAUAAAAGGGAGGAAAGAUGAUGAAAAAAAAUCAUCAUCUUUCCAUGCACCCAACGUUAGAAGAGAAGAGAAGAAAGAAAGUUUUACUUUCUUUACAAUUUGGUCCUUUCACCAAAAAUUUACUAUUUUCACCUAGAAAUCAAAAGAAUUUCCAUAGCUUCCAAGAGAGAAAAAUAAUAAGGAGACAAUGGGGAGCUAGAAUGUCAAGUUAGAUUCAAGAAAUAGAAGCUGGAGGAGAGAGAAAAUCAAGUUAAAGAUUGAAAUCAAUAGCACAAGGUAAGAACAUCAAGAUUUCAAUAUAUUUUUAAGUUUGUUAUUAUUGAAAAAAGCAUGGAAAUGAUGUUAUAGUAGAUUUUUCUUAAAUAAAGUCUUAUGUUCUUGAUAUAUUAGUGAAGGGAAAUAAGUAAAAAUGAUGGGAAAUAUUAUAGAGAAAGGGAAUUAUGGAGUUAUAAACUUAGUAAUCAACAUCUUGCACUAAAACAGUUUUGGAUAGCAGCAGUAGGUUAAAUUUGAAAAAUUACCAUAAAUUAUGGAAAUCGAAUUAGAGGAUGAAAAAACAUGGAAUUAAAUCUUAUUAAGUAUAGUUUCUCAUAGAAGAAAUGUUGUGAGACAAGGUCAGAAUGAAUUAGGGUUCCCCUAUUCUGACUUUGGAAAAUCAUCAAAAAUUGAAUAAAAAUAAUUAGAGGCUUAAAUUUAUAUUUUUAAAAUCCUUAAUGAGUCUAUUUUCAAGAGAAACAAAUGGUAACAUCAUCUGAAUCCUGUACAAGGAGAUAAUUAAUUUUUAGUGAAGAAUGGUCGGAACUGUCAGACAGCAGAAUAGGGAUGACUUUAAAGAAUAAACUGUACUUAUUGGCUAAACCAAAAAUUCUGAAAAUAUUAUGGUAAGAAUAUAUGUGAGUCUAAUUUUAUAUAAAUUUAGCAGGUCUUAAUUUGGAGUUCCGUAGUUUAAGAUAUAAAUGAUUUAGUGACUAUGACUCAAGUGGACAGCUUUGAAUGAAAAAUAAAUAAAUAGUGAAAUUAUAGAUAAUGUUACAUAUAAGCAUGUUAUAUACAUUAAGGAUGUGGAAUGGAGAGGAGGAGGAGGAAAAUAAAUGAUUAUUCAACUAGCAUGAGUUCUCAUUAAAAAUGGUCAAUUUGCAUGUUUUAGGUUCAAGGACUAAAUUGAAUAAAAGUAAUAUUUUAAGGGUAAAUUAGUAAAGAUGUCAAAAAGUAAUUAAAUAGCAUGAAAUGAAUUGUUUUAUUAUUUAAAUUAAUAAAUUGAAUGAAAUAUUAAUUUAUAUCAAGAUUGCGUGGAAAUUCGAGAAAAAUGAAAAAUUACCAAAAUGUCCUUGAAUUUUGGUAUUUCUGUAAUUUAGCCUGGUAAGUUCGUGUAACUUGAAUUUUAUUCUUAGAUGAUUGAAAUAUAUAUAUUGGAUUGAGAAAUUGAUUUGAAUUGUGAACAAGAGAAAUUGUGAAUUGAAUGAAAUAGAAAUGAAUCUUUGAAUUACAUGAGUAAAUAUUGGGUCUCGUAGGCCCUGUUUAUUAAGAAUAUAAAAUUUUGAGGAUACGUUGUAAAGAAUUAUAAAAGCACGUUAAUAAUUUGAGAGUUUUAAUUCGAAUAAAAUUUUGUAACUCGGUUUAAUACGUAUGCAAAUUUAUGUCUUCUAGUAAUGCCUCGUACCCUAUUCCAAUGUCGAAUACGGGUAAGAGGUGUUACAAUGUGACAUCGCCAAAUUCGACCAUAACGUUUAGACCGGGUUUGGGGUGUUACACCUCGAGUCCUCUAAUGAGGAGAUUUUUUACUCAAACCUCUCAGGGAGAGUGGUAAUAACUUUCUCAACAACCCUGCUGUCACUAAAAUCUUCUCCAAUGAGUCUGAUAUUGUUAAUAGUAGCCAUGAUCCUAUCAGAAUAUUGCUUGAUAGUCUCUGACUCCUUCAUUUUCAAAUUCUCAAAUUCCCUUCUAAAGUUGAUUACUUGUUGCUAUCUUGUCUUGUCUGAUCCCAAGAACUCCUUUUUCAGCCUAUCCCAUGCUUGUUUGGGUGAAUCACAGGCCAUAAUCCGAGUGAAGAUCACAUCAGACACCCCAUUCUGCAGGCAAGCCAUGGCUUUGUGCUUCUUGGCUCGCUCCUCACUAUGCUGCCUCAUCUGUGCAAUAGUUGGAUUUGCCCUCAAUGGAGGUGGUUCAACAUCACUUUCAACUACACUCCACAAAUCAUGUGCUUGGAGGUAAGUUUUCAUUUUAACUACCCAAAUGUGGUAGUUCUCUCCAGCAAACACUGGUGGUGGAGGAGGUGUAAAGCUCAUGUUGCUAAAACAAGUUUGACAAAAUUGAUUUCUUUUUAAGUUUGUUUUAAACAGAAAGGCUUAAACAACAACAGAGGUCCUCAAAGACAAUAGGCUCUGAUUACCAUUUGUUAGAACAAAAUGGCAGCAAACAUGAGCAAACACAAUCAACGAGUAAAAAAAAAGAAAACUGAUGAGCGAAAUUAUAACUGAAAGAAAAAGUUAUCCAUUUCAUUCAUAAAUUUGAAAAUAUAUUGAAGUUACAAACUGAUUAGUCAGUUACCUAAACUUGUAACUGCUCCCACUAAUUUGUCUAAUUGAUAACUUAAGUAAUACAAAAGCAAAGCUAAAAAAAGUCAGCUAUUACAAAUCUAAAAUUUACCAACUUUAGAUAUCAAGUUACAUGCUAACUUGAUCACAUUACAAAAGAACAAAAUCAAACAAAGGAAGUAGACUACUUCUAGUUCUGUCUCGAUGCUGGCAUGCUAGCUGAUCUGCUGCUGCUACUGCUCUUGGUUACUUGUUGCAUUGCAGUCCAUUGCUUAACAGAAGUGUAGGUGGUCAGAGGAAAAUGGUGAAGGUAAAAUGGAAACAGAUUUGUUUACCAAAGGAUAAGGGGGCGCGAGAGUGAUGGAUAUCAGGGCUAAAAAUAAGUCUAUCAUGACCAAAUGGUGUUAGAGAUUCACGGUGGAUAGAGAAGCUUUGUGGAUAAAAAUUAUUGUUGUAAAGUAUGGUUCCCCUGUGCAACAUUGGCAUUUUAGAACGAGCAAUUUGAAAGAUAUGUCGGUAGUUUGGAGGGGUAUUGUGGAGAAUGCGGAAGAUUUAAAAGUGACUAAAUGGAUGGGGAAUGAGUCUUUUCGUUGGUUUGUGGGGAAUGGCAAUUCGAUAUUAUUUUGGGACGAUAUUUCGUAUGGUGAUAGUCCUCUGAGAGUGUAAUUUCCAAGGCUGUUUUGUUUAGUCUUGAAUAAGAAAGGACUAGUAAAAGAUUUUUUUGAUGUCGAAUGGGUUUAACGAGGUUAAUUGGGCUGAUUUCUUUUCUCGUCCGUUAAUGGAUAGGGAGAUUAAUAUGAUUACUCGUUUAAAGAAAGCUGUUAGCAGUAUUGUUUUGUUACCUGAGGAGGAAGAUCGAUUAAUCUGGAUUCAUGAUAACAAAUGGGUGUUUUCGAUGAGGAAAUUAAUAGAAUUAUUGAUCAGUGAAUGUGUGGUAGACAUAAGUUUCACUUUUGAUAAAAUCUGAAAGUUAAAAGAUGCCUCCUAGAGUGAGAAAUUUCCUUUGGGUGGUUUCAAUUGAUCGUCUUCCUACUAAGGACUUCCUCAUUAGAAGAGGUGUGAAGAUUAGUCAAAUGGAGAUUGGUUGCCCUUAGUGCUACAGUGAACCGGAGACAGCAGUGCACCUUUUCUUCCAUUGUAAAUUCAUUGUGGGUUUUUGGAGAAAAUUUUUGAAUGGUGGGAGGUGAAAUGGAGGCCAAUUGAUGGAUUCUCUACUUUUUUUUCUCAUUUUGUAAUAAUGUCUCUUAUACAGGAGUGGUUAAAAGUUUAUGGAUGAUCUCAGUGUCAGCGGCUUGCUGGUCGAUGCGGUUAGUGAGGAAUGAGUUGGUGUUCGUUAGAAAGUAGCCUACAAUGUCUAGCUUGGUUUUUCUUUCAAAGAUUCGGGCUUUGAUGUGGAUCAGAUCGGUGCAUGAAGAAUUAAAAGUGGAUGAGAAAAUUUAGUGGGUCUGUCCAUAUAGAAGCUGGAGUGAUAUUAAAAAAUCUAGAUUGAAUGGUAGGUUUUGGUGCCCUCCGAGUCUUGGUUGGGUAAAAUUUAAUGUUUGUAGUGUGGAGAUUGAGGAUGAAGUUGGGUGUGGAGGGGUGUUAAGAGAUUCAGACGGGAUGGCAAGGGCAUUAUCUUCUGGUCUGUUUGCAGCGAAAGACUCCCUUACUGUGGAGGUGGGGGCGAUUAGCUUGGCUUUGGAUGUGUUCUUAGCAAUGGGGUGGAAAGGUAAAUGCUCUUUAAUCAUCGAGGUUGGAUCCAUUGAGGUGUUUAAUUGGGUAGAAAACAAAGGUUUGAGACUGUGGUUGUUGUUUUCUUUCUUUAAAAAAGUUGAAAUUAGGUUGUCUAGAAUUGGAAAUAUUUCCUUUUUGAAAGCAGAUAAGCACGGCAAUAAGAUGGCAUUUGUGCUGGCGGUUUCUAGUCUGAAAAGGCCGGGAAUGUUUAAGGCAUGAUGGUGAUUUUAGGUGUGAUGUUGUUGUGUGUUUAUAGGUGUAUUUGUAAAUUGUUUAGUGGUUUAAUGGGGUGUUUUGUGUAGGUUUUAUUCUGGUUUGAGGAUUGUUUAACAGAUGGGGUUUGUUUGGGUUUUUGUAGGUUUGCUUGCUGUAAUCUGUCUGUGUUUGGAUUAUUGUUUCUUGGGUUUGGGUCUUCUUGUAUCUGUUGUAUGUUUAGCUUUUUUAUAGCUUUGAAAGCUGUUGCACCUUGAUUAUGCGAAAAAAAAAUAGCAGACCAAAUGAUAGAGUGACCUCAUUUUUCUUCCUUUAUGUCUUAUAUUGUGUAUGAUAUAAAGUCAAUAUUUGAAUGGAGCAUUGGUUAGUUUUUCGCAAUGAAUCCUGGACAAUAUUCCUUUGUUUGAAGUUGUGGAAAUACAUAUAUAUUGUAAGCUUUUGGUUUGUGGGAAUGCCGCCACUUUGUUGUCAAGAUUUGCUGCCCAACUUUCGCAUUUUGUAUGUGUGAUAGUGGGUUUUUUUAUCUAAAUAAUACAAAAAAUAAAAUUAAUAACUGAAAUGGUAUGCUCAUAAGAUUAUUUACUAAAAUGGUAUGGUUUUACUAGUGUCUGCUUGUCAAAUUGGCGGCACUAGACUGAAAUGUAAUGAUCUGAAGUAUUUAAGGACUUGAUAUGCAAAUUUUUCAUUUUGAGUGGCUGCUAAAAAAGGUGAAGGGUGCCACCUAACAGUGUGGCAGCACCAAACCUUAAAUGUGGCUAAUUGUCUUGUAAGCCCUCCUUAUUUAUUAUUUUAUUUUUAUUCCCCUUCAACUCACUAUAUUGUAUUUAAACAAGCCCUUAACCUAAUUUUGUAGUUAAAUAAGCCCUUAACUUAUUAUUUUUACUCAUAAAAUCCCUUUAUUUUAAUGUUAAAGUAAAUAUAUUUUACCCAAAGUAAAGCUAUUUAAAAAAAUAUAAACUAAUUCACAUUUUAUGUUGAUGUGAAUUUUAUGAUAAUAGAUUAUUAAAAUAAAAAAAUAAAAUUUUAAAAUUUCUUAAGAGUGCUUAUAUACAUGAUAUUCUUAACUACUGUUUGAAAUUUUUUAUUAUUUUUUAGAUUUUAUGUUGAUGUUAAAGUGUAUAUAAUUUUUAUUGCAUCAACAAAAAAUUAAGAUAAGAGCUUGAAAUUUAAAAUAUAUUUACUUUAAUAUUAAAAUGAAGGGCUGAGUAAAAAUUAUUUUUCCAAUAAGAUGAUGGGUAGAGAUAUUGUCAAUAUUAUUGGAUUAAAAAUUAAAUGAGGAUGUGAGAAUAAAGUAAAAGAUACAAAUUAGACGAAAAGUUAUUUGUUUACAUUUUUAAUUAAAAUAAUAUUAAUAUGUCAUGGACCAACGUGUCGAAUAUGCCUCAAUUGAGCAAUAAUAGAUAAUACAAAACUAACGAAAUAAAUAAAUAUAUCUACCUAAAUUACAUUUGAAGUUUUAUUCCAAAUAUUGUUUAGGUAAAAAUAUUUUUAAAUGAUUUUUUGAGAAAUCUCUUAAAUUUCUAUAUAAUUAAAAGUGAAAUAAAAGUAAAAAAAUUAAAAUUAAAAUAUUUUUUUUCAGAACAUGAAUAUUAAAUCAUAUCUAAUUACCUAAAUGAGAAAAUUAUAAAUUCAUUUAUUUCAAAUAAAUAAUUUUAAAAAAUCAAAUUUAUGAAAAAUUAAACCAAAAUUUCUUAUAUAAAUCAUUUACUUUAUUUUUUUUAAUAAUUCUCAUAUAAAUAAAAAUACAAGGAAAUAACUUACAUUAGAAUUAUCUUAAAAACUAAAGUUUUUAGGCACCAAUAAAAUUUUGCCACAUCAUUAAAUUUUUAAGACAUAAAAUUAUUAUUGUUAUUAUACACUCAUCCAUAGAAAAAUUAUUUUAUGGACCAUUCCCACUACAUUAUUUAUGGCCCAUUUCGAAUUAUUUAAUAACAUUUCAUCAAUUUUUCCAUGUGGUUAACACAUAAUAUUUGUAAUUUUUUUACCUUUGAACCCCAAACCUAAAACUAUGAUCAUUAAAUCUAGAAUCUCAAACUUUAAAUCUAAAAUCUUAAAUCCAAAAUCCUAAACUUGAACACUGAACUCGUAACCCCAAACCUUGAACACUAAAUCUAAACUUGAAUCCAAACCCUUAACCCUUAACCCUUGAACCAAAAUCUCGAACCUCAAAUCCGUAACUUUGAACCCUUAAACCUUGAGCCUAUCUUGAAACCCAAACCCGAACCUUAAACCUUAAAUCUUGAAUCUAAACCUUGAACCUUGGGGUUCAGGGUUUAAAAUUUAAGGUUCACGAUUUGGGUUCAAGGCUCGAAAUUCAUGGUAAAAUAAUUACCAAAACUAUGUGUCAAUAACAUAGAAAAAUUGCACAAAAUUACUAUUUUUAAAAAAAAUUGGCUGCAAAAAAUAAAAAAAUAUAUUAACUUAUGGAAAAAAGCAAAAUGAUUAAAUUUUGAAAAAGAAAAAAAUGAUUGUUUAUAAUUUAAAAAAUUAUUUAUUUUAAGUAAUUUAAUUAAAGUUAAAUUAAGUUUGAGAAGAUAUUAGAUAUAGAUGACUGUAUAAUAAUACUUUAUUAUCUUUAAAAUUUAAUGACGUGAUACUAAUUUAUUUGUGCCUAAAAAUAAUACUUUUUAAGAUAAUCUUAAUAUAAGUUAUUCCCAAAAUACAACUCCUAUUCCUAUACAAUAAUUAUGUGGUUACCAUAAUUAGGGAGAAAAAUCAAUGCAGUGGGGCCUAACUUUUGGAGUAAGAGAGGAUUUCAAGUUGUGUAUAAAUUCCAAGGCUUUGGUUGAUUGAAAUGCAGGAAGAUAUCAAGUGAGUGGUUUGUUGAUUUAGAGAAGAUGGAGGCUAAAUCGUUGUGGGUAUUACUCACUACACUUCUGUUCAUCAUACAAGGGUGGCGACAGACUGAGGGUUGCUUGGAGCAGGAGAGAAUUGCUCUCUUCCAACUCAAAUCCUUCUUCAAUCGCCUUUACAAAUUGGAAAACUGGGCGGAUGUGAAGGGUUCAAAUUGUUGCCAAUGGGAAAGAGUUGAGUGCAACAUCACUAGUAAACGAGUAACAGGCCUUGAUCUUUAUUUCACACGUUAUUGGGAUAACCGUGAAAGAAGAUCAGAUUUAUCUGGGUAUCUCAAUGUCUCUUUAUUUCUUCCAUUUGAGGAAUUGAAGAGCCUUAAUUUGAGUGAAAAUAAUAUCGCAGAUCUUGUAGAUAACCAAGGUUCGUUGCUUUUCUCUCUCUCUCAUUUCCGAUUAAUCCUUGAAAUUUAAUUUAACGUUUAAUAAUUAAUUUGUUUCUUUUAUUUUUCUAAACUAAGACACUCAUGACCAAUAACUUUCUCUUGCAUGCAGUAUCUUUAUCAUCUGUUUUCAACAACUUAGAAAUCCUUGUCUUAUCCGGCAAUAACUUCAAUGACAGUGUGUUAUCAAGUAAGCUUCCAUCUCUCAAUUUCUAUCUAUAUCUAGCAAUUAAUUGUAAGCUUAUACAAAAAAAAAAUGAAAUGAAAGUGAUAGGGUUCGAUCAUACCAACUUACAAUUGAUUGCUACAUUCUCUAUUAAUUUAUUUUAAAUUUCUUUUAAUUAACAGACAACAGGUUGAAAUAAACAAAUUGUUUCCCUUAUUUGCAUACAUUUAAACAAGUUAAAGCAUGUAUGUACUUAUUAUAAAACUUGCAAUUACUUGUCUCUAAUAUUUAAAGAUUACAGAUUUUUUAUAUAAUUAAUAGGAAUAACUUACAUAUGGUCCUAAAAAUUAAAGUUUUUAGGCACCAAUAAAAUUUUGUCACCAUUAAAUUUUAAAUGUAUGAAAUUAUUAUUAUACACUUAUCCAUAGAGAAAUUAUUUUAUGAACCUUUCUCACUUCAACAAUUUUUUUCAUGCUAUUGACACAUAAUUUUGAUAAUUUUUUUACCCUAAACUUUAAACCUAAAACCCGUAACCCUGAAUCUUUAAACCAUGAAUCUCAAACUCAUAACCUGUAUCCUUCGCUAUUUGAAGGACUGGGUGAAUGGGAAAGAGUUGAAUGCAACAUCACUAGUGAAAGAGAAAUAGGGCUCCGUCUUUUUUCCAUAUGGGUAUCUCAAUAUCUCUUUUUUUCUUCCAUUUGAGAAAUUGAGAAGUCUUGAUUUGAGUGGAAAUAAAAUUACAGGCUCGUUACUUUUCAUCUUUUCAAUCACCAAUUAAUUCCUGAAAUUUUAUUUAACGUUUUAUAGUAACUCGUUUAUUUAUUUUUCUAAAUUAAGACACUCAUGAUCAUUAAUUUUCUCUUACAUGCUGUAUAUUGAAAGUUGGAAAUAUAUUCUUCUUUUAAAAUUAAAUAUCCUACAUUACUUUUUUUUAAUGUGAAUAAGCCUCCAUAUGUGUUGAUAUAUUUCAUUGCUCUUUGAUAGAAUUGAAGAGUUUGACAAAGUUGAAGACAUUAGAUUUAAGCGACAAUAGAAUCAUAAGCCUCCGCCACUUUGAAGGUAUAUCUGAAUUUGAUAUUCUAUAUGCAUUCAAUUAAGUUUUAAGGCGUUAGACUUAUAAAGGCCUUCAUCUGUGUUGAUAUAUUCCGUUGCUUUUGAAUAGAAUUGAAGAGUUUGACAAACUUGAAAACGUUAGAUUUAAGUUAGAAUAGAACCGAAAGCCUCGAGCACUUUCAAGAUAUAUUUAAAUUUGAUCUUCUUUAUACAAUCAAUAAACCUUCAAACCGUUAACCCAAAUAAAUUGUCCUUUGAAUUGCAUGACAUAAAUCUUUUACAGGUGAGAAAGUGCAACCGAUGAUGAAUUUAGAAGUGCUUGAUUUGUCUGGUAAUCUCUUGAAGAACAAUGAUCUAACAUAUCUAAAGGGGUUAUCAAGUUUAAAGUCCUUGAACAUUGGAGGAAACCAAUUGGAAGGGUCAAUAGAUAUUAGAGGUAUGUAAAAUUUCAUAAAAUAAAAAUAAUAAGCUAUAUGUAAAUUACAAUUUCAUCAACUUUUUUAACUGUUAAAAAAAAUUAUAUCCAAAUGUAUUGGUUCAUGUGGGAUUUAACUUUUUAGGUAGUAAAAUGAAAGUAUAUUUUAGCCCUCAAUUUAAUUUUUCGUCACUUUUAAUCUUUAAAUUUGUAUUUUUUGUCAAAUCACCUAAAAUAGAUGGAAAAGUUAGACAUUUGUUAAUUUUGCUAAUGUGGCAUACAUGUGGAUUGCCACAUAGAUGACACAUCAAUAUUUAAUUUAUUUUUUAAAAUUUAAGUAUUUUUUAUUUUAUUCUAUUUUUUAUUUUUUAUUUUUAAAAUAUUUUUUGAAAUUUUAAAUUUAAAAAAUUAAUUAAAUAUUGAUGUGUCAUCUACAUAACAAUUCACCUGCAUGCAAAAGUAAAAAAUUAAAUAGAGUUCUAAAAUAACAUUUUUUAUAAAGUUGUAGAGUCAAAUGAAUUAUUAUUUUUAAAAUGUAUUUGAUGACAUUUUUAAUCGAGGAAACUAGUUGAAUUUCAUGAACCAAAAUUAUUGAUUUUUGUGAUAUGACUUAAUUUGACUAACAAAAGAGAUAUUUGAUUGAUUUGAAUAGUAUUGAAUAAUCUGACAAAGCUAAAGCUGUUGGAUUUGAGUGACAAUAAAAUUGAGAGCCUCCAAUCUUCCCAUGGUAUGUGUUGAUAUGUUUUACUUUAUCAUAUUCUUAUAUAUAAAUACCAAUAUCUCAUUUAAUAUUCCAUUAGUAAUAAAUUUGUUUAUCUCAAUGCUUUGUAGAUGGUGAGAGGCCACUUAAUUUGUCCAAUUUUGAAGAGCUUUAUUUGGAUUCCAACUCCUUCACAAAUAGUUUAUUGGCACAGCUUAAUGGUUUUUCUAAUCUAAAGUCAUUGAGUAUACGCGGUAACCAGCUUAACGGAUCAAUAAAUAUUAAAGGUAGAAUUACUUAAUAUAUUUAAUCUUCUUUUAAACGAGACAAAUUACUUGUUGAGUUAUUGCAUUCAUUCUAUGUGAUUUAAUUUUAAAUUUUAUUUAUCAAUCUUCAUAGAAUUAUUAGAUGCAUUGAGCAACUUAGAGCCAUUGAGAAAAAUAUUUUAAUUUUAAAAAAUGUAUAAAUUUUAUAUAUUAUCUCUUAAAUCAUUUAAAUUAUAAUGAUAAUUUUUAUAUAUUAAAAUUAAUAUAUUAUCUCUUUUAAAAUUAUAUUAAUAUAUUAAAAAUAAUUUAUAAAAUAAAAAAUUGUCUAUUUAAUAUAUAAAGUAAAAUAUAUAUACCAAAAUAAUAGUAUUUCAAUUUCAAAUUUUUUUUGUUAUCAAUUCUUUUAAGAUUUUUUUAGUAUUAAAUUAAAAAGUUGUAUUUUAAUCAAUACAUACAAUCAACCUAAGGGAAAGAAACUAGUUAAUAUAUAUGACCAGCUUUGUAGAUGUGAGAAUUAAUUAUUUCUAAUAGUAACAUCUAUAAAUUAUAUAGUACAAUCUUUACUAAAUUAGUAAUUAAUUCUAUUUUCUAAGUGAAAUAAUAAAUAACAAAUUUUAGUUAAUACAUUAUUGUAAUAAUUUUAUAUAAAAUAUAUUAAUCAUAUUUUAUUAAAAGAAAAUAUUUUUUAAUAAAUGAAUUUCGUUAAAGAUACAAUCUGAAUCUCGUUAAUUAAUAUUUUUAUUAAUAUAUUAUAAUUUUUUAAUUUAAAAUUUUUUAAAAAUUCAAAUAUGAUUUAAAUAUUAAAUCUUGUUAUAAAUAUAUCACAAUCACUUAUCUAUAACAUUCAAUAUUUUGACAGACGAAUGGAGUUGUUAUAUGGAAGUUGAAUAUAACUAAAUUUCUGUGAUGAUUACUUUAUUCGACUGACAAAAAAUGCAUUGGAUUGAUUUGGAUAGUAUUGAAUAAUCUGACAAGGCUAAAGACGUUGGAUUUGAGUGACAAUAAAAUUGAGAGCCUUCAAUCUCCCCAUGGUAUGUGUUGAUAUGUUUUACUUUAUCAUAUUCUUAUAUAUAAAUACCAAUAUCUCAUUUAAUAUUCCAUUAGUAAUAAAUGUGUUUAUCUAAAUGCUUUGUAGAUGGUGAGAGGCCACUUAAUUUGACCAAUUUAGAAGAGCUUUAUUUGGAUUCCAACUCCUUCGCAAACAGUUUAUUGGCACAGCUUAGUGGAUUUUCUAAUCUAAAGUCAUUGAAUAUAAGGAAUAAUCAACUUAAAGGAUCAAUAAAUAUUAAAGGUGAAAUUUCUUAAUAUAUUUAAACUUCUUUUAAAUGAAACAAAUUACUUGUUGAGUUAUUACAUUUAUUUUGUGUGAUUUAAUUAAAUUCUAUUUGUCAAUCUUCACAGACCUAAAUGCUUUGAGCAACUUAGAGAAGCUAGACAUGAGCAAUAAUGAGGUGAAAGAAUUUGUGCCCACAAAGAAUAAAGGUAUAUGUAUCAACUAAAGAAAAUCUUAAUAAUUAUUUGUCGUUAGAUAUCUAGUGAAUUGAUGCCAACCACUAAUUUGACUCUCAGAAAAUGAAAGUUUGGAGAAGCUAAAGGUUGCUACAUUAAACAAUGUGUUCAUCAAUGGGACUGUUUCUCUAAUGCAACUUCUGGAGACAUUCUCAUCUGUUAAUACCUUAUAUUUGAGAGACAAUCACUUCAAUGACACCAUAUCUACUCAAGGUAUAAUAUAUAUGUGCGUGAAUAUAUAGUUUUAAAAAUAUUAUUUACUUAACAUCAAUCAUCUAAAUAACUCUUAUAAAUUUGUAAAGAUCAAUUGCAUGUGUCGAGCAAAAUAGAGGAAUUGGUGUUGGAUGGUUCAUAUAUCAACAACAACAUUCUUCAAGGCAUUGGUGUAUUGGCGUCUCUUAAAAUUUUAUCUUUGCGUGGUUGUGGGUUGUCUGGGACAUUAUCUACUCAAGGUAAAUUAAUAAUUAUGACAUAAUUAUUUAGGCAAUCUCUUGAUUAGUUAUUUUUUAUCCUCUUAGAUAACUAGAAUAACUUGCACAAAUUUUUUUUAAAGGGUGGUGCGAUUUAUGGAAGCUUGAGGUGUUGGAUCUUGGUGAAAAUGCUAUUGAGGGAACACUCCCUCCAUGUUUGGCUAACUUGUCAUCUCUUGAUUAUUUGGAUAUUUCUGAUAAUCAAUUCACCGGGAAAGGUGCCUCCACUGCUCUAGCCAAUCUCACUUUGCUUAGAUUCAUUUCUCUUUCACAAAACCUAUUCGAAGUUCCAUCAAUUUUCAUAUCAUUUGCCAACCACUCACACCUCAAAUUCCUCUUUAGUGAUCAAAACAAGUUAGUCAAAGAACCUACCAUUCAAACAUGGGUCCCAAAGUUCCAACUAAAAGUCUUCCGUUUGUGGAAUUGUGCAACAAAGGAACUCCACAUUGAAAUUCCAAAAUUCCUCUAUUACCAAAAUGACUUGAGUUUUAUUGAUCUUUCAGAUAAUAAUUUUGGAGGGAAUCCUUUUUGGUUGUUAGAGAACAAUACAAGAAUGGGAGCAUUUUUAAUGAAGGGUAACUCUUUUAUGGGCCAUUUCAAUAUCCCAUCUCAUCUGAAUCCAAACAUGUCCAUUGUUGAUAUAUCUGACAACAAAAUACAAGGUCCAAUUCCAGCAAACAUUUGUUCAGUCUUUCCACAACUAGCUAGGUUAAACCUAUCAAGCAAUUUCCUUCAAGGUAAUAUUCCUCCUUGUUUGGGUAAUUUGAAGACUAUGUUGAUGAUAGAUCUGUCACAUAAUCAGCUAUAUGGAGGAAUACCAGAAAUGUCAGCUCAAAGUGACUCAUUGAUGUUUCUUAGGCUAUCAAAUAAUCAUCUAAGUGGGAAGAUAAGCCCAACGAUCUUUUGUUCAUCUUCAUUACAAUUCUUAUAUUUAGAUGGCAAUAAAUUUGAUGGAAAUAUACCUAGCAUUGAUAUCUCAACUUUCCCUUAUUACUCCCUUAUUGAUAUAGAUUUAAGUAACAACAAUUUGUCUGGAGAGCUACCAAGAUGGAUAUGGAAUGUGUCAAAUUUACAAACAUUGGCAGUAUCCAACAACCAGCUCAAAGGUCUCAUUCCGAUGGAAUUGUGCUAUUUGGUUUCUCUUGAAUUUUUGGACCUUUCAAAAAAUAAUUUUUUUGGGCCAAUACCAUCUUGCUUCCAUGCACAAUCUAUCAAACAUCUCCAUUUGAGCAGAAAUAGAUUAAGUGGUACCUUGACAAAUGCAUUCUUUAAUAGCUCUUCCUUGGUUACUUUAGAUCUUAGUGAAAACCAGUUGACUGGUGAAAUUCCAUACAAGAUUGGAACUCUUUCGGCUUUGAGUGUUCUCCUUCUAAAAGCCAAUUAUUUUGUCGGAGAAAUUCCCAUUGACAUAUGUAAAUUGUAUUCAUUAAAUAUCAUUGAUCUUUCUCAAAACAAGCUUUCUGGUCUGAUACCUUCUUGUUUGAGUCAUUUAACUUUUGAGCCAAGUGGUGGAAAAUCUUUUACAUUGGAUUCUACAGAAGUAUUAGGUUUAGUAGGAAUUGUGGAUUUUGGAGAUUUCUUGAGGGGAGCUAAUUACUUUGGAAUUACUGAAUUUGAAUUAUUCAAUUUUAGAGUUGAAGAACCAUUCAAUCUACAUGCCUCUAUUCAUGAACAACGGGAAGAAAAGGUGGAUUAUACAACAAAGAGAGUAUCUUACACAUACAAAGGAAACAUUCUUGAGUACAUGUCUGGAAUUGAUUUAUCAUGUAAUAGAUUAACAGGUGAAAUUCCCAGGGAGAUUGGAAAUUUGAGUGAAAUCCGAUCACUGAACUUGUCACACAAUAAUUUGACUGGACAUAUACCGUCAACGUUCUCAAAGCUCAAGCAAAUUGAGAGUUUGGACCUGUCUCACAACAACUUAAUUGGAAGAAUCCCUGUUCUAUUGAUGGAGUUGUACGCCUUAGCAGUCUUCAAUGUGUCAUACAACAACUUGUCAGGGAGUAUUCCGUCUCCGAAAGCUCAAUUUGGAACCUUCGACGAAAGCAGUUACGUGGCGAAUCCUUUCCUCUGCGGGUCUCCCCUACAUAAAAAUUGUAAUGAC
RNAcentral lists this long non-coding RNA (133516 nucleotides) under Gossypium barbadense (sea-island cotton). Its description in RNAcentral is "long non-coding RNA (GBAR_LNC018279)". Lineage: Eukaryota; Viridiplantae; Streptophyta; Magnoliopsida; Malvales; Malvaceae. The record is from RNAcentral.